Molecule: long non-coding RNA, 123848 nt
Filed under: Prunus persica (peach)
Lineage: Eukaryota; Viridiplantae; Streptophyta; Magnoliopsida; Rosales; Rosaceae
Description: long non-coding RNA (PPER_LNC005430)
Source: RNAcentral
CUCUCAGCACUCCUAGCCCUAAACCCUGGUCGUGCUAGUAGCAGUGCAAAUCCUUGUCCACUACCGGGCCAAGUUUCCACUGCCCUCACUUUGUGUGAUCCAACUUGGAAUUACAACACAAACCAGAGAAAAGCAGAGGAAUUCGACCCUGCUCCUCUCAGAUUUUCCGCAUUCCCUCCUAAUCUGAAACACAAGAAAAUAACGAAUAAUAUGAACAAGGAAUUAAAGAAGAAGAAAAGAAACCCAGUAGUGCCGGAAACUACGCUGAGUCCACAGCCUCAGGAUCACGGGCCUUGGAAAAUCAGGAAGAAGCUGACAGUAAGCGACCUUGGAAGCUGCUCAAGGCUACUAAUGCCGAAAAAACCGGUCAUCGACCAUGUUUUGCAUUACUUGGAUGACACGUUUGCCAAAAGGGUUAAGAGUGGAGAGGGCAUAGAAGUUAUAGUUGAAGACUGCGAUACAAACACCAGGCAUCACAUGACUUUCAAGCUUUGGGGGUCGGCCGAGAGCUACAUUCUCAAUGGAGAUUGGAGACUAGAGUUUGUGCAUAGGAGAGGCUUGGAGGAGAAUGAUAAAAUUGGGCUUUAUUGGGAUACCUCCAAAUCCAUGUUCAUGUUUUCUGUUCUUGAAAGGGCAAGGCAAUCCCAGUUACCUGCUUGAUCAAUUUAGUGGGUCUAGAUUGUUGAAUUUGAUUGAGAUUUCAUGAUUAAUUUCCUGAAUUUGCAAUUGUGAUCAGAAUUGUAACUAGCUAGAUAGUUUAGUUACCUUAUUAUUCCUCAAUUUGACACAUUAGUUGUAACAGACUUUUUUAAAUACAAACGAUUGUCUAAGCUACUGUAUAAGGGCGCAAGCAGACUACCUCGUGCAACUUGUUUAAACCAAGUAUGCUUAUUGUAAUAGAUUUGGUUUCACAAUGUUUAAGUUGUUUUAUUUUGGUUAUUCUAUGAAUCAAGAGCAGUAAUGUUCUUCCUCACUCACUCUAUUUACAUUUUUCCAUCUCUGUUUUUAUUUAUUCAUACUUUUACUUCCUGUUAUGAGUUUUCGUUACACGUAUAACAUUACUUCAUUCAGAUAAUACUUUCACCCAGUUUAUGAUAAUUCCCUAGGUGUUUUUUUUUUCCCUAUCGGAUGGCUUCCACAUUCAGAUACGGGUUCAAACCACUAUUAUGAAAUGUAUCAUGCAAUUUAAUAAAAACAAAAAAUAAAUAAAUGUGGGCAUACAAAGUUUCAUGCUCAAUCCUUAAUUAUCUCCAUGUAAAGGUGGAAGCUGAAAAAAGAGUACAUGUUAAGGGAAUGCAUAAAAUAUCCAACAUGUUGAACAAUAUAAAGUCCCACAUCAGAAACUUGACAAAAAUAUAUACAAUAUAUAAUGAGUGAUUCCACUACUUAUAUAAUUGAGGCUUUUUGUGAUAAAAGCCCCACACCUAUUGGGCUUAAAAUUUUGUGUGAAAAUGUUUCAGCAUCAUCUUUCUUUCUUUUUUUUUCUUUUUUUAAAAUGUUGCAAGCUAAGUAUUCCACUAACAUCAAAGAAAUGGAAAGAUCUUUACAUUCAGAAUGUGUUGUAAAUGAGAGCAACGUUUCUUAGAAGAGAUUGGAGGAUAUGGCAGAAUAGUUUUCUCCUUAUUAUGGAUGGCAACGGGUCGGAUAUGGGUCAGGUAUGACAAUACCAUCCCUGUCUCCGCUCUCCAUCUCCGCUCCCAUCCCCGUUUAAUAGGUUUCAAAGAAUCCCCGUACCCGUCCCCGUCGGGGGACUAUCCCCCAUACCCGCCCAGAAUCCCCGAUUUUUUUUUGCAAAUAAAAAAAUAAAAAAAUAAAAAUCAUACAUUUUAACAUUAAGUUUCAUAUUAAAUUAUCAAUCAACACAUCCAAAUUAACUAUAAAGUUCAAUUCAACUAUUCAAAAUCACAUCAAUUCAAUUUGACAAAACACACACACACACAUAUAUAUAUAUAUAUAUGUAUAUGUAUAUAUAUAUAUAAUCCAAAUCUUCAUCAUGAUCAUCUUACAAAUUUUGGAAUCUCACAAAAAUAAAUAAGUAUGAAAUUUAAUAAAAAGUAAGCACAAAUAUUAUAAUUACUAGCCACUUGGUAUAUGCUCACGCAUGUGCCAAUUAGUUUUAUUUUUUAUUUUUUAUUUUAUUUUUAGAAUUAAGAAAAGAUAACAUGGGUAGUUAGAGCAUCCACAGCAGAGGAUGUAUAAUGGGGUGUAUGUUAAAUAUACACCUUUUGUGAUCGGAAUCACCCACAAUGGGAAGGUGUAAACCAGUGUAAAUUUGCAUCACCACCCUGAUAUGCAAAUUUAGAUGUACAUGUACAUCAUUUUUUUACAUCUUUUGCAUGUGGGACCCAACUGAAAAAAGGUGAGAUAAAGUGGAGAAAAGUCAGCAAAAAAGUUGCUGAACCAAAAUUCAUAUGUGGGCCCAUUUUUUGGUUGCCAUCCCCCCCACCCUACAACGGUUACAUUGCUGGACCAACAGCUUUAAUUUUAAAAAACAGCUAGCUUUAAUUUAUUUUUGAUGAAAUCAUAUCUUCUCUGAGUUUAUAUAUUUUUAGGUCUAUUUGUUUGAAAAAAUAAAAUAAACCAAAUGCACAAAAAAUUAAUUUUAUAAAGUUAACACAAUAACGAAUUAAGCCAAAAAAAAAUCAAUUAUACAUCUUUCCCAUUGGAGCAAAAACUACAUUUACAACCUCCGGAGGUGUAAAAGGGAUGUAAAAGUGGCUUUACACCCUCGAAAAUACACCCCCGCAAUGUGGAUGCUCUUAUGUUCUAUAAAAGUAGGACCUAUUAUCUGAUUUUGUUUUAAUUUUUAAUUUUUAAAUAUGAAAAAUGUGAAUUUACCAUAUUAUCCUCAUUUAAUUAUCAUUUCAAUUCUUAAUAUUUGAAUUAACUAAUGGCAUUUUCUGGUAUUUUGAAUGUUUCACCAUUCUCUGCCUUUUGCUUUUUAUAUAAAGAUAAACAUAUAUUAUGAAGAAUUAGGAGAGGGAGGUUAACUUAGGGUUAAACAUAAAUAUUAUAAUUAUAUAUUUAUUUAUAAACAUUUAUAUUUUCGGGUCGGGUUCGAGGACUGGGAUGCCAAUACCAUCCCUGCCGUAAGGGAUUUUUCAAGUUUGGGGAUUCCCUUACCCGAUACUUGUUUUGCCUCGAAAUCUUCCCCCCAUUAAGAUCGGGGACCUGACAAGUACCUGUACCGGCAGAGAUUUGUGCCAUCCCUAAUCCUUACUUGGGUAAAAAAGUGAACUAUACUAAUUACAAUUAACAAACAGCUAAUUAAGGAAUUAGCGUAUUCUAGUUUUCACACCGACAUAGGUAAAUAGGAUCUAGAUCAAAAGAAGUUCAAUUAUCCCUCAAACUGGCUAAAGCAUUCGAAGUUCCCCUUUCCUUUUUCACCAACAGUGUGAAGUUUCUUUGGAUACACGUAAAAGAAUAUUAUAAUAUAUGCUUAAUUGCUUGUGAAAGAAAAUGUCUGAAUCAAACCGUUCACGAGUGGGUUGGUUUGGCUCGCCUAUGCACUAGUUUGAGUCACAAGCCAAACUAAUUUGAGCCAUGAUGUGACAUUAGUUUGGUCUGACCUGUCUAUUUAACCUCUUCUCGUCUUGUAAGUGUAAUAUAAUCUUCAGUAAAAGAUCUCCUCUGAACUUGGACUGAUACUUUGGCAAAAAUGUGGGCUCUGUGCAUGGCAGCAUUAGCUAUUAUAAGCAUCACACAUUGGGUUUACAGGUGGAGAAAUCCCAAAUGCCAUGGCAAGCUUCCACCGGGAUCAAUGGGAUUGCCACUGCUAGGCGAGACCUUACAGUUCUUCACUGCCAACACCUCUUCUGAUAUUCCUCCUUUCAUAAAAAAAAGGAUGGAAAAGUGAAGUUUCUGAUACCAUAUAUAACAGCUACUACUUUGUCAAUUUUUCAAGCAUAGUUGUUUUUAAUAUUCCUUACUAGUAUCUUGCAUUUUUGGACUUUGCAGAUAUGGACCAAUAUUCAGGACUAAUUUGGUGGGAAGACCGAUUAUUAUUUCGACAGACCCGGAUCUGAAUUACUUUGUGUUCCAACAAGAGGGAAAUUUGUUUCAAAGUUGGUACCCAGAUACCUUCACAGAGAUUUUUGGGAAGCAAAAUGUUAGUUCCUUGCAUGGGGUUAUGUACAAAUAUCUCAAGAACAUGGUGCUGCAUCUCUUUGGACCCGAAAGCCUUAAAAAGAUGAUCCCUGAUGUUGAACAAGCGGCUCUCAGCAGAUUACAACAAUGGUCAUGUCAGGACAUUACAGAACUAAAAGAUGCAACUGCAAGUGUAAUUUUCAGCCUAACCUUUCUUCUCUUUGAUAAAAUUUCACUAAAAGUUAAUAUCUUGUUUGAAGUCAGAUUAAUUUGGUCUUUGCAGAUGAUAUUUGAUCUCACUGCAAAGAAACUUAUCAGCUAUGAUUCGAGUAAGUCCUCGGAGAAUUUAAGGGACAACUUUGUUGCAUUCAUACAAGGAUUGAUCUCCUUUCCUUUGGACAUCCCUGGAACAGCUUAUCACAAAUGUUUGCAGGUAAACGUAAAUCAACGCUUGUCUCUUUCUUUCACAAGGUCAUAUUUCUCCAUGGAUAGGCAAAAGCUCAUAGAGGCAUUGAAUUAGAUCCUCAAAGCUGACUUUAAAACUAAAAAGUUCUGAGAAUGUAGUCUCUCCUCUUGGUCUCAAUCACUUUCAAAUUUUUAUGCAGGGAAGGAAUAGGGCGAUAGGAAUGCUGAAAGACAUGCUACGGGAAAGACGAGGAAAGUCCCAAGAUCAGCCAAACGACUUUUUCGAUUACGUGAUUGAAGAACUUGAGAAAGAGGGAACAAUCUUGACAGAGGAGAUUUCUCUGGACUUGAUGUUUGUGCUGCUUUUUGCGAGCUUUGAAACAACUUCAAUUGCUAUGACUUUAGCCAUCAAGUUUCUAUCAGACCAUCCUCUGGUGCUAAAGCAAUUAACGGUCUGAACUCUCAAAGUGUUACCAAACAGUUUAUAAUAUAUAUAUAUAUAUAUAUAUAUAUAUAUAACCUUAUAAACAUUUUCUAUCUUAUGCCAGGAAGAGCACGAAAUGAUUCUAAAACAAAGGAAAAAUGCUGAUUCGGGACUUACAUGGAAAGAAUAUAAAUCAAUGACUUUCACAUUUCAGGUGAAUCUUGACAUUUUCACUUUCAGUUCUUGAAGGGAAAUCCACUCUAUUCAGACCUCUGUUUUACAAACUGAAAUUUUCAACUUGCAGUUCAUCAACGAAACGGUUAGACUGGGAAACAUAGCUCCAUGCAUCUUUCGAAAAGCGCUGAAGGAAAUCAAUUUCAAGGGUAUGUAGGAAUGACAUAGAGUAUUGUUUUCCUGCUAUAGGAAAUCAUUCUAAUUUGACAUAUUAUUACCAUUUGGCGUGGGUGUAGGAUAUACAAUUCCAGCAGGUUGGGGAGUUAUGGUUAGUAACACAACGGUACACUUAAACCCAGAAAUAUAUGACGAUCCUGUGGCCUUCAAUCCAUGGAGAUGGGAGGUAGGUUGAAUAUCUGAGAAUGUAUUGUUCUAGCUAAUCUACCAUUUAUUCUCAGUCCUAAACUGCAAUGAAGUUGGUUUGAUUAAUUUAAAGGGAACGGAAACAAAUAGCGCAUCCAAAGAUUUCAUGGCUUUUGGCGGCGGACAGAGACUCUGCGUAGGAGCAGACUUUGCUAAAGUGGAGAUGGCUGUGUUUCUCCAUUGCUUAGUCACAAAGUACAGGUAAGAAAGAACUAAUGUCCUGUAAUGAGUGAGAGAGAGAGUGAGAGAAAGAGAGAGAGUAACAUGUUCUCAUCCAAAAUUUUCAGGUGGGAAGCAAUCAGAGGAGGAAAUAUAGUCCGAACUCCUGGGCUACAAUUUCCGGAAGGUUUCCACAUUCGUAUCCUGGAGAAAGAUAACAGGAAACAGCCUAUAAUUCCUGAUCCUUGAAGCAGAAAUGUCCGAGAGGGUAGAGCCACCAUAUGUUCUUUUAGAUUGUGAAGCAUGGACCAUUGAGCUUGCCAUUUCCUCAGUUUAAAUAUUUUCUAAAAUAAGAUUGGUUAGGAUUCGGAAUUUCUCUGAAUGUCCCGGGUUCAGACCACUAUUAUGAAAUGUACUCUGUAAUACAAUAAAGGCAAAGAAAAAAGAUUGGCAUGCUUCUACCUAGAUCUUUCUCAAUGUUUAAUGAUCUCCAUGUAACAGCCAUUCACUGAAGUUGUAGACAAAAAUACUUCAUGUGCAAUAAUAACAAUCAAAUUUAAGCAUUAACCCUGUCUCUAAGUUCAUUUGCAGCUUCAAUAACAAUCCAAACUGUCACAACAUCUAUAGUGAAUGGACCAACAGUUUUCCAUUUUAUAAAAAGAGCAUGUUAACUCUAGCAUCUUAAGUUGGACCAAAUCGACUGCUCUGCCCCUUCUCCAAACCUGUGCAUAAAGACACCCAGCUUAGUUGACAUGCACCUUAACAAGAACCAUCAAAGAACUAGUACCUAUCAAGAUAGUAACGUGAUAGCCCCCUUUGCCAAAGAUCUGAUAAAAACCAUAGCCAACACUAUGUAACUUACUUAAUUCAGCAAUUCAUAUCCCAAAAACCACCCAAAAAAACAAAAUCAUUUAUCAAGAACUACAACUAGACUUACAUGCCUGUUGGCGAGGAUCCAACUCAAUUGCCUUAUCAAAUUCUGCUACACACCCUGAAACAUCACCCUUAACAAAUAACAAAGUUGUAAACUUUUAAUGCCAAACUAUAAGAACAUGUCAAAUGUGCAGAGAAAUUUAGAAACCAGUAUUGAAUGAACAAGGAGCAGAUUUUACCCCCUAAAGAGUACCAUUCCACGUCGAAUUGCGGCAAUGGCUUCGCAAGCAUUGUUACCGCUAGCUAAGGCAUCCCAGAUGCCAGAAACUCAAGGGAGCGGUGGCUAGGUUCUGUAGUUGUGAAUUGUUGAAGUAAUUGUGCCAAAGAAGACGGAGCUGUUCUGGGUUUUGAAUAAAACUGAAGGCGAGGUUAGGAAUGGUGUCAUAUACGGUUUUUCUAUUUAAUUUUUUUCAAUAAAUAGGAUCGGCUAUACUAUUUUAAAUAUAAAAUAAAAUAAAAAGAGUCUAGCCACAUGGUUAUAUUAUUUAUCGAAAAAAAGGGACACACCUAGUGUCUAGAUGCCCACGUGUCAAAACAGGUAUAGCCGAGCUAUACUAUUUUUUUUUCUAAAUAAAUUACCGACGUCAAGCCGAGCGGCUAUACUAUUUUAAAUAAAAAAUAAAAAACCCCAUAUAGCCACGCGGCCAUACUAUUUAUAAAUAAAAAAAGGGAGACCCGCCUAGUGCCAAGUGCCCACGUGUCAAAACAAGUAUACAAUUUUUACAAUAAAUUACCGUAGUAAAGCCAGACGGCUAUACGAUUUUUUUAAAAAUUAAAAAAAAAAAUUGUCCUAUUAUAGCUGGGCGGCUAUACUAUUUUUAAUAAUAAAAAAUAUCCGUGUAUAGCAAGACGGCUAUACUAUUUAUAGAAAAAAAAAAAAAGGACCUACCUAGUGCCUAUAUGUGUCAAAAUCUGUAUAGCCGCGCAGCUACACUAUUUUUUAAAAAUAAAACAUCGGAGUAUUACCGCGCGGCUAUACUAUUUUAAAUAAAAAAUAAAAACCCCGAGUAUAGCCUCGCGGCUAUACGAUUUAUAGAAAAAAAAAAAGGGUACGUAUAACUGUGCGGCUAUACUAUUUACUAGGGCUUUUUAAAAAAAAAUAAUAAUUUUUUUCCCGGAUUUUCGUUUAUCAAUAAGAGUACUUUAGAGCAUUAUCCAUUACUACAAAGCCAUUACUCAAGUAUCUAUUGUCCCUUUUUUAUUUUUUACUUUAAUGAGUUAUUAUCCGUUUAAAAAUUUUAGCAUUUUCUAAUUUAAUAUUCAUAUUAUAUACAUACAUAUAUAUAUAUUUCAAUAGUUCUUCUUUUUUCCUUACACGUCUUUGUUUAAAAAGUGAAGAUUACGGUGGAUAAAUCCCAUUCAAGUUGGUGGUUCCCCAAGGAUGACACAUUGGGUUUACAGGUGGAUGAUUCCCAAAUGCCAUGGCAGACCUUACAGUUCAAUGGGAUUGCCACUGCUAGGGGAGACCUUACAGUUCUUCACUCCCAACACCUCUUCUGAUAUUCUUCCUUUCAUAAAUUUUUUAUAAAAAUUAAAAAAAAAAAAAAAAGGAUGGAAAAGUGAAGUUUCUGAUCCUGUGGUCUUCAAUCCGUGGAGAUGGGAGGUAGGAUGAAUAUGUGAGAAUGUAUUGUUCUAGCUAAUCUACCAUUUAUUCUCAGUCUUAAGCUGCACUGAAAGAUGGUUGAUUAAUUUACUGGAAACGAAAACAAAUAGUGCAUCCAAAGAUUUCAUGGCUUUUGGCGGCGGAUAGAGACUCCGUGUAGGAGCAGACUUUGCUAAAGUGGAGAUGGUUGUGUUUCUCCAUUGCUGAGUCACAAAGUACAGGUAAGAACUAAUGUCCUGUAAUCAGAGAGAGAGAGAGAGAGAGUAACAUGUUCACAUCCAAAAUUUUCAGGUGGGAAGCAAUCAGAGGAGGAAAUAUAGUCCUAACUCCUGGGCUACAAUUUCCGGAUGGUUACCACAUUUGUAUCCUGGAGAAAGACACAGGAAACAGGAAACAGCCAAUAACUCUGAUACUUGAACCAGAAAUGUCAUGUGCUUUUAUAUUGUGAAACAAGAAGCAUUGAGCUUGACAUUCCCUCAGUUUGAAUAUUUUCUAAAAUAAGAAGCAAUUUUCAUAUGGUUAGAUUGGUCAGGAUUCGGAAUUCCUCUGAAUGUCCCGGGUUCAAACCACUAUUAUGAAAUGAAUUAUGUAAUACAAUAAAGCCAAAGAAAAAAGAUUGGCAUGCUUCUACCUAGAUCCUUCUCAAUGUUAAAUUAUCGCCAUGUAAAGGUGGAAGCAGAGAAAAGAACCGGUUAAAGGAAUGCCAAGAUAUCCAACAUUUUAAAAAAAUUAUCUAACAAAGGCACUAGUAACAUUCUGUGUGAAAAAAGAUCUUUACAUUUGCAUUCUUCCACGACCCAAAGAAAAUAGAUAUAAACAGGAAAAUCAAUUCACUGAAAGAGUAUAAAACUGUAAGUGCCACUACUCUCUCUGUUUAGCAUGCAGAUUAAACUGAUUGUUAUCCAAAAGCCUUUUGUACAUACCAAAUUCACUCUUGCGUUCACUUGAUUGCGUCUGGUCUGGUCUGGUCACUAUGAAUAAUCUUUGGUUAGUCUCCUUUCAUUUUUAUGGCUGUGGUAUCCGGUAUUUUCAUCAACUUUCUGCAUAAUACUUGAAUGCUUUCUUCUCCCAUGCUUGGGCUUGUCUUUGUGGACGUGGUGGAGAUGGUAGUAAUAAUCGCUGCCUCUUUCAAACUGGUUACGCCUGUGAUCAUUGUGAAUGUUUCUUCGCUUAUGAUGAGAACCAUGCUUGUGGUUCCUUGCUUCAUGCCCAUGAUGUUUAUGAACAUGAGUGUGCAAGUGUUCUACGUCACUUCUGUGCUUCCGAAUAUCCUUGGUGUGCUGAUUAUUAUCCCAAAAAUGAUCUUCCCACCAAUCAUAUAAAGGAUCAAAAAGUCCCUUUUGAUGUAGAAGCCACAGUAGCACAACCACUGCACAUCCAUGCAUAAUAUUUUAUGUAUUCGUUGCAUCUCUGAAAUCAUCUGCUUAAAUGUAAAUUUUCUGGAAAAAGUAGGUUUACCUGUUGGAAAAAUUGCCAAAAGUAGACCAAACAUCACAAUCCAACUCAUACAUAUAUACUGUAUGUGGCACCGGAAGUCAAAGAACCUGGGGCAUUUCCUUCUGCCCACAAAAAGAUGCAAAGAGAAAUGGACCGGGUUUCAUACAAAUCAAAAGAGAUUUAAAAUGUGCAAAUUCAACUACAAUCCAACAUCAGAUGCAUCCACAAGAAGAAAAAGAAUAUAUAUGAUAGCUGAGCAUAAUAUCUGAUCGUGUGUGCAAGGCGUGGCGUGAUUAAGAAUUGUUAGAAUGCAACCAGCAUUUUGAACAGACAAAUCCACGUUAGAAUGGUUACCAAAGGACCACUGCCAUCAAAACCAUUACUAGAAAUGAAAAUUUAGAGCAUAAAAAAGUUUAAAGAAUAAAAAACUGAACCAGGCAAGUACCUGCAAGUUUUUCCAGUGACGAAAUCUACCAAAAUAUUCCACAGAUUGUUCCAAAUGCUUUCAACAGAGUCAAAGAAACCGGUUGUGCCUGUCUUUGGUGGAUUAAAAGGAUUACCCUGCAGCAAUUAAUGACUUCAGUAGUUCAUUCAUCACAUAAAUCAAUUUCCACAAGGUUAAUUUCAUUUCAAAGUAUCAUUUCUCAGUUGUUGUCUUUAAAACGGACUUAAAGAAAUCAUGCUGAUCUAAAGUGCCUCAUACAUUGGACUUCAAAGAACUUCUUAACUUUCUUCUGAAAGGAAUGAAGAUUUACAGGGUAAAACAUCGUUAUGACUAAACCUGUGAUCCAUUAUCAAGGACAGUAGAUGUUGUAGAAAAUUGGCACUCGGCUCUAUCUACUUCUUUAUAAUCAGAGUCCUUUAGUAUAGCUGCAUUCAAACUAAAAAAGUUAGUACUACCAAAAAUACUUUGGGCUACUUUAUCAUCUGUCUGAACCAUGUCUCAUCUUACCUGCACAAACAUAUUUUGCAGCUUGAUCAGUUGCUGGGUAAAGUUUGAAGGCUCGCGUUGUUGUUUCUUUUGGCUUCAUAAUAAGGAAUUGUUCCUGAAACACAGUAUCAUUUGUGUGAAUAUAAUCAUCAUGUUCAAAACUGAAUACAUGGGCAGUAGGGAAAAAGUACCUCCAUGAGGGUGACAUCACUAGAGCAAUCAAACUGCAAGAUGGGAAAAUUCAUCACAUCUGAAACUACAUAUUGCAACAGCCAUUCACUGAAGUUGUAGACAAAAAUGCUUCAUGUGCAAUAAUCACAAUCAAAUUUAAGCAUUAAAACCCUGUCUCCAAGUUCAUUUGCAGCUUCACUAACAAUCCCAACUGUCACAACAUCUAUAGUGAAUAGACCAGUUUUCCAUUUUAUAAAAAGAGCAUGUUAACUCUAGCAUCUUAAGUUGGACAAAUCCAAAAAUAAAAGGGAAAAAGAAAAGAGGAUAAUCCAUUUAAGUCUAUAUUAAAAUUUAAGAAUAGUCAAUAAGGUACCGUUAAACUAUAUGAUGCUUCCACUUCACCAGUAUUCGUUGUUGUGAUUGUCGCAGUUCCAAAUUGAGUAAGGGCCUCAAACAUUGGGACAUUGAUACUUAAGAUUUUCCCAGGACUCCUACAAAUGCAUAAAAAAAACCUUCGGCAAUAAGUGAAACUUAAUGAGGAUCAAAAAGUUAUAUGAAGCUUAAAAAUCUUGGUUAUUUGGAUUCUAGAUGUCCCAAGUGAAGACACAUUUUAAUUAUUAGAAAACUACUAAAUUCAAAAAGUUAAAGUUGUUAGAGAAUGGACCAACAAUACAUAUCAAUUGAAUACCCUCCCUCACAUCCAGCCCCAUCAUGUACGUGCGGAGGCAGCAAAGAGAUGGGGAUAAUAGAGACACAUAAAGGUGCCUCCCUCAGAACCUCUGGCAAACAGAGAUAAGAUACAAUGUUUAAAACUACUUAUUUCCAUCAAUUACAUGAGUGACUUGGCUUAACCGAAAAGAAAAGAACCUACACAGUUUUCAGCAUAUCAGUCAGGAGGACUUUAGCUAAUAAAAGUACAAAAAGGAGCAAUGGCAUCUUUGUUUUCCAAGUUCAUCUCAUCUUAACAAAUAAAUUCUUGAAAAUAAAAUUAGUAAGAGUGCUUAAGGAAAUAAUAAAAACCUUGAAAAUGAAUAGCCCAUACAUGAAACAAUUAUUUCAAAUACAAGCCAAUCAAGCAUACUCAUUAUAGGGAGUUGAUGUUCAUGCCUUUUAAUAAAUACAAAAUCCUUCUAAAAUAAGUCAAAUACAGUAGCCUGAAAAUACUAACCUUUGGUAGACAUAUUCUACGUCAUCAGCACUUAGUUCUAUCAAGAGAUUAGUAUUAAUAACUUCAGUGACUCCUAUGGAAAACGAAUGAGUUCCUGCAUUCUGCAUCCAAUCAGAAAUGAUAAAUAAAUCCCGAUGAUAGAAAUUGUUGUGAAUGUACUUCUAAAAUUGCUAAGACAUAACUGGAUGCUGGUUUAUCCUUUCAAACCUUCCUUCCACACCAUAAAGUGGCAACUGAUUCCUUUCAAUUCGGUUCUGGUCAGCCUGUCAGAAAGAAAAAACUUGUUCCUCGGUUUCCACAUCAGCUAUAAAAUAACCAUGUACCAAAUAUAAAACAGCCACAAUCCUCUGAAAUAUCUCAUUGUACAAACGGAGAAAGAGACUCCUGCCUUUCUGCCAACGAUAUAUGAUAGAACAUGAGAUUUCACUAUAGUUUAUGUAAAGAACUUGAAGCACUUAUGGAACUUUCAGUACCAAUGUCAGCAAUGCGAAACUAUAGCAAUACAUUCAACAAAAAUAAGACUGAAAUGAGAAGCAUACACUAGAGAAGAUACAACUUUCAGGCUGGAUAGACAAACCUAACCAAAAAGAGAAGCAUGCAAUAGAUAAGAUACAACUUUCAGGCUGGAUAUACAAACCUCCCAGAAAUUCCAUAAUUGAUUAUGCAAGCAACUCCAGAAUGGUGAAGAGCAAAAGUUUGGCUGCCCAUUGAAAGCCUCAUAACUGACACCAAUUUUAUUACAUUCAACACCAUCUAAAGAAAACCUUACUCUCUCUAGCAGCAUCCACAUAGAAAGGUUCCUCCCCAAGUUCUGGGGUUGACCAGGACCCCCCUUCCACAAAAGGAAAAUGAAACUCUCAGCAAUAGAAGAAAAUAACAAAUACUGCAUGGCUGUUUAUAAAGAAAAAUUAAUCAAUUAGCUUGAUCUUUUAUAGUAACUCUAAUAUUAUCAGUCUCAUAGCAGAUGCUUUCAAGAAUCACACUUAUUUAAAAUGCGAAUGCAAACCAAUGAGUGAUAUUGGAACCUCAGACCAACACUACCAUCCAAACAUAGUGCAAAUAUUGUAGUGAACUUUUGACCUAUUACAUUCUCUUUUACAAAACCAUUAACAUAAAGAAUAGCUGUACCUAGUUACUCCCGUAAGAAAUACAUACUUCAAAUAAAGCAUAUAUGCCAAUGGUACUAACGGAAAUUACAUUGGUGGAGCCUGCAUACCUGCCUCGGAAUUACAAGGUAGAAAUCCUCGAAUGAUGGUAUAUUUGUGUAUCCAACAAAAUCUCCAAUAAGAUUAACUCGUACAAAAUUAUCAUUGGAUAUCGCUGUUCUAUUCUCAGGACCAACAAGCACUUCCUGGUGGCAAAUAAAGUAUCCAUAAAUCUUUGUUAUGAAAUGAAAUUUAACAUUACUAAGAGCAAGAUAAGAGGAUGAAGUGCUGUAAAGUAAAAGGGAAAAGGGAGCUUCAUUCCACGGGGAAAGGAAAAUUGUAUAUAGUAGUUCAACAUGAAAUGAGCUCUAAUUUUCAGCAGAGGUCUAAUUUUUCGCCACAGGAAAAAGACACAAGAUUUUCAAACACAUGUUACAAGACUGAAUUAGAUUGUAAUGAGUAAUUGUCUAUAGCAGAAACAAGCACAAUACAUUACAAGCAAUGAAUAUAUAAAUGGUACACAUAUGUGGAGAAGCAACAUACCGAAACUUUAGAUCCUGUCUUCACCUGAACUAGAACACUGAAUCCCACUGACCGCUGUCCAAUACCAAAAACAUGGAACCUAAGUGGAUUUUAAAAUAAACAAAUAAAAAUUCACUUCUCGGAUAAUGGCCAAAGGGUAUGAAUAAACAAGAACAUCAAAAAGGAAAUAUAUUGGCCAUGUAGAAUUGUUUAUAGUUGUAGCCUCCAUCACUUAUAUUGUCAAACAUAAACAAUUAUUUCAAGCAAAACAAUAUUGGACUCUUAGUAAUCUUAGUUCAACCUUCGUAACUCCCCAGAAGAAAAGAAAAACCAAGCUUCUUCACAUAAUUUUAAAUUUGAUAAGAUUAUUUGACGGUAGAAAUGUAUCAUAUUUCACAAAUUCAUGAAAAUUUAUGAAUAUGAUCUCUAUAUGAAAACUUUAUUGAAAGUAAAACAAAAAGAAUAUGAGAAAAAGACAACUACUACCACGGAAAAUGACAUAGCCUCAUAAAUUUCUAUAAACCAGAGAGCUAUGGCAUGUCGGCUGGAACUUAUCAAAAAUCAAUUAUGAACCUUUCAAGAAAAACAUAAGCACAAUGAAGAACUUAGAACUUAAAGCAAGGACCUUACCAAUCACCCGGAAAACGGACACAAUGGGCAGUAUUCGCUUUUCCCUUCAUCAACUUAUCAACUAACAAAAGAAAAGUAUCAAAUUCAAUAGUCCAAGAUGGCAAGAGGCAUUGUACAAGUAAAAUUUAAGAAAAUGUAAACAACUAAAAUGCACUUACACACAUUUCCACAUGAUGAAGGUACCCGCCGCUGAGGCCCACAAGGACAGCAGAUUGGCUAUGCAGAACAUAACAGACAAAAUGGAAGAAAAGAAUACAUCACAAACUGCUUACAAAAAUCUAUGAUAAAUAAUAACUGUUAAGCAUCAAUAGACUACUGAACAUAUAACUUUGGACAUUUUUCAACAUCAAUUCAACAAGAGCAAUCUACUAAUAAAUUGCGAGUGACCUUAGAACGUAAGCUAAAUAGCAAUACAAGCAUAAAUAAUCAGAGAAAAUAACCAUAUGCAACCAAUAUUAUUAUGGGAUGUACUUAAAUAGUGUGACAACGUGGAGAAACAAUUAUUGUGGGAUGUCACAAGGCCUAAUAUGUAUACAUAUAAUGCUAUAGAACCCCUGAUCUAUAAGAAAGAAUAAAAAAAAUAAAAAAAAGGCAAAAUAAAAUGAUAACUUUGAAAGUACAUAUACUAAAGACUCAAAAGUACUACUUGCACAAAAAUAAAAUGAUAACUUUGAAAGUACAUAUACUAAAGAUUGUAGAAAUGGCACCUCAGUGUGCUCAAUAAUGUGAUCGUUUUCAUCCCGUAACCUACAGAACAUGCAACGGAAGUCCACUGGUCAUAUAUAUAAACAUGGUAAAGAAUAUGAUGUUUGUCUAUGAAGGCAACCACCCACCACCCUUCCCCCCCUUCUAAAUGAAUUUUUUUUUCCUCAGCAUGUUAGUUAACGAAACCAAAUUUAAAUAGAUAAAUAAAUUAAGGCUACUGUAGCUGCUUCUAGAAACACCACUAUCACUCACCACAAUAAGAUUAGGGUUAAAUUUAAGUGCCAUAAUAUCAAAAUUGAAGAGGUUUUUUCUUGCGUAUAUUGAACAUCACAAAUCUACCAAAUAUGAUGAAGGUCUUGAACCUUCCUUCACACUGAGUCCUCAUGUACUAAGUGUCCAACUAAGCAUUCAAAACUCUGAAGUGACCAAACAGAUAUUUUUUUAAUAAGUCUCUCUAUACAGAGUAAGUACAUUUCUAGUGAUCUUUUUGACAUCUAAGCCCCGUAAAACAAAUAUAAUGUCCUUUACUUGGUAACAUAAACAUAAGAAUCUACCUCAGAAUGAUAAUUUCUAAAACAACAUUUAAUGUAAAUCGGCAUCAAUAACGACUAGGACUAGCAAGAAGGUGUGUAAGCAAACUCAGACUUUUGAGGAGUAAAAGAAGUGAAGCAAACUCAUUUCACAUGGCAACCAAAGUAAACAUGGUUAAGCAGUCAUCGCCUUUAUAUUCUGUCUUCUUUUGCACCCAAGUUUUUGGUCCCAUAUUUUCACCCGACAAAUGGACACAAUCUACGAUCCUAACUGCAGCUUCCAAGUAACUCUUAAAAUGUAUAAUCCCAAAGGUAAAAUCCCUAUAUUGGCAUGAGACAAUAAACUAUAAGAACCCUUUAACUUGUACCAAUCAAAAGCUCAAUAAAAAUUAAAAACCAGUGAAGGAAACAACAAAAGGCUAAAAGAUUGUUUGCCUCUCACAUAUCUUCACAACUUUUGCAUCUGCAUCUCGCUCACAUUUGCGGGUCUUAACAUAGUACUCUUCCGGUUUAAAGGCAACAUCCUAUACAAAUGUUACAAGUACCAAUUAAAACAUAUAUGGAAAUCGAAAAGUACCAAGUAAGAAGUUAACAAGAAAGUUUCAGUUACCCUACUCGUAUGUACGUAAGCUCAUACAAUGCAUAAGCCGCGGACUUGUUGACGGUCAGAACAGGGGGAAUUCGAAAAUUUUGCAUCUUUUGGCUUGAAUUCUCUUCCACCUCUACGAUUUCGGCAACAAUUGAUGCCUCUCCGCCGCUCUGUAAUUUCAUCAAACAUCUCACAAUCAUUACCUGCAUUUAAUUUCAAGCAGUGAAAUUAGGGAUGGUGAGUUUGUCGUUUACCGUGCCACUAGGAAUGGCCAUGUUGAGGACGAUCUUCUUGGUGCAAUUCAAGUUUCCGGAAUCGGAAGUCUUCUCGCACUUCUCGAGCUUCGAUUUGGAAAGAAUCUGAACUGCGACGACGUCGUGUGGAGUGAGAAACCCGAUGAAGCACAGAAGGAAGAGGAGGGUCUUGUGCCCUAAUUUUGGCGUUUGGGUUCUCAUUUUCUUUUGCGAUUUCUGUGACUGAAAUCUGCCACCAACGGUUUGGUUUUGUAGAAGAGCAGUUGUUGGAGGCGCGGGUAGACGUUUGGUUUUGAAAAACUGCCACCAACGGUUUCCUUAUUCAAAUGACGGUUGGUUAUUCCAACGACGUCGUUUCUGUUGAUGAAGUCACGUGUGUGUAUAAUGCCCCUUCACGUGGGGCAGGGACACAUGGGAAAACCUGAUGAGAAAUUGAGUGUUGACUUUUUUUUGGGUUACAAAAAAGCACAUGCGGAGGAUUUAACUUGGAACCUCAUUAAGGAGUCCAAUCGUAUUCGCCCAACAUAUGUAAUGUAGCCCGUUCAAUUUUUCACGAGACCAAACCCACUUAGGUUGAGUGUUGACUUUGAAAUGUGUUAACAUGUGUAUGUGUGACAUUUACAUGCUGUACAUCAUAAUGCACCAUAUUGAGUCGGCAUGUAGUUACGAACACUCAUAAGUGAAUACAUAUUAAUUUCCACAAUCACAAUACUUUAUCAGGAUAUUAAAAUUUCCUUUUUAAUAUCAAAUACUAAUGCGUGCUAAAAUCGAAUGAACUCACUCUCUCAAGUCAUGGACAAGAUGCAUCCAACGGUUGGGCUUAAAUCAAGCCAUGAAACCAUUCGUUUGCUAGUGAUGGUGAUGGUGAGGAUAGAGAUGGACUACGUUGCAAAAACAAUUAAAUAAAGUCGUGAAUUAAGCAGCCAACCGCUCCCCGCUUCCCAAUUUGCUUUAAAGUUAAACUAGUGGCCACAAGCAAUACACAUCUCCGCACCUGAUUGCUCCCUCCGUUCGGUGGGGACACGUGGCGGGUCCCUGCUUCGUCCAGCGAUUCGUACACACAGAGAAUUAAAAUAAUAAUAUAAAAUAGAAAAUAUUACAACAGAGAGAGAGAGAGAGAGAGAGAGAGAGAACCAUUUCGAGAGCAGCUCUUCGUAAAGAAGAAAGCCAAAAGCUAUAUAGCAGCUACAGCUAUGCGCAUUGCGCACACCCCUUUCUUCUCCACUGCCGCGAGACCUAAGAGACGACGGCCAUGGCGGCCCACGACUCACCGGAGAGUCUGUACCGAGUUCUCUUCGAUCGGUGCCAGAGUCUGGAGGCGAGCUACGCCAGGCUCAGAGCAGAGCUUCAUGAGCUUCGGCACCACGGGAGGAAGAAGGAGGAGAAGCGAGAAGAAGACGAUGCGGUGCUGACGUCAGACUAUUCUGGUUCGAGCUUCCAUCUGCCCGGGUUCUUCCUCUCUGGCAGUCCGUACAAGGGCGUAUUGGACUCCAUGGGCCACGCCGUUCUUGUGUGCACAGCUUUCUCUGGAGAGAUCAAUUACUGGUACGUAAUUGCAAAACUGCGUCGUUUGAUUCGUUUUGUUGGUUUCUGAAGUUGUAUGUAUUUUGACUGUGUCAUUGUGAUAGGGUGGUGGUACUGUAUAUAUGAUAUUGAUGAAACAGUUGAUGAAUUUAUGAACUUCAGCAUUGCGCGAAUGUGUUUUGUUGACUCUUAAAAAUUUUCGAGGAUUUUUGGUAAAGAAUAGCUAGAUUCCUCCAAAAUUUGUGCGUGUUUAGCGUUUACCUCAACAAAUGUUGACAUGCUUUCAAUAUUACGUCACAUAUGAUCCGUUUGAGCUCAAGAAUUUGAGUUUAUGACAUAUGAAUGUAGGAAGAAGUGUUUUAUAUUGUUAGUUUUCUGUAAAUUUUUGUUGUCAUACUGGUUAUGCAUUAUUUAUAUCAAUGAACAUUUAUAUUGACUGAAUUGUGGUUAUGUUUGGUAUCCUAGAACUCAUGCAUGUUGGAUUGACCUCUGAAAUCCUACUAAAGACGCCGUCGUUGAUAGCUUGCAUGUGUUAGCUCAUGUGAAGUUAAAUUGCUUCAAAAAAUUGUGCCUUGUUUAUUGUUUAUCCCAGAAAAGAUUGACAUGUUUCGGCACUAUAUCAUAUAUUAUCAGUUUGAGCUCAAUAAUUUGAGUUUAAUACAGGAAUCGUUCUGCUGAGAAUCUCUAUGGAUGGAAGGACUAUGAAGUCCUUGGGCAAAGGGUUGCUGAGCUCCUCAUUGCUGAAGAUUACCAUGCACUUCUAAAGAGAAUCAUGGAAAGGUUGAGACUUGGGCUAACAUGGUCAGGUCAGUUCCCUUUUAAGAAGAGGUCUGGAGAAAUAUUUAUGGCGAUGGUGACCAAAAGCCCUUUAUAUGAAGAUGGUGAGCUUGUCGGUAUUAUCACAGUUUCAACUGAUGCGGCAUUGUGUAAUAGAAUAGAAUCAGAUCUGAGUGCAUUCAAGGAUCGUGCCAAUGCCAAACAUAGAGGAUGGCAGUUAAAGUACCCGCGACCACCAGUUGUACCAGUGCCACAGAUUGCAUCAUCUGUUUCUAAUCUGGUGCUUAUGCUACACAACCACAAUUCUUGUGAUUUCAUUCAGAUAGCUGAAAUUGUGUUUUACUCAUUAUACUGGUGAACCAAUCAGGCCUCAAAACUUCUAUCAAGAAAUGGAGAUGAUGUGUGCAAUUCAAGUGUGAUGGACGAGGUCAGGGAGGACUCUACAACAGCCACUGAAGAUGCUAACUUAGAGAAACCUGGUUCGCUGGUGAGUCUCCGUCAUAUUAAAUCAUGAUGUCUAUGUUUUUUUUUCUUCCUCUUCAUUACUCUUUAGAGUGUGUCUAAAUUAUUUGGUUGAGAUGGGUGCAGACAGUAAAGUUCUUGGCAAAGCUGCAAAUUAUAGGAACCAACAAAGAAGGGAAACAAGAGGAUCCUAAUUCCCCGAGAAAGUCAAAAGCAUCAAGUUCAUGCCACUUCUUUGUUGAUACAGACGGUAAGGAAGAAAGACCCAACAAAAUAAAUUCUUCUCUCGAAGAUAAGAGAACUCAUUCAAAUGCAUUUUGGCAAAAAAAUCCAAUUCCUUCAGGCAAGAAUUCUGUUUUAGCCUCUUCAAGGGAGUGCAACGAAUGUUUUAGGUUAUCCAGACCAGGUUAUCCGAAACCUGAAGAACACAACUUGAAUGCUUUAGAGAUACAAGAUGCAGUGCAUGAACAAAAUGGUAAACAAUUACCAAGUUCUGUGGAGAGCAUUGGCAACCAUGAUAGUUGUUCAAGCAAAGGGGUUAAUGACUCUAAUCCCAGGGAGGAUUGUGAGAUUCGCUGGGAUGACUUGCAUUUGGGAGAGGCAAUUGGACACGGUAAAGGGGGCUAUUUGUGCUUUAAAUCUAGUACCUAUUCAAAAUUAAAAAACCUUGAAUGCUUUGGGGGUUGGUAGAACCCACUAUCACUCUUGCAGCUUUGUUAGGACGUUCAAUAUAUAACUCUGCAGGAGAUUUGUUAGUUAUUCCAUGUUUGACAGUCUGUUAAUAUAAAUGAAAUUAGGUGAUGUUACCAAAGCUAUUUUUCGGAACUUUUUCUUUUCGGCCCUAAUAGCUAUCCUUACUUUAUGUGGUGGAAUUUCUUAAAAUGUGAAAUGAGUUUGGUGGUCUUUGGUUUCUAAACGUACAUGUUUGUUUGUUCUUGCCUCCCAGGUUCAUGUGCCAUUGUUUAUCGUGGAAUCUGGAAUGGAUCGGUACAUGUCUAAAUUUAAAGAGUUCCUUAAUAUCUUACUGAAACCAAAGUUAAAUCGAUAAUUUGAAAUUUUGACCCAAUAUUUUCUAUUCUUUUUUGUGUUUUUAGGAUGUUGCCAUUAAGAUGUACUUCAAAAAUGAAUACAGUGAGGGGAUUUUACAUGACUACAAAAAGGAGGUGAUAUAAAUUCUCAAUUGACUUUUAUUGUUUGUAAUUGUUGUUUGAGAAAGAAAGCAGCUGAUCCCAGGAUCUCUUUUGAAUUCUUUAGAUUGAUAUAAUGAAAAGAUUGCGGCAUCCUAAUGUUUUGUUGUUUAUGGGAGCAAUAUGUUCACAAGAACGGCUUGCCAUUGUCUCAGAGUACUUACCUAGGUAAUUGGAAGUAUACUACUUUUCAAUGAUUAGUCAACAAAUCAUAUUAAGAGUUGACGCAUUAGGUUACUAUUUCAUGUUAUGUUAAUUUUGAAUUAUACCAUGUUUAUGUCAGUUCGUAUUAUGCCUUUUUAUUUUGGGUCUGUUGGUACCGAUCUUAUGAAGGCUUAAUAAAUGCAAACCAUUUAAUACCGUUCUCCUCAUGAUAUGGCAAUUAUAGGCUAAUAUUACAUUGAUUCUGUUUGUGUGGUUAGGGGAAGUCUCUUUAAACAACUUCACAAGAACAAUCAGACAUUAGACAUCAGACGACGGCUAAUGAUGGCCCUUGAUGUUGUACGUCCCUCUCUCCUUCUCUCUCUGUGUAUUUGUGUCUGCGCACGGUUGCAUGUCUUCAUGUCUUCAUUACAACAAAAAUUAUGCUGUCACAGCAUUAGAUGCACAAAAUGUGCGCAAAUCCAACUUUGGCUAUUUACAGCAGGGUGUGACACUAUAUGCAAUUUGUGUAUGACUUUUGCAAAUUGCAUACAAAGUCAUGCGAGGAUCAGUUCUUUUAUUCUUAUUUUUACAUAAGAGUGUUUUUAAGCCUUUCAUCUGUCAAUAAGAUAACAAAUCUACUCUUAUAAUGCAGGCUAGAGGCAUGAAUUACUUGCAUCAUAGGAAUCCACCUAUAGUUCACAGAGACUUAAAAUCGUCUAACCUGCUGGUUGAUAAGAAUUGGACUGUGAAGGUAAUGUGAACUGGCCACUAGUUAUUCAAGCAGAAUAAGUAUAUACCCGUCACUCAGACAAGCGCUUUUUCUGUCAGGUUGGUGACUUUGGCUUGUCGAAGUUGAAGAAUGCAACCUUCUUGACAGCAAAAUCUGGAAGAGGAACGGUCAGGAUCUCUUUCUGAGGUCUUUUAGUUACGAACUGUGCUCACAGAUAGGCUAUAGAAGAUAUUGAAAAGUGAUUUAAGUGAUAAGCUUCGCUGUUGUAAUUUUUCUGAUUCAUGUGACUACCUUUAUUAAAUAAUCUUACUUCGACGUCUUUAUUUUUCUAAAUGCAGCCUCAGUGGAUGGCCCCUGAAGUCCUUCGAAAUGAACCUUCAAAUGAGAAGUAAUUUCUAAAAACUGACCUUUAAAAGUCAAUUAAAUAAACAGUGGCUAAACUUUCUGGGAAACUAUGUGUCUGCUGUAUACCUGUCGUUGCUCCCUUUUUUGUGCAAAUGUUUUUUUGCCAAUGCAUUGAGCUGCCUUCUCUUUAAACAGGUCUGAUGUGUUUGGCUUUGGUGUCAUCCUGUGGGAACUAAUGACCGAAUCGAUUCCAUGGAAUAACCUCAAUUCUUUACAGGUUCUCUCUCUUUUUCUGAGUGAGCACAUGUGCACAUAUAACCUUGAUGCUCUGUGGUUCUUAAAUCUCAUUGAAAAUUGUUUAUUUCUUUUGGAAGGUUGUUGGAGUUGUAGGGUUUAUGGAUAGAAGAUUAGACAUACCAGAAGGCCUCGACCCCCAAGUCGUGUUGGUCAUCGAAGACUGUUGGCGAAGGUACACUCAGCUAGCUCGUUUUUCUUUACAAAAACUUGGAACUUGCAAAUUGAACUAAAAUCAUUCUUGUCAAUAACAAGCAGUGACCCAGAACAGCGGCCAUCAUUUGAAGACAUAAUUCAGAGAAUGAAGGGUCUGGUCCACAAAGUUGCAGCACCAUCGGUAAGAAGGAGCUCAGAAGCUUAGCUAUUUAAUAUGGUUUAGGUUAGACAUGCACCUUUUUGCCAAUCGUUAAUAAACAGUUCAGAAUGUGCUAAUUUUUUUUGGACAAAAGAAUGUGCUAAUUUAGAUUAACUGCGUGAUGUAUAUAUAUCUAUAUAUAUAUAUAUAUAUAUAUAUCUAUAUAUAUAUAAAGAUUUUUUCUUUUUCUUUUCUACAAUUGUGUUUAUUUGUUUUACAAGUGGAACCUGAGGGAAAUAAAAAGGUGUCAGACCCCCAAUGUUGGGUAGUGUUGAAUUUUACAAUCUUUCUGUAGAAGAGGGAACUAAUGUCUUUUGGGAAGCCAAGUGUAUGGGAGCUAAGUUUGGUACCAGCUAUCUAUCUUCUAUUCGGCGCGCCACACAUGUAAUACCAGCACAAUCUAGGCACUUGUGUGGUAUUAGAAUACUGUCAUGUGAUGUUAUUAAUCGUAGUAUUUCAACAUUCCUUGCAAUGGUAUACGGAUUGGAUUGUAUCACUUGUGGCCUCCUUCCGGGCAAAUACACUAGUGAUCUUCCUGUUAUGUUCUCCAAAUUUUGAUCCAUUUUUAUAUUAAGUCAACAACAAUAGAUAAGUUGUUUAUACAAGGAGACGUAAUGUUUAAGCAUUGUAUAUUAUUGCAUGAUUCGCAUCUUGAUUGGGAUAUUUCAUUUCGUAAUUUAUACGAGAGACGUAAUGGUUUCUCUUGACCCUACCCUAUCUUCUGAUCCUGAGGAGAAUUUCAUAAUUGGCAUGUUUCAUGCACGAAACAUUUAUUUUCAUCCUCUGCCAAAAAAUAAAACAUUUUUCAUCUGAAAGACAUUGCAUUAUCAUGAAAAUUAUUUAUGAAAAUCAUCAAUUUUAGCUUGAGUUCAUGGCCUGAGUCCAAUAUGGAAUCAUCAAUUUUAGUUUGAGUUCAUAGCCUGAGUCCAUAUGGGCUCGGAUAAACAGGCAGAUAUGGACUCAUACCAAAUUUGACUUAUAUAUUGUAUUUUUUUGUAAUUUUUUUUAUUACUUCAUUUAAAUCUUUUUUUAUAAUUAUGUAUAUACUAAUAUUAUUUAUUAUUUAUUAUUUUAAAAAAAGUCAAUAACUUUAUUUAAAGUAUAUUUAAAUAAAAAAUGAUUAAAUUAUUAUUUGGGUUUUAAAAAUUAAAAUUUGAAAAAUAAAAUUAUUAUUUUAUAUAAAAAUAAAACAUUAAAUUUUAAUAUAUAUUUUUAGAGAAAAGAAAUACAUUUGAAUUUAAGAUAUAAAUGUAAUAAUAUUAUGAAUUUUUUUCUUUAAAACAAAGUAUAAUUGAAUAAAUGGACUUUAAACGAGUCAGUUCGUUGGAUUUCAAGCUGGCAUGGCCUGCUACGGGUCACGAGUUAGCCCGACUCAUUGAACUUAAUUAACUCAUCUUAAUAUGGUUUAAAAAUACGAACCGUAUCAUAUUAAAUCUUACUUAAACGGGCUAUAUUCGUGCCGUAUUCGUGCCGGCCCAAUCCAUUUGACACCUCACCCAAUCCAACUGCUCAAUAUAAAACUUAAAACAGAAUUCUCAACCAUACGAACCAAGUGCUCCAUUAGAUUUUUAAAAAAAAACAUUGACAACCAAGGUGGUUGGUGUGAGUGGUUCGGCAUUCUCAUUCCUUAAGAGAAGGUCAAGGGUUUAACCCCUGCUCUCGUAUGGAGUCACCACUUUGGCCAUCACUUUAUCCCUCAGGACUGAUCCGAUGUGAGCAGAGAUUAGUCUAGAUUGUGGUUAAGGCUUAAAGGUGCCACCCACAAUUAGGGCCCAUUCAGGACCACCUCGUGGUUCAGACCGAAAAACAAAAAAAAAACAAAAAAACAUUGACGGAGCAGCGAAAUUUGAAUUUGACUCGUCGUCAAACUUCGCACACUUUUGUACAGUGUAAUCCAAUCCACAUUGGUUGCCUCCAAACCAUGGUUUUCCUGACAUCUGGUGCACGUGGACAUAGUUGACCAAGUUUCAGGUUUGAUCCGGAUGCCUGUCGGCAGGCAGCUGGGUGUGAAGGGUAGAAAACUCGGUGAUUUGAGCAUUUUGUUGUUUCUCCACCGUCCAUCCAAACCACCCACUCUUUUUUUAUUUUCUUUUUGUCCAUAUUUAAUCAUUGCCGUAGUGUUUAGGGUAAGCUAGACCUAGUUUGCUAGUGAAUUUGUGAAAUGACAAUGCAUUAGGGAUAUGAUUGGACGUCAUAUAAUUCUAGGGUGCCCUAUAAAUCUAGGGUACAUACAACGUACAUACAUGUGAUCCUCCCCCCUUUCUUCAUCAUUUUCCUUUGCUUCUAUAAAUCUAUUUCUGUCUCUUUUCUGUCUCUCUGUGCCCAUAGAAGAUCUCUGAUUUCUGAUUUUUCUGGUUCAUAGAUAUGAUAUGAUCAUGCAGUCAUUUUUCCACAACUUUUCCAGUGAUGCCCUUGUGAUUAAAAUUCACUGGGUCCCCAGGUAAAGCCAUUGGUCCGAUGGGGAGGUAUCAUUAUCACCAAGAUUUUGCCCUCCCUCUGAUCUGAUCAAUCAAUGUGGUGGCCCACAUGUUAUUGUCUUAUAAAAGGUGGGUCCAAUGGCAUCUAAGCCAUUGGAAAGGCACAAAGAUUAUUUACCUAAGUUGGUGUGGGUUAAUAGAGCAGUGUCUUAUAGUUGUAGGGCAAUCUGUGUAUAUAUUCUAGUACGUGUUUUGAUCCACUGGUUUUUCUUGCAGACACAUAUGGAGACAAACAAUUCCACUUUCUCUUUUUGUGUUUUGUUUUGUUUUGUUUUCUAUUUUUCUGUGUUAUUUUGUUGUUGUUGUUCAUAUAAGAUGGUAUCUAAUCAAUUAUCAAUCUAAUCUCACUUGACUUAGAUUCGACGUACAACUAAUACAUGCCAAAAAGCCAUGGCCUCCCAUGCAUUAGUCAUAAACUUGUCACGGACGUUUUCGGCCGUGUCUCUCUAUCAAUCAAUUACUCUUUAGAAUCUAUCUUUUUAUCACUCAUGAUAUUUGGGAUUUAGGAAUUUAGGAAUUUUUUAAAUAACUUUAGUUGAGAUGAUGUGGGAGAGAAAGAAAAAGUACUGGAUUCAAAGGUCGAUUUUAAUCCAAAAUUAAUAUAUAAAUUGAUGGUACAUUUACUAGUCCGAUUAUAGAUUAUGAAGAAUUGAAUUGCGAAUGAAUUGGAUUGAAGAGGAGUUGAAUUGAGGAGAAUUAGAUUCCGGAUUCCUAUUGAAGUUGUUUACUAAACUAUAUAGAUUGAGGAAAAUUAGAUUCCGAAUUUUUAUUAAAGUUGUUUACUAAACCAUAUAGAGUUGGAGUUGGAGUGAUACUAAUUACUAAAAUGUUCUCGUUGUUGGGAUAAAGUAUAUGAUAAAUUUUGAAUUUUUAAAAUUGUGUGAGAAUAUAAUUGGUAAAAAUAAAUAAAUUCCUAAUAUGUUAAAUCUCUAGGAAUUAGAAUACUACAUCACACCUAAGAAUGGAAUUCCUCCAAAAUCAAGAAUUCAACUCCUAAUUUUGUGUGAGCUCCACUUACUUUUUAAUUUCUUGAUGUGAAGUAAGCACAUGAAUCCUUUAUAGUUGAAAUUCAAUUUCAAUUUCAAAUUCCAAUUCUUAAUUAGUAAACACACAAUAAGUUAAAUGUGCUAUACCAAAACACCAAAAUCUUGUGUCAUCCAAAUACUCUCAUUUGCUUAAGUCCCUCUUAUAGUCUAAACUCGUGCCAUUUGUUACCUACCUCUAAAUGUGUUUAAUGCUUAAUGAAAAUUGAGGUAAUGUGCUUAAUGAUGAUGCAUGUCAUUUAGAGAAAUUAUUGAGUGUGACCGUCAUAUCGUCAUAUGAUGUUAUCAAUCAACGUAUUAUAAUAUUAUUAGUAAGUUAUAUAGUUGAGAUGUCAUAUACUUUUUUUGUUGUUGAGAAAUUUUAGGAUUGCAUUCAUAAUUCAACCCAAAAAAAAAAAAGUCAAUAGUCACAAAGGACCAUUACAAUAAAAAAAAAAAAAUCGGUCUAACAUCAAAAUUAAGACAAUCUGGUACACAUCUACUAACGAUCACACAAAUUGAAGAAACUUUGACAUAGACAUUCCAACUGAUAUUGCAAAUUCAGAAUAAUCAAAAAGAUAUAUAAUUGUGGAUCCAAAAGAAUCAUGAGUUAGUUAGAACAAGGAAGAUAAAUGUAGAACAAAUUCAUUUUUAUCUGGUGGUAGUUGGUAGUAGUUACCACUAAGUUGAAGUAAGUCACAAAUUUGACUUAGGUAGAUAGGAAUCUAAUGCCGAUUAAUUUAUCAUAACAAAGACAGGAAACAUAUUCUUUUCUUUUUUUCCUAUUGUAAAAAAGAAAACAAAAAUAAAUUAGAAAAUCAACUGAAAAUGAGGAUAAUAUGUGCACAAUUACCAUAGUGCUACGAAUAAGAAAAGUUUUUUUUUUUUUUUCUUCAGUAUAACGUAGAAUUAGCUUUAACAUUAACUCGUGACAAGAAGUUGUCAAGAACUUCUCAUAUUUUCUCACUCUUGUCCUUGUGAAGCAAGAUCCUCUUCUUUAUUUUUUCUUCCCUAGAAUUUUCUUUACUAUUUUAAACACAUAAUUAGACAAAUCUAGAUCAUUUCUUUGUCUUGGCAAUCCAUAGUUUUAUGCAUAUGUAUAGGUUCUAGUUUGUAAGAACAAUUCAAUACAUCACAACUAAAAAUAGGAUGUUCAUCACGCGACUGCAUGUGCAUGUGACAAAAGUUAUGAACAAGAGAAAACACAAAGCUAGAUGAUUAGUCUUUUUAUAUCUUUUAUUUAUCUUGUUCUUUUUAAAAUAAACACUAAAAACCAAAACGGCAUCAGUGAUCCCAAUUUAUUCCAAUCUUUUUGUUCUUAUUCCAAUUUGUAAUUUCCAAAAAACUAGAAAAAUCCAACAACAAAAAAGAGAGCAAACGACGACCAAUGUAAUGAACCAAACGCGCCAUGCAGAGCAUGGAGUUUCACUUCCCUACUAGCAUGUGUUUAAUCAACUCCCCAUCAAUGUCCCCUCCUUUGACAAUCUCCGCCAUAUAAAUAAAUUCCCUCUUUUUCUUUCUUUCUUUGCUCCCAAGUCCCAACCUUUUAUCUCUCACUCUCUCCCUCUCUCUCUCUCUCUCUCUCUCUCUCUCUCUCUUCUGCAACUGCAAAUGCAACUCCAUAACCAAACCCACUUCCUCAAACCACUCCCAUCACAUCACCCUUAGCCUCUGAGACACUUCUCCGAACAACCCAAAAAAUGGGCAAAGCCUCCAAAUGGUUCCGCUCCAUCCUGGGCCUCAAAAAGCCCGACCCGACCCACCAAACCUCCACCUCCUCCCCAAAACCACCCACCAAAGACAAACGCCGCUGGAGCUUCGUCAAGUCCUACAGAGAAAAAAACCACCACCGCCAUCAAAACGACACCCCGCCGCUUCCUUCCGACUCCUCAAACGACGCCGUGGUCGAUCCCAACAAACACGCCAUCGCAGUCGCAGCCGCGACCGCCGCCGUGGCCGAAGCCGCAGUCGCCGCCGCGCAAGCUGCCGCCGCCGUGGUCCGCCUGACGAGCAGCGGACGGUGCCCCAGCAACCCCGCGGCGCACGUUAGCACGGCCCUAAUUGGGGUCCGCGAAGAAGAAUGGGCCGCUCUGAAGAUUCAAGCUGCUUUCCGAGGCUGUUUGGUUCGUAUCACCGCUGAAUUAUUAUUAUUAUUAAUUUUUUUUUUGUACAAGUUUUCUUAAUUGACCGUUAAUUUCUGAUUAAGUUACUGGAUUAGCAUUGGGUCGGGAAGCUGACACGUGUCCCUUCUUUCCCGUUAGGCUUCGUGCUUAGAAACUAGUGUUCCUUCUUCCAUUCUACCACUACACAGUGAAAACUGCUGCACGUUCUGUAACUGAAGGUCCCAUACGGCGUCGUUUUAGUCUUUGUAGAAUUCAUCUCAUACCCAGUUGGGCUACUUUGAGAGCUGUACAUUCCAUGUCGUUUUCUUUAAAACGGCAUUACGUGCAGCUUCUUUUGCACUGCCGUUUCUGGGUCAUCUCUCUGUCAAACACUGAAAGAGACCCGUCAACAUUUUUCGAGGAUGUGAAAUAGAUAAACCCGCUAAAAUACACAGGGAUGCGUACUAUACCACCUUCUUCCAAGAAAAACCCGUGUGGACCACUGGACCUCUCAAGGGUUUUUCUUACAGCACAUGGUCAUUUAAUUUUCAGAGGCCUUCCAUUUUGGUUGUGUUGCCGUUUUCACAGAAUGGGUGGGGCAGAAACUUUUCUCUUUGCUUUUCUAGAGUAAGUUGGUUUGGUUUGUCCAAUGACAUUUUUUUAAAUGUCAAAUUGUCAAUGUCUUGGUAUUCUUACUGUGGUUUUGGCAUUCUUUAAUUUCCUCACCUUACCUCUCACCUAACACUUGUUUAAUUGGAAGGUAAGGGACUUAAUUUCAAUUGGGUUUCUUAGUUCUUUUGCCCUUUUUGUUAGGGUUCUUUAAUUCCAACAGUGUUUGAUGUUUCCUCAUAGUAGAAACCAAAAGGCGAAGACUUGACUAAUUUAAUACGAUGGAGUCAUGUGGGGCUUUCUAAAAGAAACCAAGUUGUUUAAUUAACAGUCCCUUUGUAAUUGAUGCAUUUUAGAGGAGUGGAUGUAGAUGGCCAAAAGUUUCAACUCCAUGCGUGUUGACGUUUCUGACUGUUGGGUCCUGCACACUUAAAGUUUUGGUGGGUUCCUUAAAAAGAAUUUUCUAAUUGACUUUCUUAGGAAGAGAGGAGGGGGUGUGUAGGUUGGGUGCUUUAAUGCUGAAUUAAAAUGUAGACAGCACAGUACAGUCAAACAAUGGGAUGCCUUUUUGCAGGGGCUGGUAGUGAAACGUUCCUGUUUUCUUAUUUUUCAUGUCAGAGUUAUAGAUUCAUUUGGUACUGGCCUAAAAAUAAUUUCAUUUAGGCUCUUGUUCCAUUCGAAUUUCUGUGUAGGUCCGCGCACCUGCUCCUCAGCGCCAUAAUUUAAAAUGUCAUUUAAGUUUAGGCUAUUCAAUCAUUUGGUUGGUACUGAUAUGGUGUAUCCUGGUUUUGUUGUAGUUGACAUUUUGUGUUAUUACUUGGGUGGAGUUUUAGUAUUAUCUCGAAUGCGUUUUAAUUAGUUUUUCAUAAGUUAAGUUACUUUGUCAAAUGGAUAUUUUGAAGGCAAGGAGAGCAUUGCGAGCAUUAAAGGGAUUGGUGAGACUUCAGGCACUGGUAAGAGGUCAUAUUGCGAGGAAGAACAAUGCUGCGCGAUUGCAGCGGCUGCAAGCAAUCUUGCGUGCUCAGGCGAGAGCUCGAACAGGGCGGUCCCAAAUUUCUGAGCUCUCACAUUCAAGGACCAAGUCUUCUCAAUUUCACCAACCUGUAAGGAAAAUUUUCCUUUCCCUCCAAUAUGAGUUUUUUUCAAAUAGAUUUGAACUUCGAGUUGUGGGGACCAUUAUUUUUCAGAACAACUUAGUAGGCUUUUCUAUUCAUGCAUGUACUUUUCAGUACAGACACAUAUAAUGUUGUGAAGGAGGGUUGUUUGGUAGAAAAUUUAAAGAGCUCCAUGAUGCAUUGAUGUGUAAUUAUAUAUUAUAAGAAACUUCCAAACUUUUUUAGGUUCAUAUGGACAGUGGACGCUACUUUUGCUGUCAAAUAAAUGAGAAUGGCAGGUUGACAACUAGGAUAAUAGAUAUAUAACAGUUAAUGUCCAUAUCAAACUUGUAGACAGAUAACAUGUUAGAGGGGAAACGUUGAUGGUUAAAAAGCUUACUACUACACAGAUGUUGAGCCUUUUCUCAUUCACAAGUUUUGCCUCCUCAUCAGAAAAAUAAAGUUAGUUAUUGAUAUGAUUAACUGAGUUGUGAUUGACUAUCUGCUAAUUAGCCAUUAAUUAGCCAUUAUCAUCUGAGUUCUAAUUGACCAUCUGUAAUUGAUUUGUGUGUUUUAUGAAUCAGUGAUGACCUAAAUAUAUCAUCUGCAUUCACCAAAUGUUUGUUUACUCUUUAAACAAGAAAAAUUUCUUCUACAUGCAGGGUCCAGCAACCCCUGAAAAAUUUGAACAUCCCAUCCGAUCCAGGAGUACAAAACUCGAGCAAUUUUCAACACUCAGGGUAUGCUCAGAUCUUGUAUUUUAUCUGCAUUGUCAUGCUUUCUACUUAUAUGCAAUCCUCAUGCCUACUACUUCCUGCAGCGGAAUAUCUCCAGAUCAUAUGGCACUACAGAUGAUGAAAAGAAUGACAGGGUCCUUGAAAUCGAUACUGGGAAACCAUACAUCGCAACUAAACGGAGAAACCUUUUCCACUCUACUCAUCUUGCUCUGGCUUCAGACCAAUACAGCCAUAGCUUUACCACUUCAAAAGACUCUACAAGCCAUCAAACACUUCCAAGUCCAUCUUCUUGCGAGGUCCAAUCUUUAACUCCAUUGAAAUUCUCUCGAGAGGUUGAGGAAGACUCUUUCUGCACUGCCAACAGUAGUCCUCAGUUUUAUUCCACUUCAUCAAGGGGCGGUAAUUCAAAGAGAAGUCCCUUCACUCCCACAAGGAGCGAUGGCUCGAAAAGUUACCUAAGUGGCUACUCAGAUUACCCGAGCUACAUGGCAUGCACGGAAUCUUCAAAGGCGAAGUUAAGGUCUCUUAGUGCUCCAAAGCAGAGGCCUCAGUAUGAAAGAUCUGGCUCUGCAAAGAGGUACUCCAUUCAUGGCUUUGGCGAAUCGAAAUCAAGUGCUCAAAGGGCGUCCGCCUUGCACGCAAACUUUGCAAGCAAAGCCUACCCGGGAUCUGGUCGGUUGGACAAGCUUGGGAUGCCUGUGGGUUACAGAUACUAAUGGGGUGCCCUUUUGGGGUUUCAACCCCCUCCACUGUAAUUUUGAAUCUAAUCUGGCUAACUGAUGUACUAAACUACUUCAUUGUCCCUGUAAUGUUAAGAAUUCUAUUAGCGUAGGGGCGUACAUUUGUGGGUCUGAAUCAAAGGCUGCUUCCGGAAAAUGCCAUUACUUUCUGUGUCAGUUGUAAAAUUAAGUUGGCAGAAGGUGAAGUAAGUGUAUUGCAUGAAACUUUUAAGAAUGAAAAAUAUAUAGAAAUAUUAAGUGGUAUGGCAUUUGACCUUUGUGCUCUCAUUGAGGAAAAACUCUGGUUAUUGUUAAAGUCAUUGAAUCUGUUGACUUUUCAUUCAUUUUUCCCCCUUCGGAAUAUCACAUAGAUAAAGAAAUCUGGCCAUACAAGAGUGAGAGAGGAAAAUUAAAAAAGAGGAAAGAGAAAUUGGCUAAAGAACAUCACCUACGAACAUCACCUAUAGAAUUAACAAAACAUGAAACGUCAUUUACAAGUAUGUCUGAACGAACGCGUACGCAUGCAAAUGUGUAUCUAAAAUAAUAGUAAGGCACUUGUCUGUGUUCAAUGGAUUUCUGUUCUUUUUUCUAUAUACAAAUGCGAAGUCUUUCAUCUCCAAGGAAGAAAACUUCAAUGUGCAAAAUUCCAGCCAGCUGUACUGCCUGCAUGUCAACUUUAGAAUUAGGGACUGGAAAAUGGGUUGAAUUGAAUCAACCUUGCAUUGCACUAGGACCAAAUGAUUUUGGGUCUGCAGAUGGGUCAUUAGAUCAUAUGCCAAUUGGGCCACUUUUCAAAGCUUCUGCACACACAUAUUUUUUAAUUACACAAGCGAUAUUGAAAGAUAAGUGAAUCGAACCUAAGACCUCAAGUGCAGGGUACAUGUGGGCAUGAUAAGUUACAGUUAAACUGGAAACAAACAUAAUAAGAGUAACACAUGUGAUUUAGACCAGUUGACGAAAUCGAAGUCUGUCCCUUUACAUUGAGUUCAACUUCACAUAGAUUAGAGUAGUUUAAAAUAUCACCUAUCACAGACAUUGAUCAGCGCUUGUGAUAGCAUUACGCAUGCUAAUACUGUUGUAAACCUUGUCAGUAAACCUUAUCAAGUAACAAUCAUAAGUAGCUUGACUUUGUAAAUCUUAUCAAAUAACAAUUAAAGUAGCUCGACUUUGGCGUAGCAUAGCACCCACAUAAUAGAAUGUCAAAUGGAAGUCUCCUAUUGUGUAUAAGUCGGUAAACAUAGUUGGUUUUUGCAAGUCUUCCCCAUACUGAAUGGGCAGCAGCCUUAACUUAUGGUGAUAAAAGUUUGGCCAAAAGCUGCUCAGAACGGCAACACAAGUCCAACAGAACAAGGAGGAAAAUAUCCAUUUUGAAAGAAAAAAAUAACAUCUCAUGUAUAUAACGGAAAGACAUCCUCUGUACCAAAUAUACAUAUUACUACAUAUCUCCAUGUACCAAGCAAACUAGAAUAUAUCAUGUGUUCUAUGCAUGUACAUCAGCGAGGGUUCCCAACGAAACAUAUUAUAUAAAAGAAGAAAAGAAUCAGAGACAAGAUGAACAAGUCAAGGUAUGGAAGUUUGUAAAAAAGAGGAGGGCCAUCUCUCAGUUCCCACAUUUCCAUCUUGAGGUUGGCACACAGCUUAGGUAAUGGCACCAGCUGCAGUGCUUGUUUAAGUUCUCUCCUUUGAACAGCAACACCAAUCCAGUAGUUAAUCUGCAUUUAACAAGAAAAUUGAAAAUUACUCAUCUUGAAACAGUUUCAUAUGUGCUAAUGUGUAUACUUAAACUCAUCCAUGACAGUAGAAACGAAAAGGGAUGAAAAAAAGACUGACACUACGGUGAUGGUCUCCGAUUUGAACCAGAUUAAAAUGUAAUGGAUACUAAAUCAUGCAAAAUUCAAAUAAUAAAUUAGAAUUCCAGCAACAAGCUUACCCAGCAAUCAGUAAGGCAGAGGCAACCAACAAAAGAAUAUAUUGAUAAGGCUUGUGCUUAGAUUUGACACGAGUGUCAGCUGGAAGAUUCCGACUCUCCAUCCAUCCAAACUGAGGACGAAGGAGCAAAAUGAAACCAAGGAGAAACCCAGCCAAGAAUCCUCCGAUGUGGGCGAAGUUGUCAACAUGAGGAAGAAUUCCAACUGCUAAGUUAAUGGCGAUAAUGACUAUAAGCGUCAACAGAGCUGCAGCCUGGAAGGGCAAGAGAAAAGCAAGAGUUAAUGACAGUAAAACAUUCCGAUCUUAAUACGAAAUCAUGACACAAAUGCAAACAUCAAAUCCAUUUAAAGAAUAUCAACUUCACUUUAUAAAAUUGGAAAAUCGGUAGCAAACCUUGUUGGUGUAUAUACUCCAGUUAGUGAGAAGCUCCGAUAACAUAGCUCCCAGAAGUCCAAACAGAGCGCCAGAAGCACCAACAGAAAUAUUGCUCUGAAUAAAAAGGGCUGAUAAUAUGCUCCCACCAAGUCCUGACAACAGGUAGAUUAUUCCCACGCGCACUGCCAAAUCAUUCAAUCCAGAACUGAUGUUAGAAUGCAACAAAACCAUCAUAAAAAUAUGUCAAAAGAAAAAACACUAAUAAUGAAAUUGAACAAGGCUUAAAAUAUCUACACGGUUAUCAUCAGGAAACAAAACAAUUAUUUGAAUUGCCUUUAAUUCAAUUUGAAUGCACAAAUGCGUCCAGCACAGUAAAGUGAUGCUGGAGACUAUAAAUAAAAAAGGCCUCAUACAUAAUUUAGAAUAAAUUCAAAAGAGUUGAAUAUAGAAAAUUAAGAAUGUUCCCAUAUCCGCACUCUUCUAAAUGUAAAGAACAAAAGGCUCCCCUUUUAAUAUGCAUAAUCAUGGAAGUCCUAAAAUUGACCUCAUUUUACUUAAAACCUCAAUUCAAGGCAUGGUAAGAAAAAUGGCAUACCAAACCCAAAUUGCUGUUCUAGGCGUAUGCCGAUAAAGAUCAAGCUCAGCAUGUUUGCAAGCAAAUGAAUGACACCGGCAUGCAACCACAUACAAGUGACAAGUCUCCAUCCUUGAUGCCCAUGUACAACCUUGGACCACUUCAGAGCUCCCAAUUUUUCCAAUCUGCAAAAGCAGGAAAUAUUUCUCAGAUAAUAAAAACCAAAAAGCGAAAAGGAAAGAGAUAUUAUUUUCCCAUCCAGACACACCUGGAAACCACUUUCAUCCAAGUAUAAUAAGCAAAAAUAAAGGAAACUUAAAAAAUAAAGAAGCGAAAAAACAAUCCAGUCUUUGAACUAUGGCUUUUUAAUUUCCAGGAUUCGACAGAAUAACAAAACUUCCAAGCAGAAUAACACAAAUUGAAAAGGGUAAGAAAAAAAAAAAAACUAGUCCCACAAAUGCAAUUAGAAAAAAACUCACACUUAGGAUAUCAAUGAGUUAGAAUCUCAGACCAACCUAGCAUUAUGAAUUAGGAUUGGAAGUUUAAAAACCCAAAAAGAAUAAACAACACAGGAAGAAUCAGAAGAAAAUCAUGCACUUCAAACAAUUCUAUCAGCCUAAACUCAAGAGAGCAUGCCCAAUCAAAAACUGAAAAGGAAAAAAUAUCAAAACGAGAUAUUGAAGUAUAAUCAUACAGCAUUGGAAAAACAGUAAAUUCUCAAAUUGCACACAACCAAAUAAGCAAACCGUAUUUGCCCCAAAAUCAUAAACUUUACAAUUACAAAGCAAUCAAAUUUCUCAAACCCAAAUCCAAAAACCGAGAAAAAUCUCUAAAUUGAGAGAUGGGUAAGUCAGAGAACUCACGUGGAAGAAGAUGGGCCAAAUAGAGGGUUCUCCCGGAGAGGCUGAAAUGAAAGCCGACCAAGAAACUUGGCUACACACUUGCCAUCACUACCAGUAUUGUUCCUUGGACAGUUGUUGACAAACAUAGCCACAAUGAAGACAAUAAUAUUGGCCACCACAAACAUAGGAAUCAACCAGGAUGUCCAUUGAUGCUCCUGAGUUCCCACAUAGUACUGGUUUGGGUUGUAACUGCUGUUGGCUCUGGGUUUUUCUGUUCCUGCUCGUUCUAGAUCAGCCAUGGUUUGAUUUUCUUUUUCUCUCUCUGUUUGUCUCUCAAGUCUCAAACUUUUUCUCUGUACAAUGAGAAAGGCCAAUGUUUUUUGGGUUGGUGUUUAUAUUGUGGAAGAAAAAAAAUGGGAAGAGGGAUUGAGAAGUGACUUGGAAGCGAGUAGAAGACGUGUUUUUGGAUGAAGCAAAAGAAAAUAUGAGAGACUUGGAAGCAGAAGAGUUGGGUGGGCAAAGAAGGUUGUAGAUUUAACAGUCGAACAAGUAAUGUGAAUAAUGUUUAGGAGGAGAGAGUGUUUUGUAUUUCUCUCUCUCUCUCUCUCUCUCUCUCUCUAUUUCUUGUAUGUAGGAUAGAGAGUGCUUUGUGCUGACUUGGCUUGUCUGUCAUUUUAUAUAUUUAUAUUACGCGGUGCUGUUAAUAUUCCUUAAUUAAUAACGUUUAGCAGUUUCCGAAUCACAUUCACAUUUGGUUUUUGUGAAAUUACAUCGUUAUCCCUGCUUAAAUCCUUAUGCUUUAAAAAAAAAACCAGAGAGCAUUUUUCAACAGAAAAAAGAAGAGAGUUAGGGCACAUGGACCAGUUCUAUACUUCUAUGUGGAAGUUAUGAUCGGCUACUGUUUUUUUAUUUUUUUAUUAGACAUUUAUGUUUGCAAUUUCUUGUGAUGUGGUUUGUUUUAUGUAGUGUUGUUGAGGUUUUUUUUUUUUUUUUUUCCAGUUCGUUUUGUUGAAUAAUUAAAAAAGAAAAAUUAAUAUUAUUUGUGUUUUUUUAAGCCGGCCAUAUCGAGCAAGAUAAAUUAAUUCAACGCUUUAACUUCCUUUUUAAUUACACAAUCGAGCCAUUCUUUAAUUUGUUAAUGCAAUUCAGCCUAGUACAAUUAACCUAAAAUUAAAAUAAUCAAAUUCAGAUUAAUUUUUCAAUUCCAAACUUGUGAAGGGCAAAAAAAGCCAGCAGCCAAAGAGUAUAACAAAUUUGUCAUUUUAAUAUUUGAGGAAUUCUAGCAACCUUUUCUUUUGGACCUUCUCUCUUCUCUUCAUGACAUAUGACAUGUGUCACUUUCUUUCCACUUAAAACAAUGUCAUUAAUACAUUAGACAAUGUAUGUUUUGUUUCCCAAAAUUACCCUUGUUAAAUGCAUUGGACAAAUUAACUUUUAUUUCCACCUUGUUAAAAAAUUAAAAGAGAAUUUUAAAAUCUUCCACAAAAUUAACGUCAAUUUUUCUUUUUAUAAUAAAAAAAUUUCUGUUUGCUACUUUUUUUUUGUGAGGGAAGGAAGAAUGGGUUUUGGGGUAUGGAUUGAAAGAGGAGAGUGAGAAGUACAGUGCACGGUGGGUUUUGGAUUGGAAAGGAAUGGUGAUGAUUGGGUAAGGAUGGGGACUCUGAGAGAGAGAGGGAGAGGGGUAUGGAUUGAAGGAGGAGAGUGAGAAGCACAGUGCACGGUGGGUUUUGGAUGGGAAAGGAAUGGUGAUGAUUGGGUAAGGAUGGGGAGUCUCAGAGAGAGAGAGAGAGCGAGAGAGAGAGAGAGAGAGAGAUGCUGUAAUGGGUUUGGGUUUUCAAUUUUUUUUCUGUUUCUUUUUAUCUUUUAAUCAAUUAGAAUGUUCAUUAAUUUUAAAAAAUAUUUAUCUGUAUUUUUAAAAAAAGUUUUUUAGGGAAGUAUACAUAGUUUUUAUUUUCAAAUUGAACUUUUAAUGUUUAUUUUUUAAAUUUAAUUGUUUAUUUUUUAAUAAGGGUAAAUUUGGGAAUAAAAGAUAUAUUGUCUAAUACAUUAAUAUUAUUGUUUUAAGUGUAGAGAAAAUGACACAUGUCAUGAGAAAAAAUGAGAAUGUUCAAAAAAAAGAGUUUGAAAGAAGAUUAGUAAUAUUCCCCUUAAUAUUUUUUUAAAUUAAUUUCUCAUUAUCAUGCCACCAUCAAAAUAUUAAGUCCCAAAAACACGAGUGAAAGGAUCAUGCCUCCACGUGGCUUCAGAAGUAGAAAUGCAGCACAUCAAGAUCGCACAAUGGUUUGGGAGGACACAUGACAAUGACUCAGCACUUCUCCAAAAUAAAUAAAAUAAUGCUACUUUUAUAUCAGCUGAUGUGACAAAUGAAUUAGACAACAACAUUAAUUAAAAUUAUUUAAUAUUUUUUUAUUUUUAUGAUCUACAAUGAUAUUUUUAAUAUUUUAAAUGUUUCAUCAUUCUUUAUUUCUUACUUUAUAUAUAUAACUUAACACUUAAAAAAAAUUAUUAAUAAAACUUUUUUAUUUAUUAAAAAAUUCACUUCAUUUAAUUUAAUUGAUGUGGCAUAUGAAUAGACAUGCCACAUCAUAUUAUAUAGAAAUAUAAGAUAAAAAUAUAGUAAGUGUUGCAUUACUCAAAUAAAUAUAUCCGAAUAAUACCUCGAAUGGAUUUUACCAUUAAAGUAAAAUUACAACAGACAAAAUGAUUUAAAAGGAAAAUUUCAUAUACAAUUUGGGAUGAUGACCUUCUUUUUUAAUUAACCUUUUACUUGAUUGUAUUGUAGCUCUAAAUUUCAUCAUUUGGUUCUGCAAAUUUGAUUUGACUAAUCUUUCUUAAAAGGUAAUAAAGCAUAAGCUUCUUCAUGAUUCUCUAUAAAGGCCACAAAUUGGUGGGACUUUCUAAGCAUGAUUUAACAAAACCUGAGUUUUGCAUCCACCUGUCAUAUACCCAUAAAGCCAAAUUAGACUUAAAUACGAGUGAUCUAGUCACGUAAUCGUAUUAACCUAAGAAUUUUUCACAUAAGUCUGAUUUGCUGUGCCACGAAUAACAUAUAUUCCAAGACAACACCCACCAGAACUUAGCUUUGGGUACACUAGAAUCCUUCCUCAAUUUGGAAACUGAUAAUAUAUUCUUUGGUUCCAACACUCUUUGCAAAAUCCAAAGCUUUUGGUUUUUUUUAUGGUUUUCACUUUUGAAAAAACUGCUCGAAUGUAGAUAAAGUGGCUAUAAAGUAAAAACGCAUGCUUCUAAUUGCUUGUGCCAAGGAAAUCUUUGUAAUCCUAGAGAUUAUGUUCUCAAUUUUCAUAUGUACGGUAUAUAAUUCAAAUUAUUUUAAAUUACUCUUAUUUACAGGGAAAGAAAUUGAAUUCGAAUAUAAAUAGAUAAAUACAAUGUUUUGAAUAACUGUCUUAAUCCACAUCGGCUUGAGUAUUGUGUUGUAUUUAUAUUGUAAUAAAAGUCAACUAUACAAAAUACAAUUGUUCGGUUGUUGUCUUUUACUUUUAUACAUUACGUGAUAUGAAAAUAUUGAACAAAGACUCAUUCUGGUAUAUAUUAAAAUGAAAGGUUCACAAUUUCAAGGCCAAAUGACACUGCAUGCAUAAACGUUUGCUUCCUCUUUCUUUCGUUGUUUGGAGAACUUAGUCAACAUGACAACAACAUACCAUCAAAGUGAAGUAAGAACAACCAACCUACCUGCCCCACAGAAUGCGAUUAUAAAAUCAAAAUAAGCCAGCACUAAACAUAACUUCAACAAAUGGAUUCACAUCUUUAAUCAAUACACCCAACCCAAGUAACAAAAAUUGAGUUUUCCAUUUUAUUCGGUGCCGAGUUAUAUAAAUAAAAGAUAAAAAUAAAAACCGAAAAAUCUAAAAUGAAUCAAUCUUGAUUUAUUUAGAUUUGUAUUUUUUAUUAAGUUUUUUAGCGUCGAUUUUGUGUUUACGUCUAAAAUUACGUGGUUUGAACUAUUUGGGUAAUUUGGUGAGAAGUAGGCACGAAGUUUAGGUUGAGGUGGUGGACAAUGCAUGAGCAAAGCUUACGCGUAUGUAUGAUCCCUUUUGACACAAACAAGACAAAAGCUGGCAACACACAGCAUGGUGUGACAUUCUGGUUGUUGGGCUUCAAAGAGUUGAAGGUAGAGACAGUUGCUUAGAAGCUACAUGCUCUCCUUUUUUGUCGCUGUUUUUUUUCUUUUGCCAUCUGUGCAUGCCAUUCUUGUGUGUUUGUUCAGCUUGGCAAGUUAUUAUAAUGAUGUAUUUAAUUAAAUAAUUUAAAAUACUUAAUGGAGGAGGAGUAUCAAAAGACUGCAUGCUUAAUUGAUUUAAUUAGUAUUUUACAGAAUAAGAAUGGUUCUUCCAUGAGCCAAACAUGAGAUUUUUGAAGAUGACCCUAUUGGCCUAUUUCAAGCUGCUAGCCUUUUGCUUCCAUGGAAAUUUAAACCUUAAGUUUGCUUUUCACCUAAGCUAAGGUUGUUGGCUCUGUUUAACCAACAAAAUGACUUUCAUUACAUUGACAAUCCUCUAUACCCGCGUAAACAACUAGAAGAAAGAGCUAAAUCACUCACUCACGAGAACGAUUAUGUUUAGCAAACUUGGUUUCCACAAAAACUUCAAACGGAAAAAAGUUUUUAACUUUCUGUGUGCAACUAAGCAAACCAAACCAAACCACUAUUAGUAUUUCUGCCAAAGGGUUGACCUUUAUUGCAUUUGUGUUUUGCCCCCUUUUGCUGAUACUGCAAGAUAUAGCCGUUGCUUGCUGAUAUCAAAUAAUCAAAUACUAUUUGCCCUCCCACCAAGUAUUUACAGCUUGCGCAAUAAAAUAAAAGCACGAAGAAAAACAAACAGCUCAUAUGAGGGCUUUUAAAUGCUCUAAAAUUUCCUUUGACGUUCUCUCACAUACUCUCCUCCUCUCUACUGGUACAAGUCCAGAAUGACAAGUGUGUAACUAUUUCUCUACAGUUUUGGGGGGCAUAUUUUAAUUUGUUCAUGCUAAGUAAUAGUUUAACAUUUUCUGAAACUUGAUCACACGAGCAACAAGAUUUGAGUGUCAUUAAGCAACAGGAUCCUUGUUCAUGUGACGCAGAGAUACGGGGUCAAUUAAAGAAACCGCUUUGUAUAACACUCAGCCUCGUUUGGUUCUUAAGAUUAGAUUGGAUAAGUCACUAAAUCUAGUAUAAAUUUUUUUGCAUCUAAUAUACAGGACUACAUCAAUUACUCAUACACACGUAAGACACGCACCUUUAUUGCAGGAAACUUUGUAUCUCUUUAGUAAUGUGACAAACAAAUACAUGAGAUUAUCGGUCUUCACCGAUCUAUGAACUUUAAACUAGAAGUCGAUUGUGGCAUCCGAAGUUACAAGCAUAAGUUUAUGCGUACAAUCUGGAUGAAACCUUAUUUGAGACUGCUUGUCGAAAGACUAAAAGCGACUUUACGACAAGUUCAGAAAAUCCUAGAAGUGCUUCAAAGUCUUGAAAGCGCACUUGAUUUCAAUUAAAAAUACGGGACCUUAAACUGAUUUGCUUCCAUCUCAUACGAAAUAAACAAUAUUUAGCAAAAUAAUCAGGUGAAAAAUACCAGCUCUCUGUACAAAACCUUGGAUUUGUAUUGCCCAAAUUUCGAGAGAAACAUAACUCAUUUCACCUAUUGGUCAAUGGUCAUGCUUGGUGUCCAAUCCAACUUAAUCCCAACCUUGGGUCUAAUCCAUGUUUUUAGACUACCAAACAUCCCACCAUCCUUGACCAAAAAAAACAAAACAUCCCACCAUAAAAUCCAAACCCACCAGACAAGUCCAUUAUCAAGUCAUACUCAGAGGGUUUGUACAUACAAAUUACCAAAACGAAUGUCUAAAACGACUCAACUUUUCCAGGUUGACAAAACAAGUUUAUCAGCUGUGAAUAAAAGAUAUCUUUUUUCUGAACUCAAGGGCAUUAAAAUAUAAACGAUAAACUUUCACUAAUGCAACAAUAUCCAAAAUUGGAGUGGCCAACAAUGCCAAUUAAUCCAUACAUCAAAUCGAAACAAAAAAUGUCGAUCGUCUAGGCAAAAUGGUAAGGAGAAUAAAUAUUGAGGAUGGGGGGAAGAAGAAAACUUAUCGCUUUCCACCACCACCUCCAAGCUUAGGGGCUUUUGGGGCAGCAGCCUUGGGCACAUUGCCCUUGGACUGACCCUUUGACUUGGACACCAAUUCAGCCUUCUUUGCCUUCUUCUCAUCCUUAGUCUUCUUAAUCCUCUCCUUGAUUUCACUGACAAACACGCAUAAACACACAUCCAUCAUUGAUUUUAUACAAUACAAAAUUGAGUUUAUCAAAUAACACAAAGUUGAGUUCGUGAAGUUGAUCAAAUACCCAAAAUUGAUUUUAUCACGUUGAUCAAAUACCCCAAAUUUGAUGUUAUCAAGUUGAUCAAACAACCCAAUCUACAUUUUAUCAUUGUUGAUCAAAUAACUCAAUAUAGAUUUUAUCACUGUUGAUCAAAUAAACAGCAGAGCAUUACCGGAGAGCGGCCUCACGGGCGGCGUCGCGGACCUCGGGCUUCUCGGUCCUUCGCUUCUGAAUAACUUCCAAUGUGGCACCAACAAUGGACCUCGAAUAAGGCUUUUUGUUUGAGCGUCGCUUCUUCUUCACAGCCUCAGCAGCAAUGUCCUGAAAUCACAAACACACACAAGAGCUUAGAAUAUUCAAUCGAUUCGAAACGAAACGCAUCGUUUCGUGAAUGUGUGUUUUGUGUAGGUACCUUCUUGUGCUGCUUACGGUACAUGGCGGUCCAGGUGAGCUUGGAGGGCUUGAGGCGGUUGUGGAAGUACCUCUUGCAUUUGGAGUUGGCGAAGAGGAAGACCUGAGAAUCAGAGCGGAUGAAUCUGAUUCCCUUUCCGGGGUAAAUCUUGGCGCCACUGAAACGACAGAGCUCGGUCUUCAGAACCAUGGCUGCUCUGCUAUGUGGUGGUCGAAGCUUCAAGCUCUGAUGUCGCCGCCGCCGCCGCUGCUGCUCUGCAAAAUCCCCGAGCCCUGUCCAGAGUCUAAAACCCUAAUGCUUCGGCUACCAAUUUAACUUCAACUGACUGACCAAAGGUCGCGCCUUUCUCUGGGCCAGAAAAUGGCAACUAAAGAUUGAGCGGGCUUUGGUUAUUACAACUCUUAUCGAUUUCAAGCCCUAAAAGUGAAAUUUUAGGUUUGGGCCUCAUCGGUAAAUCUAUCUAGAGUUGUACGCAUCCAUGUUGUUAGCCCCGAGAAAAUUUUGUAAUCUUAGAAAAAUGUUUUUGGAUUUAUUUUAAUUUAUUGGAAGUGCUAGAAAAAUGUUUGGAAUUUUUUUUAAAGGUUAUUCGGAGAAAUGGAGGUUAAAAAUAGUACAAGCCCCAUAGAAUUUUUCGGGGAAUUUUUUACCAAUGAUAAUGAUAUUGACAAAAUGCUAUUUAUUUGUAUGAUAAAAUUGGAUUUUACUUUUUUAGGCUUGAUUAUUAUAAAUAUAAAUUGCUUUUGUUUUACUUUCUAUAAUAGUUUGAUUUUGUCUCAAAUGCAAGCUAGGGUGUAGAUCCUUUAAUAAUAAAUACAUAAAAUGAUAAAUAAACAAAAAAAAAUCCUUCACACAAGACAUAAUGUUAAAAUGGUCGAGUUCCUCUAGAAUUGGACAAAUCGGUCCAGUCAAUGUUCGAUAAUGACAUGAAAUAACUCUUUAUGCCACUGUUGGAUAGUGACUCAACCAAUUUAUCUAAUUUUUAUGGGGUUGGACUAUUUUGUCUUGGUGCCCUCCUAUUUGUCCUUAUAUAGUAAAAUCCCUAAUAAAUAUUGGUUAAAAUUUAAUAAUGUACAACAAAAAGAAAAGAGAAAAUAAAGAAUGAAAGCUUCGCAAAUUGGUUAUUUAUUCAUUAAUGAAAGCUUCGAAAAUUAAUUAUUUAUUCAUUUAUAUACAAAAAGAUAUUGAAAAAGGGAGAAUCAAAUCCAUGGUCACUGUAAGCAAGUUUAUGCGAUCACUAUGUUAUUUAUAUGUUGUAUUCACUAAAAAGUUUACGACGAAUCACAUAUUGUUGUAUUCAGAAGCUAAUUUUGUUUUUUUGGCAAAUUGUAUUCAAAAGUUAAUUAAAUUAUUGGAAAUUAUUUAUCCACCGUACAGCGAAGCAUUUAAGCGGUAAAUCUCAACCGCCGAGUUGGCUUCCACUGAAUCGACUCCACUCGCAUCCCAAACCGCAAACAAAUAUUACCGCUGUUAACUGUAAUUACCGAACGAACCGUGUACGGUAUGGUCAAAUCAAUUUACCUAGCCCUGGUCAAAGGAAUCAAAUUUAUUAAGAAAAGAAAAGAAAGAAAAAAAGUAAUUCCAAUUCCAAAGCCUUGUCUGUAUUCGAACGACAUUAUCGUCAUCGUCGGCGUUGUCUUAUCCAACCUUUUCCAUGUUCUCACCGCCACAAAACCUCCGCCCAUUUGACCACAGGUUCCGCCAAUACGCACCGUUUUGAAGAUCUCUGCAUGGGCUCACCGAGUUAAGGCAUUCAAUUCCACAAUCUCGCUGAAAAAUAAAAAUUCCAAUACGAAAUUCCCGAAAUGGCCUCACCCAACCGAUCCGUGGACGACAUCGUCGAUACGACGCCGUUGCUCAGCAACUCGGGCGGGUCGUCCGACGAGUCCAACUCGGGGCGCCACCGAAUUGUGCGCCCCCAGAGCCUGCGCGACGCCGCGCGGUUUCUACGCCAAGCCAGCAGCCGUCGGCUCAUGCGCGAGCCGUCGAUGCUGGUUCGCGAGACGGCGGCGGAGCAGUUGGAGGAGAGGCAGAGCGAUUGGGCGUAUUCGAAGCCCGUGGUGGUUCUCGACAUCAUCUGGAACUUCGCAUUCGUCGUCGUCGCGGCAACGGUCCUGGUUCUAAGCCGAUACGAAUUGCCGAAUAUGCCCCUGAGGCUCUGGAUCAUGGGGUACGCUUUGCAGUGCGUGGUUCAUAUGGUUUGUGUUUGUGUCGAGUUUCGGAGAAGGCAGUGCCGACAGAGAAGCCGGGUUUUGGGGGUGAAUUCGACGGAGGAAGGAGUAGGGAGUGUUGGGAACUUGAGUUCUGGGUCGAGAGAGGAGGAUUUGUCAUCGCAGUACGUGUCUUUGGCUGAUCAUAUGAAUGAGGAGGGUACCAGGUAACAAAUGACUUUUUGCUAUGUAAUGCAAUUGAAAUGUUCAUGCUUCUAUUUGAUGUUUGUUGAUGGGUUGUUGUUAGUUGCCGCAAUUUAUGAACUUCUUGUGACAAUUCUCGAGUGUUUGCUUAAAAUGCUGGCAUUUGAUUUGGAGCAAAAUAAAAAAACUUUUAGCAGAAUAAGAUUUUAUGUGUACGUUAACCCAUUAUGUUGUUUAACAUGAAUUGCGGAUAUAGGAUAUAUCUGCAGAAUCUAUCAUGCAGAGUAGAGCAGAGGAUUAGUUUUAUGAUUCUUCUUGGCUUUUUAAGGCUUGUUGAUGACUGAUGACUUUGGUUUUCAUUCGAUUAAUACUUUCUAAAAUCCCUAGUUAUGUGUAAUAUUGACUAUAUGUAUGCAUAUUAAACUCUGUUGUUGAUUACUGAACUGGUUUUCCACUGGAAAGGGAAGGAUGCUUGUUUAUUUGCAGCUGGUACUGUGUGAGAAAUUGGAUGAUUUAUUUUGGACUAUUUCGUUUACGUGCUCAAUGUUUUUGCUUUAAUCUCUCAGCAGCGUUGCAAAGCAUUUGGAAUCUGCAAAUACAAUGUUUUCAUUCAUCUGGUGGAUCAUUGGGUUCUACUGGGUAUCAGCAGGUGGUCAAGCUUUAGCGCAUACCUCCCCUCAGCUUUACUGGUUUGUGCUCUCUCUCUCUCUCUCUCUCUUCCAUUUAUUUGAAAAUCAAGACAUUAACAAAAUCUUAACUAUGGCUAUGUGGCUUUUUCUGCAGGCUAUGUAUAAUUUUCCUGGGUUUUGACGUGUUUUUUGUCGUUUUCUGUGUUGCACUGGCAUGUAUCAUUGGUAUCGCUGUUUGUUGCUGUCUUCCAUGUAUUAUUGCACUUUUAUACGCCGUGGCAGACCAGGUAGUUCUUGUGUAUUCUUACCUCUUUUCUGUGUGUUGAGUUCCAUGUUCAUAACUAUCAGUGUCUUCUAUCGUUACCACUCUGUAGGUUAUGUGAAAUUAAUGCAAUACUGUUUGAGAAGUAUGAUAUUUGUAUGAUGUAAAUGGUUACAAAUUGAAACCAGAAACUGAAUCAUUCUCUGUUGUUCUAUGGAAGGAAACAAUAUGUACCUAAUAAUUAAGUAUUAUAAAAAUUAAUCGGGUUUUGUUAGUUUGAAUGGAGAUAUGAACAUAUUAAGAUCCUUGGUUGCAGGAUUUUGGACUCUUUAAUCAAACUUAACUAUGAUGGGAUUGGUUCCAAUUUAGCAUAAAUAACUCUAUCUGGGGUGGGGGUGCAAAGUCCGGCACAAAUGUUUUGUAUAGUUGAAUGAAAGAAAGUUGAUUGAGUUGAUUGCCUUCAUGAUUUCAAUGAAACAAGCAAGUUCCCGUUGUGGUAAAAUAAUGUGCACUGAGUUAAACCAAUGUCUGCUUUCGUCUGGUAUAUUUAUCUUACAUUUUGAUACUCAUCUUAGACAGUUGCAUUUCACGGUCUCUCCACAGAGCACCUAUGCAACCAUUAUGAUUGAGAGCUGUUAUUGGCACUCCAAAAUAGUCAUCAUGCACUCUUCUCUAAUGAAAAAAAUAAGGACAGAGUGUAGAAUGACUAUUACAAUGGCUAUUUUGGAGUGCUAAUAAUAGUUUUCAAAUGGUUUUAUAUCUUUCUCCUUCUGUUGGUGUACAAGAGUUUGAAAACUUGAUGUAUAGUAGUUGGCCUUGAAGCACUUGGGGACAAUAGAAUUAUUUAUGUUUUAUCAAUUCUUUUCGUUUGAUCCAAGUUUGCUGACUCUGUUUUAAUUGUUUCAACUUUGAAGGGGUUGGGCAUGAUUUUUUGUUGUUGGAAGUAUAGUUUACCUGAUCUGUAAAUUUACUGUUGUGUAGUUUUAAGAAUCUUAUAUUAAAUUUUAAUGGCUUUCUUGUCCUCUCUAUUGUGUUUCUAUGACCUGUUAUUGAAGCAGGAUGGAGCAUCCAAGGAAGACGUUGAACAGUUGUCAAAAUUCAAAUUCAGAAAAGUUGGCAAUGAGAAAGUUGCAGGUGAUACACAAGGUGGAGGAGUAAUGACUGAAUGUGGAACAGAUUCACCCAUUGAACAUGUUCUUUCGCAGGACGAUGCGGUGAGUGGGCCCUUUUUUUGGAUAACUAAUCUUCUUCGCUUUCUGAGUUGUGUUUGCAAAAGAGGAUGUUGUCUACGUGACCUGUUAUGUACUUGGUUUCCUUUUAUAUUCAUAUAACAAAUCCCAGUUAAUUAGUGGACUAACAAAAUCUUUUUGGACUGCUCAAAAGAUUCUUGUCACAUCUAAGUGAUGAUCAUUGUGAUUUAUAGGAGUGUUGCAUCUGCCUUUCUUCUUACGAUGAUGGAGUGGAGCUAAGGCAACUUCCUUGUGGCCAUCAUUUUCACUGUUCCUGCAUUGAUAAGUGGCUUUAUAUCAAUGCUACCUGUCCUCUCUGCAAGUACAAUAUAUUGAAGAGUACCAGCCAUGAUCAAGUGGAAGUGUAGAAUACUUCUAACUGAACAAUUGUGCCCGUGCAUGCUGGGGGUUUACAUACAAUUCUUGCUUGAGUGUAAUCCAACGCCAAGCUUCGCACUUGACUCACUGCAGGUUUUCUAUAUGGUCAUUGUCGAUGUUGUUUCUUGUUGUAGAGUAGGUGUAGCAAUUGUCAUCGAUCUUCUUGUUCCCGUAGUGAUGAUGACAGUGGCACUUCGUAUUUGUUGUUGCUCUGGCAUCUUUAGGUGCCUUUGUACAUGGGUAUUGCCAGGGUGUCUCCGCAGUAAUUCUAUAUCACAAAGACAGUUGUCUUGAGUUACAUUUCAAUGUGAAGGGCUCUUUGUUGCCAAUAUUUGCACUCGACGAAUGUUGACUUGAUACCUUAGAAAUGUUGUUAAAAGUUAAUAAGAUUCUUGUUCAUGAAACUUGUUAGAUUGUUGUAACAUAUAUGUGGACAGUCACACUGAUUGUAUCUGAUUUGUUGAAAGAGAGGAGCUUGUUAUGUGUUGAUUUGAACAAGCUAUUCCUUGGCACUUUCAAUUGGAUAAUUCGUGUUGUUAAUAAAGCUCUCCCAUCUAUGAUCCCUUUUUUUCCCUUCAAAUAUUGAAUCGAAAAUAAAGAAUGGUAUCCCCUUACUUUUCUGAGUAACCACGAAAAUAUUCACAACUCCUAGGAGUAUUUUUGUAAGACUCCAAGAAGUUUGUAGUUCAAGCGAUUAAGAGUAAAAGAUACAAAAAUUUUUAAGAAAAAGCCAUGCUAAGCUAACAACUCGAUCCUUUAUCAAAUAAAAAAAGUUAUUCCAUUAUCCAUACGGUUAUAUUAAGAGAUUGUUAGGGAAAAUUUUGAAUUCAAAUAUCAUAAUUAUUCAACUAUAAAAAAAAAAAAAAUCUUCAUGCUAUACCUCAUCGAGAGGUAUAUUUGAGUUGGAUUUUAAAAUUCAAAAGCAGGCAGCCAGAGAAAAAAAACAUAAACAAAGACAAGGGGUCAACAUAAAAAUUAUCAAAAGUCUGAGUCAAAAAGUAUAAUAAACCCAAAAAAAAAGACAAAAAGCAUCUGCCGAAAGCAAGAAAUGAAAAAACAACAUUGUGGGGUGGGCUUCGUGCUCCUUUUCGCGCUCCUCCUCCUCCUCCUCCGAAUGUCUGUCGUCUGAGCUGUCUCCUUCUCCCUUGGUUUGUUUCGUUGUUUGUCGUCACUGUCGCAAGUAGGAGGAGGUGUCUGCUAACGAUGGAGCACCAACCUCUUUUGCAGCGAUAUCGCCGUGAUCGUCGUAAGCUCUUAGAAUUUCUCUUGUCGUCGUCGGGUCUCGUCACGGAGCUCCGGACCCCGACCGGGUCCGCCGCCUCGCUUUCCCACAUCGAUUUUGAUACUCUCAGCGCCGAUUAUGUCCUCGACUGCGUCAAAUCCGGCAAUUCUUUUUUUCAUUUUCCCGACAAAGUUCAGCUAUAUAAGUAAAUAUAUUUUUGUCUAAUUUUGUUAUUGGAAUUUGUUUAGGUGGAGUUUUGGAUAUAUCUGAAGCAACCAAGAAGUACUUCCAUGAAUCUUCUUACCCUCUAAUGGUGAGCAUGAACACUCUGACACUCUUUUAGCUAUUUCUUGAGCAUACAUACAUAGGCACAGAUAGUUGUGAAAUUUUGAUUCUUGUUAUGGUUUGAAGUUUUGGUUUUGGUGGUGGUUCUGCUUUUGUUCAAGAACUGGGCCAAAUGUGAGUGUUUUGAAAAUGCUAUGUUUAAGAGAGAUUAAACAUCUUCAGAAGAUUUUCAGAAGCUGUUUGGCUGACAUAAAAGUGUGAUAAGAAGUAAAGCAAACUGACCCAAAACUCAUAGAAGCUUGAAAUGAAUCUCCAAGUUUUUAUUUUUCUUUACUGCUGCUAGCUCAAGUAGGUUAUGUUUCUUCUGAAAAAACCAUAGAAUUCAUUUUCGUUUCAUAAUGCUCUAACUUUUCGACAGAUUCAUUCCCAAUUAGGCAAUUCCUUUUUUCUACUUUCUGAUCCAGAAUUAUCUGGAUCACCUCCUCGGCGUGUGCCUUCUCCCAUAAAUGUGAACCGAACCUCCGAGAAUGCAUCAAGUUCAUCCACCCAGAUGGAUUCUUUGAAUGUUGAGGACAUUGCAAAGGCUGGUGAUUACUAUGGUUUUAAAGAUAGAGCCAUGCUGAGUGCACCUCCGAAGCCUGUUAAAGAUGUUACGAACAUGUCAUUGGGAUUGCCUCAUCUGAACACAGGUAUGGGUUGCUUUGAUUAUAAAAUAAUGGCCCCUGCUAUUUGGUAUGGUCAUUUCUGAAAGAAUGUAAUGAAAUCAGCGUGUCCUCAAAUGAUAGUCAGACUCUUCUUUUUUAGUGAUGAAAUUAUCUCUGUUCCACAACAUCAUAUGGUUUUUUUUUUCUUUUUGCAAAAGAUGUAUAUAUUUGUAUCCUGAAGCUCCGGCCUUUCACAUUUUAAGUAAAACUGUAACGUAGCUUCAGAAUUUUUGAAGGAUUGUCGGAUGAUGACUUGCGGGAGUCGGCCUAUGAAAUAUUGCUUGCAUCUAUGGCAACUUCUGGGUAAUCUCACUUUUCUCUUUCUAUGUGUGAGGGUGGUGAAACCCCUGUUUCUUGCAUUCAACAUAUUUACUACUUUUCAGUUAUGGCAUUUUGAGAUCUUGGUUCGAUUUAGAAUCAGUCUUUUACUCUCUAGUGCUCUCUUGUUGUCUUACUCUUUGUCUUCAUGGAACAGGAUUGUAAUAUGUUCAAUUGAGGACAGAAAGAAGCAAAGGAGUUCCAAAUUGCUGUCCCGAUUGAAGAGUAGAAAGGAUACAGCAAAUGUGCAGUCUCAGCCUCUUGAAAGACAUUUACAGCUCCUCAACACCAUCCGUGUGCAAAUGCAGGUAACUAUUAUUUUCUCCUCUUCACUUCUGAGCUGUACUUUUAUGUGCUCAGUAAAGAGUGUCAGACUUUAAGGAAAGAUGCAGAAAGCUUUCCAAUUUGAUGUAUAUUGUGGAUAUAUCGCAGAAUCCAUGCCUGGAAAGUUGUUUAUAUAUAUGACGUCGAAAACUGAAUGCACUCAUAAUCAUCUUUUAACUAAAUGCUUCACUUGAAGUCGUCAAUUAAUCUCUGACUUUGAAUUUGAAGCAGUGUACUUUGACAUGUCAGAUAUCAGUAGGAGUGUGGCUGGUUUAUUUCAUAUACCAGAAAAGAUAUACGAUGGAUGUCUUACUCUUAAAAUAGUUGGGUGGUAGACGUCGAAAAGUACUUUCUAAUAAGUUGAUGUGAGAGAGUAUGGAUACAUUAAUACGAGAGUCUAGCUUAAACCAGUUUGAUUUGAAGUUAUUCUUUCAUAAUUCUACCGCUUAAAUAAAGUGUUUCUAGAAAGAAGGGGUAAAGAAAAGCUUAUGCAAAUAUUUUUGCAUUUCUGUUUGUGUUAAUAAUUUUCCAUGACAUGGCCCUGGUAGGGAUGACAAACACCAACGUAGACAAGAAGGAUAUUUCUGUUUCUCACUCAGUUUUCCUUUCUUUCUUAGUAGUUCGACUAUUCCAUCUCAGACGCAAUUAUUUCUUCUUUUGUAGAUUUCAGAAGCGAUGGAUGAGAGCACUAGGCAAAAGUUGAUGCUGUUAGCGUCAGGGAGAACACGGGUGCAAAUCGAUGUUCCUCAAGUUUUGUUGGGGCUUUUAAAUGGAACUUUUAAGUCUGAUUUUCCAAAUGAAAAAUCUUAUUUGCAAUGGAAGAAUAGACAGGUAUGGUCAACUUUGGAAUAUUUUAAAAAUGAAUCCUUUUAAUAUCAAAACUGGCUAGAACAAAUAGCUGGACUUGGUAAACUGUCAUAUUAGUCAGACACCUUUCACAUGCUGUAGUUUGGCACAAAAUUAUUGACUAGGACACAUUCUGAGUGAGACUGAUAUAAUCCAUGUACUUUCAAGGACAUGCUGUAAACCUUUUACCUACCAGGCUCUGGAGAAUGUGAUACUGGUUGGGCUUGUGAUUCCAUGAAUCUUAAUACUCAAAGCAUUAGCCCUGAUAGUAGGGUAGACAAGUUGCCAAACUUAGUGUAAACAUGCUGGCCUUACCAUGGCUGUUCUCAGUUUGGGCCUUAGGUUGGUUGUUGGUCAAGAAUAUUAGAGCUGCCCUGAUGUUAAAGGUCGAUAUAUCACCAUUUGGCAUUGUCAUAGCAACUUUAGCAGUAAUGGAAGUUGUUUUUGUGGGAUCUAGGCAAUGUGUAAUGGGUCCUGCCAGAAUCUGUUCAGCUGGUUAAUUGUUUAAUCCAAAAUACAGGGUAAAUUUGAGAGGUUGAGGAAUUUGAUAAUUGGUAAGAUAUCGACGUAGUUCUUGUCAUGUUUGUGUUGUACUAAAGGACUUUGUUACCUUGUUAAAUAUAGAAAGGAUCGUUUUACGCUUUGACUUAACAGAAUGAUUUUGUACUAAUUUUGUAGGCAAGUAUCUUAGAAGAGCUUCUCUGUUUUUCUGCUAAUCUUGUAGCACACGAUCAACAAGCUAUUAAGCGCUCUCUAGCUGUGGUCAGAAAUUCGAAGGUGUGUCCUUGCGAGUUUGCAGCAGUAUAGCAACAGUUAAUUUGACUACUUAUUGGGAUGCUUAUUAUUAAUUUUCUUAGCUGUUUCCACAGUUUGAUUAUGGCCCUGAUUGGUCUUGAUGUUGCAGGAAUGGGACUUUAUGUCUCUAUCUGAACGGGCAGAGGUUCUAUCAGUUAUCAAACAGGUGGCCUUGAAGUUUUCAUCUCUUCCAGGACACUUCGGUAUCCAAAGUGAGACCUAUUAUUGGACUUCUGGGUAUCACCUGAAUAUUAGACUUUAUGAAAAACUACUUCUUGGAGUGUUUGAUGUUCUUGAUGAAGGCCAGCUGAUAGAGGUAGAUAUAUCCUUGUAUUAAUUUCAGUUAAAGAUCUUCUGUUUUUGUACUUAUAGUUUUACUUUUGGUUGAAGCUCAACUCUGCUGCUUUCGUUCUUUUAGGAAGCUGAUGAGUUCCUGAUGCUUAUAAAGAUGGCAUGGCCUACUUUAGGCAUUACUCAAAAAAUCCAUGAUGCACUAUAUGGGUGGGUUCUUUUCCAACAGGUAUACAUAUUAUCUUUUAUGUUUAACAUCUGUGGAGCAUGUUUUGUGAUGCAACUUUAUAGAUGCAUUCUUCAAUCAUGAUAAAAUUAUAGUAAUCAUUUACCCUUCUCUAAAUCUAUGUGUACUUGAUCAUGAAUGUUAAUUUUAUAGUGCACGGGGUAAAUUUAAGUAAAAGAAGCAGUAAUCUAUAGUAUUGUAACUGAGCAAAUGUCCUCAACAGUCCUGAAUUCCAUAUAUUGCAUUUUGAUGGCAUCAAACCUUUUCUAAUUUUUGGAAUAGUAGAUUGAAAGAAUAUUGCACCAUUGUUGUUUAGGUUACCUAUACCAUUGCCUUUCACUUGCCAUGUCAAUACUAAGUACCAUCCCUAAGCAGUUAUCUGAGGCAAAUUUCUGUGCUGAAGUUUGUUGCGACAGAUGAGCCUGUGCUGUUGGAAUAUGCAACACUAGAGUUGCAGAAAAUUAUAUCAGCUGAAGAUGAUGAUGAGAAGUUGAGGCUAUAUAUGACUAGCCUGUUAUGUUCAAGGCAAUGCAAUGGCAGUGAGAUAAAGCUUAGUUUGGUAGAGGCUGUCUUCUACUUGAUAAGCAUCUGGUCCGAGAGUAAAUUGGAAGAUUAUCAUCUGCAUUUUAGUCAGGUUAAUUUCUAUUCUUUAACAGUGUUGUUAUAUUAUAUACCAUUUGCGUUUAGGUUUUACUUUUACGAAGAGACAACUUGUUAUAUCUUGCAGCAUUGUCUACAAGAUGAUCAUAAUCUUUAUCAUUGUUACUCAAAUAUACAAAUGAAAUGAUAAUAAUCUAAACUUUGUAACUUCUUGUUAAAUAAUGUUGACUUAUUUCAUUUUUCUUUUGCAUCCUUGGAUGUCGUGUGCAAGUGAAAUUUACAUAUUGAAAAAGGCUUGUAGAAUGGUUUUGCAUUUCCCGAUAUUUUCCUUCUAAUUUUGAAAUUUUUAUUUCAGCAACCUUGUCACUUAAAGAAGGUAUGGAGCUUAGUGUCAGUAGUUGGCAUUCAUACUUUCCGUGAUGGUGGUGAUAUGAAGGUUAGCUUAUUGUCAGGAGUUGGCAUUGAUACUGCUUCAAUGGUCUAAUAUGGUUCUGCUUGUUGCUUGAUUAAAUAUUUAACUACACACAUUAGUUUUUGGAUAAAGAAGCUUGGUGGUUGGAUCUCAGUUGAAUUUUGAACGGACAAAUAAUCUUAUGAAAACUUUCAUACUUGCAGUUGAGCAGGUUGAAUAUUCUCGAUGAGGAUCCUUCUACAAUAUUUGAAUCUUAUGUGAAAAGGUCCAUUGAAGCUGCAUACAGACGGGUGAGAGAUGUUUGAUUUCAAGUUUGUAUAAGAUUUAGUUGGCCUUUCAGUUUUGGAUGACAGUUAUUUGUUUAUACUUUUAGGUAGCAAGUAACGUAGAUCAUUUAUCCAAAGUGGAAAAGAAACAUCCCUUAAAUGUGCUUGCAAAUGAACUGAGGUUGAUUUCUGAGAGAGAGUUCAAUGUGUUCUACCCGAAGCUAUGUAAAUUGUGUCCUCAAUCUGUGAUGAUCGUGGCUAUGCAAUUGCACCGGGUUUAUUGGGAAAGACUGGUCUGCUUUUGCACCUCUAUAAAUGAAUUAUCAAUUUUCUUGCAGCCUGUAGGCUGUGAACUUGUAAUUAAUUUGUUGUAUUAAUGUGCAGAAAUCAUUUAUUGAUGGAGUAUCAUCUCUUUCUGAAGAUGUUAUAUCAGUGCUUCCAGCUGCUCAUUUAUUGGAUCAAGGCCUAACUCAGCUAUAUAAUAUUGGUAAUGGAGCAAACAGCGGAGAUCUGCACCAUUAUCCGGUUAGUUUAUGGUUAAUGUAUUUAUUUUUUAAAGUUUUUAAUGUGAGGAUAUUGUAUAUUUGUUUUUUUAAUUGCAUCUCAUAAAUACUGUCGUAAAUAUACCGGAAACCAGAAAAAAUAUGCAGAUGUUCAGUUCCAUUCUUGUCUCUUUUUUUCUUUUGGGCAAGAAUGCUGUUAUUGUCACGUUUUCUGUUUGAAAUGUAUUUGGAUUAGCAAAUCUACUAGCUUAAGUUGUCACUUAGGUCUGUUAACUGAGUUUCUGAAUUUCAAUUGCGGUCGAUGCUCAGUUUUAUUAAAAAAAUUAUUUUGCUUUAUUCUGUGAUCUUCCUUAUCUUUUUCUGAUUUGUUUUCUGCUUGCAUAUAAUUUUGUUGUACUGCUGAUGAUAUAAUCAUUCUGUUCUGGGAUUAACGCACAUUGAGUUCUUUUAUUCUCUAUACAUAUUAAUGACUUAAUGGCUAGGUGAUCAUUGUGGUCUGUAGACUUCAGGAGCCUUAUAGCAUUCAAUUCAAUUUCUGCUGUUCAUUUUGUUUGGUGAUGGGUCCAACGUAAGAAGAAACUCAAGAACUGACAAUGUCAGUUUUGAAAAGAUUUGCAUCAUGCAUGCAUUUUAGAGCUUAUGAUUGUGAUUGAAUUUUUCUUUGUUAUGUAGUUUACAAUGUACCGGAUUUGUUCUUGCGUUCUUCAGCUUUAGGUUUUGUUUUUUCUUAAAUAAUUUCUUCGGCUUUAAUUAGAUGAGAUGUCAAAGAAUGAUCUGUUUGGCCUUUCUAUUUUGGGCAGAUUGGCGAGGUUGCUAAACCUAUCAUUCUUGAUUGGGUGAUUGCUCAGCAUGCACGUAUAUUGGAAUGGACUGGACGCGCGUUUGAUCUUGAGGUUGGCUCUACGUGGACUUGGAUGGUGUUGUUUAAAAAUGCAAAUUUAGUUUUUUCCUUCCCGUCUGACUAAACAGAUGCACUAAGUUAACAAGGAAAUAUAACAAGGAAAUAGUAUAUAGCUUAUCAAACAAACUGAUAGUGUGAUUCUAGGCAACCAGUGGGUACAAGAAAGUAGAUACAUUGCUGCUUGAUGAUGUGUACAAAUGCAUUUGUCAGAAAAUAAUGUAUUUACUUUUGAUCAGUUGUCAUGCUGAUCAGCCUAUAAGACACUUUAGCAUGGACCUUCACAUGUGCUUGUGCAUGUGAGAAGAGAGCAGAUGAUGAAGGCAAGGGAUAACUUGUUGAAUUUUGUCUUUUAUAUAUUUCCUCUCUUAUUUUCCAUGAUUUAGCCUGUCCUAUUCCUUGUGAAGUGUAACAUCAACAAUCCUAAUUAGUUGGGAUCUAGGAUUAGUUGGGUUGCGCCAUAUAAUUUUAGCAAUAUGUAAUUAUGUCAGCGCACAAAUGAAUGAAAAUGUGCCUCCAAGUUUGAAUCUGUUGGUAAAUUUUUCUUUUUCUUCUUUCCCAGUUGUAGAUAAGUUUGAUAUCUGAUGUAUUUGUUGACCAUCUACUUGGUAACCACCUAACGUGUUUUCAAGUUUGGAUAUGCUUUAAGAAGAGGACGUCUUCUCUUUAAUGCUUGGUACUUUAUGUUUUAAUUUUUUGGAAUGUGCAGGAAUGGGAACCAUUGUCAUCUCAGCAAAGGCAGGCACCAUCAAUAAUUGAAGUAUUUAGGAUUAUAGAGGAGGUACUUAUAGCCAAAACAUGAUUUGUUGCAUUUUAUUGAACUGAGAUCCAACUGUUUGCAAUGUUUUCAUGAUAUUGUGAUAGAGGUUCACUGAACUGUCUUGACAGACAAAUAGGUGGGAAGUUCAGAGAAUGGAAGUUGUUUGAUUCAGCUCUUUGCAUUCUUUUUCUUUCUUCUUCCACUUAGAAAUCUCCUUCAAGUUUCCUGUGAUCGUUAUAUUGUCCCAAUCCAGAUUACUGUUCUAAUUGUUUCUCUAAAAGUAUAUCUUAUACCAGGUUUGAUAUUUGCUUCAUUCCAUUGUUUGUAAAUCCAAAUUGCAGACUGUGGAUCAAUUUUUUGGUUUCAAUCUCCCUAUGGACAUCACACAUUUGCAAGGUCUGUUAUCUGUUGUCUUCCACGCCCUGGAUGCCUAUUUGCUGAAAUUGCUCGACGAGUUAGGUAUUACACAUCUCUGCAUACUAGUAUAAUUAAUGGAUUCAUUUAUUACCUUAUAUGCUUCCUUGACUUUCACUUGAAAAAAAUCAAUCUUAACAUAACUUCACUAUGGAAUUUGAUUUUGGUGUUUUGACUUAUUUUCUUUUGUGGUUGGGGCAUGUGUGAAGGCCUGGAUGCUUGUUACUAGAGAAUGAUAUAGUUUUAUCUUUUUAUCUCUCCGUUGACAUGUUUUAAAGCAUAAUGUUGAUACUAGAAAAAUACCUUACAAAAACUUUCUGAAUUAUCUAUCAAGUUUCUAUAUGGACAUGACUUAUCAGAAAAAGAUUUUUAAAAAAAGCAAAAGUUUUGCUUAUGGACACUGUUUGUGUAGCUGUAACUAUAAUGAGACGAUUCUUCUGCCUGAUCAGGCAAAACAAGAGAGUUGUACAAGAUGUAUUGAAUCAACUCCAUUCAUUUGUGCCGAAUUACGUGAGGCUUUUGAGAACUUGACAACUAAAACUUUUUGCUAAUGAUACCAGGUGUCAAUAUAUAUGUGUGUGUGUGUGUGUGGCUUGAUGAUACACAGUAUAUUUUAGUAAGUUUUGAGUCUGCAUUGAGUGGACAGAUAAUUUACUGUUAGUCAUUACAGGGAGAUCUAGUUUCUUGUAUUAACAGUCACAGUGCCUCCAUGCAGUUGAGAAGAAUCAUUUAUAUCCAUCACCUCCUCCAUUGACUCGUUACAAGGAGACGACGAUUCCUGUGAUGAAGAAAAAGUUGCUGGAGUGUGUGCCUCUGGAUGAUAAUGUGUAUGACAAGUUGAAUAGUUUGACAAUACCCAAACUCUGCAUCAGACUGAAUACUUUAAAAGUAAGUGAAUGUUGUGAUUUAUAAAUACUUAAAUAAUCAGUUUAUUUUUUGCAAUUUGUAUAAAUAAUUUUGCAGGAACAAUUGAAUCUUUUUCUCUGAUGCUAUAGUGUUUUUUCCUUUUAUCUGAUGCUUGUAAUUUUCAAAAUGGAUCAUGUAAUUAUGUCAUCAUUCAUAUCAAAAUAUUGAAGAUUUGGAUAGUUAGAGAAAGAUUAAUAUCAAAGUUGAGUAGUAAGCAUCAUUCAUAAGUCUACUUUAAUGAAGUUUAUUGGCCAAAAAGAGACAUUUCCAGUUUAUAUUCGAACGCCUGGAGACAACAAUUAUUUGGGACAUUUGAGUCCUUUGAACACAACGGAAGACUACAAGCCCAAUUUUGAUAAUAAGACUGCAACCUGUAAGAGUGUGAAAAUCUAGAAAUAUAUUGGAAUGAUGAAGGUUAAAGUAGAGUCGUAAUCCCCCCAAAUUUAGUGUGCUGAUGUUGCAUGCAUAGUAUAAAUACUGAUUACAAGACAUGGAUGCAAGGGAGAACUGAUAUGAGGAUUAUGGGGGUGAUGACAGACAAUGAUUUAACUCAGAAGCUCUAUAUUUUGAUACUUUUUUGCCUUAUAAUAUCGGCAGUUAUUAUUGUAUUAUAUACCAUCUUACCAAAUCUGGUAAACUAAUUUAAAUGCCUGUGAAAUAUUUUAUGUAGUAAGCUCAAGUCAAGGUCUUUAGAGGGAUCAUUUGUUACUCCCAUAUCCUCGGUUCUGAUGAUAGAACCUCAACUUUGGUAUUUGGUAUUGCAGUAUAAGUUCUUGAGCCCAUCUUGAAAAUUGUUUGCAUUUCAUUCUUUCUCCCUUUUCCUUUAGAUGGUGCUACUUUUGUUAAUUAUUUGAAAGAAUACAAUAUACUGAUAUAUGUUUGUUCCUGCAGUAUAUUCAGAAACAAAUAGACAUACUAGAAGAGGGGAUCAGAAAAUCUUGGGCACUUGUCAGACAUUCUUCUGAUAAAAAAUGGGGUAUGCUACUUUGUAUAUUGAUACUCAGUGAUGCCCUUUGUAUCUAUUGCAGUUAAGUUGUAGGUUUCGUGCUAGGUAUAAAAGUUUCCUCAUAAGGACAAAACUAGAAUUUUGGCAUUACAAGGGAAGUACUUACUAUUAUUGUGGUACUCUUUUUCCUUUUACUACUGUGCAUAAUAGCCAUGGUGCUGACCUUGCCUAGUCUUUAAUUAGGACAAUGCUUUGCAAGAUGGACCAACCAAUCAACUGAUUCUGGUUGGUGCUGUCACAGAAAAAGGCAGAUCUUAAGACUUGAAUGUGUCAUGCUUUAUCUGAACUUCAUUCCUUUUUUUUCCACACAGAAGGUCCAAUUGCUUAGUUAAUGGAUAAUCAAGUUGAGGACAUUAUAAUCACAUGUAAUAUCAUUAACAAGAGUUAUGCCAUAGUUAAACAAAUGCUUUGUUUCCUUUAACUGGAAGAUGACAAGCAAAAUCAGAGUAAAAUGACAAUUUUCCCAAGUAGUACAACUGAAUUGAUUGAUAUUUGCACGCUUAUGGUAAUUUUUAUUUGAUCAGACAAGAAACAGUCUCUAGGAACCUCAACAUGUAAUGAGCAAGUUGAUGAGCUCUUUGCCACCACCUUUGAAAUUAUCAGGGAUACUGCAGCAAAUGCUAUCAGCAGACUUUGUGACUUUACUGGUGAGUUAGCUUUUUCUAUCAACUCACUAAACGUGCUAAUAAUAUGCUAUCUAAAUUUUGUAUGUCUCAUUUCAUCCAUAACAUUAUCAUUCUUGUAAUGGAGAUAUUUGUCUGCAUAAUUUGAAAGUCAGGUCCCCUCAUUUGUAAUUGUCCUUCUUCUGCUUGAUUUGUGAAACAUCACCGUGAAGCUAUAUCUACAGUUGGUUUUACUGAUGACCAGGCAAUGGAUAAACCCUCUUACAGAAAUGUGGCUACAUUGAAGUUUGUUAUACAAUGACCAAAUAUGUGGCUUUCCUAUACACAUCUAGCAAUAGGCUUUUAUGCUUAGCUUCACUUGAAAUUUUGAAUAGAGUGUAUGUGAAUGUUAAGUUUCAUGCUUCAAGGGAGGGGGUGAUACUUGAUGGUCUAAUAUAACUUGUUUGCCUAACCUGCUCUUGCUCACCAUUCUGUAUUAUUAUAAUAUUAUUAUUAUUAUAUUUCUGUGAACUUAUCUCAUUGUCGCUUGGUGAAAUUAAGGAACCUACUUAGUUUUCUCCAUUAAAAUAAAUUUAAAUGAUAUAAGUGUGCGGGUGUGCAUGAUGAUAGAAGACAAUUAUGCUCAAUCAUGUUUGUUAAAAUUCAAUUUCUAGGUGCAAGAGUCGUGUUCUUGGAUCUCAAGCAUGCAUUCCUUUUCGGUUUAUACUGUGGUAAUGUUGAAGGUGCUCGUUUGGAUGGUGUUCUCACACAUAUUGAUACUGUAAGAUAUUAAUUUCUCUCUCUCUCUGUGUAUAAGUUUGUGGUUAUGGUUUCAUCAAAUAUUGUCAAGUGGAUUCUCUUCAUCUUAGAGGCAUUUUUGUAGGUCCUUGGUCAUCUAUGUGGUUUAAUUGAUGAUUCUCUUAGAGAUGUCGUGGUUUUAAGCAUCUUUCGGGCAUCACUGGUAUGUCUCAUUAUUAGAAACUAAUCUUCUGUGGCCCGUUUCUUGUGGUGGUUUUAAUCUUGCAUCAUAUGUGGUUUAGGAAGGCUUUGUAUGGGUGCUGCUUGAUGGAGGGCCUUCUCGUGCAUUUUGUGAUUCAGAUAUUUUACUGAUGGAGGAUGACCUUGCCACACUAAAGGUAUGGUGCUCUGUCUCUGUCUGUCUGUCUGUCUGUCUGUCUGUCUCUGUGUAUCUCCAACUAGCAUUGAGACAAAAUCACUCUUAAUUCUUAGAUGCUUAGGUAAACUUGUUCAGAAAGAAAUGGUCAAAUGUGUUGCCACUGACAUUAAUAUCAAAUUUCUUUCAAACUCAAUGACCUAAGAGAAGAAUUUCCAAAACUCUGGAAGUUGCACCUGUUUAUGUCUCUCAUGCUUGCGUGCUUAAACUUGAGCUCAUAAACAAAUACCACUUGAUGUACAUCCCUAACUUAUGGAGAUAGCUUGGGUCUGUAAGUACCGGGGGAUGGUUUACACUCAUACAUACUCAUUACUUUUUGUCAAAAUACAUAACCAUAUAUUGGUUGCUAAUGGAGCUAUGCUGCUAAACUUCCUAGGAAUUUUUUGUAGCUGAUGGAGAAGGCCUUCCUCGAUCGCUAGUGGAGCAGGAAACAAAAUUUGCUGAGCAGAUACUGAACGUGUAUUCUUUUCAGGUUUGGUCUCUUGUAAUGAGAAUUGUAUACCCUCUCUGUUGAACUUGAAAGGCUGAAACUGGAAGCAUGACACGACCUCUGUUUCUGUAGACUGAAAGUAUUAUCCAAAUGCUGAUGGCUGCAAGUGAACAAAUAUCAUCAGGCUUAGAUUCACAUGAUCACAAUCAUGUGCGCUUAAAUAAUGCCCACACUUUGGUACGGAUUUUAUGCCACAAGAAAGAUAGAGAGGCCUCCAAAUUCUUAAAAAGGCAAUAUCAGUUCCCCAUGUCUUCAGGUAAUUUUUCCUCUCCAUCUAUUUCAUUGCAUGAAAGAUAGGGUUCUAAUGCAAUAAUAUCUAUAUGCUAGUAGAGAAAGUGGGUUUUGGUAAUUAAAACAAAAAGUUGGAAAAAGUGGGGAUGGCGGUUUGCUCUAUGUUAUACUGGAACUCUGAGCCCGUCUUAGCAUACUAGAGAUUAACCUAAGAAGAUCUCCACGAAGAUUGUGUACAGGAGGAAGUUCUCCCGUUUAAAUCUUGGAGGAGGAGCAUGUUUACGUCAUUGAGCAGCAAAUAUAUUGUUAAAGCAUUUGACACAAUUGAUUCUGAAAUGAUUCUUUAUUUUUUAAAAGAAUGUGCUUCAAGAAUAAUAAUCAAACUAUUUUAUCUUCAGAAUCACAAGAAACAGAAAAACUUAGUGGAAACAUGGCUUGUAACUGUUCGCUUUUUAUUUAAAAUUUUUCUUUGAAGACAUUAUAUUUCCAACUAACAUCAAUGUGAUGAUGUUUCUCUAUUAUGGUUUUCUAUUUCUGGUUUAAUAAUUGAAAAAAAAAGGUAGGUUCCAUAAUUCUUGCUUCUGAUAUUUUAUGGUCUAACCUGCAGCUUUACAACCGAAUUUCUCUGGCUAGAAAUAGUCAGUUUAUAUUAAACUCAUGUCAGCAUUUCUCUUUGCUUUUCUUUUUCCCUUUUUUCAAUUGCAGAGUAUGAUGACACUCCGUCAAAGGAUCCAACUUCCCGGUCACCUCUCAGAUCAGAUCUUACGAAUCGAAGCACGUCGUUUCAUUGGAACAAGAUGAGUCCUACUAGUUUUAAGACAUUUAAGAAGAAACUUCAAGAUGCAACAUCUGAAAUCAGGAACGUGGCGUGGUAGUGUGCAGCAAGAGAACGGGCUGUAAGGCAACUUGUUCUCAAAUAGAUGCCGAAAGGGCAUCGAGUUGGCUCUCCGGACCGGCAGAAGAAUGAGGCACCGAGAUUUGUGUGCAGCCAGCCAAUUUUUGUGUUCCGGUAUCCGUACAGCUUUAUUGGCAAACUACCACCUCCAUUAUGAUGCUAGCUAGUUUGUGCGUUAAUUUAUUCGUUGAACAUAGGGGGACAAAACAUAAAAUACCAAAAGACUAUCAGUUCUGUUAUUCUGCAGCGGCCCAAAAUUGGGAGAUUUUAGAAUAGUUUGUCCCUAUAUUGCGAGUAGAAUACAUUCCUAAAACCUUAAAUCAAGUAAUUUCGCACUAAAAUCCAAUUGCAUGUAGCAUCGAGGGAAAAUAUUCUCUUGUUAGACUGUAUGGCGACAUUCUAAAACCUCGAAUCGAGUAAUUUCCCACACUAUGGCAACAUAAUCAUCUUAUAUCUGUGAAUCUGAACAAGAUCAUGUUGAUAUUCCUAAUAUUAGGAUUAAAUGUACAAAUUGAGAAAAAUAGAGAGCAGUAUUUGUGUCAAUGUCAAUGACUCGAUGUGAUCUAAUUUUGCACCUAUGGCUACUUUCCAUCUUCCACAUGAUAUCAUAAUCAAUUACACCUUUAUGUUUUAAAAUCAGCACUCAUAAUUUAAAAUUAGAGUCCCGACAUACUGUCCAGGUCUUCGGUGCAAAAAACACGCAUCAUCUCCAACAAGAGAUCCACACUCAAGUACUACCUCAACUUUACUUUUUCUCUUACGUAAAAUAGACUCCAGUGAUAAAGACUUUAUAACUCCAAUGAUUAAGAGCAUUUAAACAAUCUCAAAUAUUCCAAGAUAUGAAAGAAUAUGAAGAGGGGGUGUGUAUUUUCGGAGGUGUAAAGCCACUUUUACUUCCUCUUCACAUCUCCGGAGGUUGUAAAUGUGGUUCUUGCAAAGGAUGUAAAAAAUGAUGCACAUGUGCAUCUAAAUUUGCAUCUCACAAUUGUGAUGCAAAUUUACAAUCGUUUACACCUUUCCAUUGCAGGUGAUUCCGAUUACAAAUGGUGUAUAUUUAACAUACACCUCAUUAUACAACCCUUCACUGGAGAUGCAAAUUUAUAAUAGACUUAAUAAUUUUCUCUUGCAUUCAAGAUUUUGUGUUGUAUUCUUUCAUUCCUCCGUCCGAUGGAAAAAAGAGAAUAUUUUUGCUUACCACUUUAACUCCAAGUAUACCGUCAUUACCUUUCUCAACACUUGACAUUUGUCUAUGGGUAUAAUCAUGAUUUCACAAAUACAAAAUAAAGAAUUAACUAUAGUUAUACCCACGGACAUAUGUCAAGUAUUGAAAAUAAUAAUGAUGUAUAUAUUGAGUUAAAAGUAGGAAGUAAAAAUAUUUCCCUAAACUCUAAAGAAAAAAGAAAAAAGGAAUCUACAUGAUUGAUGUGGAUCUCAUAUCAUGUGACAUGGAGGGGAUAAAACUUUGAGAAAAGACAAACACAAAUAUGGCCUCAUGUGGGCUCUUGAUUGCUUGAGUCACCAUGGUAGUUGUGAAUUAGAUAGCCCAUCACAUUCAGAGCACUUUGAUAAAAUCAUGGGAUUUGAAAUGGUUGUAGGUAAAGAUGAGCUUACAGUUGCCAUGGAUUUACACUUGGGAGGAAUGUGGAAGGAUGAUGCAUGAGUGGUGAUAGUUACCUAAUUGGAUUUUCAUGAGUAGCUUUACUCACUUUAUUUUCCAAUACUUGUACUUGACAAUCAGUGACAAUUAGUGCUAGUUUGCUUUUUUGGUCCCCUAAAUUAACACCUCUCUCCUUCUCUUUUUAUCUUUUUCCUCUUUUUUCUUCGUAAUGGUACUAAAAUAAACAGUGCUUAUAAUGAAAGAUAAAUAAUUUAAAUUUGCGACAUUUUUCAAUAUUUAAACGAGAAAUACUAAACCAAAAGCUAAGCUAAUUGGUACAUAAAACACGCAUUUUUUUAAAACUUGAUCCAACGUCAAUUAAUGGAGUGGUGAUACUCGCGCGUUGAGAUACUCUCUCAAUUUCUGGAAGGGUGCCCUUCAGAAUCACACGUGGCCCAUCUAUGUGCCUCUUUGCAACCAAAACCCACGUGAUCUAACUGCCCUUCACAAUUCACAGAGCACUCACCCAAAGGGGGCAGUAGAGCUGUCACCGGCGUACCAAUGACUGUGCCAGUGCCACACAUGCCAAAUGCUGGCGCAUUGACGGAGUUUGUUUGCCCAUGACCGCUGACCGGACCCAAAUUUUCCAACUUCACAGAAAGGUUCACAAUCCCAUUGGUCCUGGAACCGUCUCUAGCCCGUAGCCGGUAACUCAAGUACCGUGCUGAACCGGCCGGCGGAAACCCAAUAUCUUGAGCAGAGAUUUGGCACCAGCCCAACUGGGUCCGGCCCAUUAUGAGCCGCUUGCUGUAAAGCUGCAGAUAUAUGCAAGAGUACCUGUUUGUGAAGAAACUUGUGUCCACAGGGACAUGAAAUUUGUCACCCCAUGUAGGGUUGAUACCUCCUUCAUCAUCCACCCCUGUGCUGUACACGUGGCACUUGUGAUCACCGUUGGUGGUGGUGAGGGUAAUGAAGGUUCUGAUCUUGUUUGAGAACGUAGUAGGGGAGGUGGUUUUGAGGCCUUGGGCUGAUAUCACUGUGAUCUCCAUCUUCAUCAGUGGCUAGUGAUUGUACUCCUUCAACAUGAUGUUAUUGAACUUGGCUUGGAGUUGAUUGGUCUAAUUAUAUACAUAUAUAUAUAUAUAUGAGUUUGUAUAUAUAUACAUAUAUACAUAUAUAAUAUAUGUGAAAGUGUGUAGCAAUAAUAGGAAAUUAAAUAUGAGAGAGAGAGAGAGAGAGAGAGGGUUCUUGGGAGCUUCAAAGGGGGUUAAUUACAGUGCAGUUUCCUUGUGGAAUAAAAAUGGAGAAUUUUGGAAAUGGAAUUUUGAAAGGGUGGAUGAUGCAGCUUUAUAUGACUCAUACACUCAAAAAAGCAAUGGAAUUUUCCCGCUUGCCAAGUCAACUAGAUAGACGGUUUUUGUGUUUUGAUGUUUUUCCCCUACCCAUAUGCCCGUCAGUCACUAAACAAAGUGUGCCAAUCAUUUUUAAUGUUUCUCUCGAAAGCAAUAGAGCCUAAGCUUCGCCACUUCUUGAUGAUCCGGAUCGUCUGUUUGAAUUUUCCCACUCAUUAUAUGUUUGUCUUUUAUUCUCGAUUACAAAUGAUUGUAAAUAUUUAAAAGUAAUUUAUGAUUUGCGAUAAUUCAUUUUUAUAGGUUGUUUAUUGUUAAUUAUUUUGUUUUUCUAUCAAAAAUAAAAUUAUACUAAUAUUAAUUUCUUGUAUAGAUAGUUGCUCAAACCUUGCAUUUAAUGUGGGGUCCAAAUAGUUGUCAAGUAGCAAAAGCCAGCUUCUUUCCUUGAUUUAUUUUUCCACCAAGUUGUCAUGCAGCAUACUGCGGAUGCACAUGUCGUUUUGUUAUAAAAUUUUCUUUAAUUUGCAAAUUGCAAGUGCCGUCUUUGGUCGUCUGCAUGAAUAUUUUUCCAUGCAAAUUAAUUUGCAGAGCAAUUUCAUGGUAGAAGUCUGGCAAAUGCGUAAACACAUGGGCGUCAAGAGGAAUUGAAGUCAACCCAAUUUUGCUGAUCACAUGCAUACAAAUUCCACUAAGCUUUUCAUAAUAUUAAUAGGUCAUGUUAGUGGUCGGCACAAAUAUACGAAAAACAACAACUAGAUAUUGCCAAAAGCAAACAAGGCAAAAAACAGUUUUGCCACUUUACUUUAUAGAUUGGUCCCAGCCCAGCUGCAGCAAAGCAUGUGUAGCUGAGGUGAGGGUUCACAUUAACAUUAUGUUCUUGGCAGAUUGUGUCGACUUUAGGGACCGAAAGUGAAGCACUUGUUGACUCACCACAAGAUCGGGAUAUUCAUUUACUUCUCAAUUUUCCAAAUUUUUGUUCUUUUUUUGUGUGCGUAUAUAUAUGUAUAAAGAAAAACAAUUAAUUAGGGAAAAUUUAAAUAUAUUGCAGUCGAUCGACAAAUUUAAUACUUGUAUUUGGUUUAUUAAUUUUCCGUUGUCUUUUAUUUUUUUCAUAUUUUAAUAGCUUAUGUUAACAUUGAAUAUUGGGAUCCUUAGAGAAUCUUGCUUGUAAUUAUAUUUGUUGUAAGUCUAGAUUGACUCUCAAUAAUUUCAUAAGGACAUUGCAAUAGACAAAAUUCAUAGAAUAACGAGUCAAUUUGUUACGUAUCAAUGAACCAUGAGGAAAGUUGAGUGGUCACAUGGCAAACAGAAAAUGAAAUAUACAGUGAGAUUAUAUAACAAACUACAUUUAUCUGAAUAGAGAUGAUUGGUUUCGAGUUGUUUUAGUCUCUGUGUGGAGGAGCUUUGUUUUUGGUUGGGUGAUGGGCCUCUUUGGCUUUUAGAUGGUGUUGGGGAGGAUUGGUCUUGAGUGGUUUGAUUUACUUGUAGUAGGUAUUUCACUCUUCUGAUUAGUCAUUAGUAUGAGAAGUACUUUAUACUCUGGGAUUUUAUUCCAUGUAGUUUUUUCCAAGAAGAUUUUAACGAGGCCACCGUUAACAUGCUCAUUUUUAUCAUGUAAUGUUCGGUUUGAGUGGUCACAUUGAUAAACAGAAAACAAAAUUUACAGUGAGAUUAUAUAACACAAACUACAUUUAUCUGGACCCAAAACUCUCUGUUUCAAUCCAUAAAAGUAAAAUUUGAGAACUAGUAGUAGAAAGGGCAAGGACAUCCAACUCAUAAAUUCCAUUCAAUCCAAAACCUGGAGUUAGAGUGCUAAAAUUUAGGAGACAUUUUGUAAUGCUUGUCGAUAAAUUAUAUGCAAUUGGGCUUAUAUCCAAAGUAGUUCGAUGCCUCGACAGAGAAAGCUGCAGAAUCACUAUUCAAGAACAAAGUCCUAUUUCCCCAAGGUCCUUGGCUCUGAAUCCGACCAAUUGCCAUAACUUAAUGGCACCUCAAAAUAUCUAAACCUAGUUUUUGUCGUAAACCUGUUCUCUCGUUUACUCCAUGAACUAGACAAAAUGGAAGAAAUGUAAUUAAAAAAAAAGCUAAAAGCCUCGUUUGUGCGUGUUUAGGGUCUUCAAUGUCACAAACCAAAACAUUCCCUUUCAAGUCCAGGGCAUAAAAUUGUCCCAUUGAAUGUCACAUACCUUUUGACAACGUCGUUGUUGAUGGGGAUCAAAAGUAAGAAAAGCUACCAUGGAAACUUUCUUUUUUGUGGCCCAAAAGGCUAGAAGAACCCUUAGUCGGCCCAUUUCUGUAGGCAUGCAUGCAUGGUCCAUAAAUUUCAAUUGAUAAUUUGGGACCGCGAAUGUGGGUUUGAUGAGUUGUAUGUGUGCUUGCUCGCCCAUUUAUACCCGAGUUCAAUUCUCUUCCAUCUCUAGUGUCGAAUAAACAUAAACCCCGGGGGGGAUUGCCAGGCACACCAUGAACAGUGUUUAUAAGAGGUUUUAGAGACUGUUCCAACAGUAUUUCUUCUAGCCAUCAUCCAACUUGUGUGAGUUUCUUUAGAAUAAUAAUGAAUGUAACGCAUCCAAGUGGCUUAACAUGGCUGUUUACUAAGAUGAAAAAUUGCUCAAAAUCCCUUAACGGGUCUUUUGCAAUUUUAGGCCCAAACAAUUAUCCUUACGGAUAACGAACCUGACAUGAUAGGUCCAUUGUCAAUUCUCAAUCAACCAUGAGCAUAGACGAUGGAUGACUCAAAUUGCCAAGCGAGACCGAAUUACGUGAUUUUUUGUUUUACAAAGCGGCAUUCUAGAUUAUACAAAGAAGGGAUCGAACUCAGAUGCAAAGAACGGACAACACUGAUUGGACACUAGCAAAAUGAAAAUGAACGAAAUCAUGCUAAUCUUGAAAUUAGCUAAAUUAUCACUAACAUACAUUCACCACAUUAGUCAAAUGUGGCGUGUUUCUGUUUGUCCGUCUGCUUUUGAAACAACAAACAACAAUUCAUGGAUAAAAUUUUGAAGGAAUUAAUUUAUACAAGCGGGCUCACAAUUUUGACUGUUCCCGCCCAACUCUUCUGGCGCUUCAUGGAUCAAGGAAAAAUUUCAUCCGCGCCCAAACUACGACGCACGCACGGCGUCGUUUCGCAGUUUCCAGAACACACUAGAAAAUCUGAUCCUUUCUUUCCAUAAACGACGUGACGCUAUCAGUCAUUUGACUCGCACGUGCGCACUUUUCUCCUCGUGCGGUGCUGUCCACUCUUCCAUUAUCCGGAAAAACAAAUCAUAAUCACCAUCGUCAUCCAAUCAAGUCCGUCACUUUCCGAGCUCCAGCCACGUGGAGUCCUGAUCGCGCUUCGAACUCCCAUCUGACGGCUCUGAUUUCAUCGCCUCAGACCCUUCCCGAUGCUGCUCCUCUUCCUCCUCGUCUCUCCGCACGCGCUUCACCCCAAUGGACACCCCAAAUAGCCUCGGCCUCGUCUCCUCCUCCUCGUCUUCCUCUUCCUCCGCCGAAGCCUCCGCCUUAGACCCCUCGCGAACGACACCAUUUUCAGACGGCUCAGCCUCCUGCACCGGCGACAGCUCCAGAGGCUUACCCUCAUCCAUUACACUCCCACCGCCACCGCCGCCGCCCUCCAACUGACCAGAAGCGUAGUUCGUCAUCAAAGCCAAUAUAUUGUUGCACAAGCCGCGCAGCUGAGUCAGCUCGUGACUUAGCUGCAUGUUCUCUUUCCUGAGCCGCUCGUUCUCUUCCAGAACGUCCGACGUGGUGGUGCAGCUCCGGAUUCGGCUCAACAUCGUAGCCGGAGGCGCCACCGGCGACGAGUUCGACGAGAUCACUUGCUCGUCGCCGGAGUUCGACGGAGAUACCCCGGGAGCCACCACAGAUACCGUCGCCAACGUAGCGGUAAUCGCCGCAGGCGACGCCGACACCGACGGCGAGAUUUUCCGGCGCUGAAUCUCCCGUAGGAGGCCUUUCUCACCUCUUUUGAAGCAAUCGUUCGCGAACUCCCACCGAUCCGGCACAACUUUCCGAAAUCCCUGCAAGUACAAUAGAAAUCGAUUAGAAAAUAGAAUAUUUACGUGCUUAAGUUUGUUUGGCUGCCGAGAAAGAGGAGGAAAGUGAGGGAAACAGAGAGGGCUUACGUAAGUGUUGAGCUGGCGGACGAAGCUGGAGAAGUUGUUAUGCUUGAAAUACUUGGGGAGCAAAUCUCUGGCGAAUUCGGCGGGUCGCCAGACUAUGAAGGCCGAUCCGUCUUCGCUCCACGAGAUCAAAUCGUCGACGGACGGAUCGUCCACCAGCUGAUACGUUUUGGUCAAAAACGGCGUCGGAAGCGUCCUUUGUGAGUCUCCACCUCCUCCAGCGCCGUUAACCGGGCCGGAGUCGCCGUUCUGGUCGGCCUGCAACGACGCCAUGGCCUCUAGGCCUUCGGCUUCUCAGAUCCGAGCUCUAAUAGCAACUGAUUUAUCAAAUAAGUAACUGUUGUUCAAUAUAACAAAUAAAUUAAAAUUAUUUAACGUUUCAAUUGGUUGCAGAGAAACCGUGGAGCAAUUAAAAAUAAAUAAAAAUUGAAGAAAGGAAAAUUCUGGAGGAAUUAAUUGAUUUAAUUUCAUGUAUGAAAUGUCUAGCAGCUUCAGAAAAAAAAAUUUUAAUUAAUUAAAUUAAAGGAAACGUAUGUACCUGGAAAGUGAGGCUUUGGGAUGAACAAAGUGUAGGGAUUUUCCCACCAACCAAACGGAAAACUGGAAAAGAAAGUUCGUUUCCUACACGAAAGCUAACUCUAUCUAGAACAGUGCUUGGGCUGUUGCACCAAGGCUUAACCAGAAGAAGCCGCAGCAGCUCCGAGAGAGAGAGAGAGAGGCGGGGAGAACUUCCCUGCUCUUUUUGUUGUUUCUAGAAGGUUCUGGGGUGCGUGGAGUAAAUGAUAGGAGCAAGACGGAAAAAGGGUAUUCGUGGGUUCGAGAAGGAAAGAGAGAAAGUAAUUGUUUUAUUUUUUUAAGGAAAAGGAGAUUGGAAAAGGGCAAAAACUGUGGGGGCCCACGGACAAGAGGGAGUGAUUAAACAACGGAUAGGAAGGCGCGAGAAGUAGGGGCUAAGAGAGAGAAUUAGUAGGUUUUUCUUCUAACGUCUUUUCCAGAAGCUUCUCCCAUUCUUUCAUUUUCUAUUAUUUUAUUAUUAUUUUUUGCCCAAUUUACGUUUUGUUCCCCGUAACUUGUUUAGUUUUUCAGGUUGGUCCCUGUUUUCUUUAUUUUGACAAUUUUCAUCCAUUGCUUUUGGAAGGUUGGCAAUUCUAGUCCAAAUUGACAAACCCAAAAACAAAGGACUUUUUAUUACAAACGAUACCUAAGAUUUACAAAAUUAUCAUAUUUUGUCCUUAUUGUUCUUUUGUAAUACUAAUGGUCCUUAAAGUUAGCUUUUGUACAACAAAAUGAUCCCUGUCGUUAAAUUCUGUUAAUUUUUUUGUUAAAUUGAUGACGUGGCAUAUGUGUGGAGUUCACACAUCCAAUGAUAUAAAGCCACGUAGCUUUAAAUAUAAUAUAAUAUAUUUUUAAAUAUUUUUAAAACUUAAAAUUCAUUUCACAAAAAUUAAAAGCAACUUAAAUUAUUUAUUUAUUUAUUUUUUUAAGUUUUAACAUAGAACUAAAAUAUCAAUUAACAUAAAUUUCCUAACUUAUCCUCAAUUCAAUUCCUUCUCAAUUAAUUCAUCCUCAUUCUCACUCGAUUACGAAUAAGUAAACAUGCCAUAAAUUCAACGUAUUAAUUAGCGUUAAAAAAAUCCUUCCAUUCUAUGGAGGCAAAACACUCUUUGGUUGUCGGCUGUUUUCUACCUAGUACUGCUCCUGGAGCUUUAAUGAAGUUAGGUUUGUGGAUGCCUUUGGAGGUAGGGAAUAUUAAUUUGUGAACCUAUUACAGUUUGAAAGGUUGAACUUUGUAUGUACAGUUAUAUAACACAUAGAACCAGUCAAGACAGAGGCAUGUAAAGUUGUUAUUGGACUUUGAUGAAUUGACAUGUAUUCAAAUAAGACUAAAACACCUUGUGACAGGUACAUUAUGAAGAUUGCAAUGGAAAAAUUUGUGAGGAAGGGGACCCAAAAUUAUUUUUUAUGGGUGUCUUUGUGCGACUUUUUGAAGUACAAAUAAUUCUAAGAGCAUUCACACAACACAAUCAAAGUAAUAUUAGAGAGGGGGAAUUCGAACAUAUGACCACAAAUGUAGGGCUAACUACUCUUGACCACUUGAGAUUGUGCAGAUUUAAAGGAGCUGGCUUUUGAGGGCAACUCUCACACGUGAUCUUCCUCUAUGUCUAUUUGUUUGCAGAAUCUCAAUCCUCAGCACGAUGAAUGUUGCAAAGAGUUUCAUAGUAACUAAACAACACAGAAAACAACAAAAGAGCUGAAACAAAUAAUCAAAAUGAAAAAAAAACAAUAAGUUCUAGAAGCUCCAUCUUGAUCCACAUCACCAGCCUUAUCUUCAACUGAUCCUCAUCUCCCAAGAUCAGCAGAAAGAUUUUGACUAGAAAUUACUUCAAUUUAAAGCAUUUCUUAGGGCUUCAGCAUGACCCAUGAGAGCAGCAUAACUAAUGCCUUCAAUAGAAUCCCCUAUAUCGUUAUUAUUGUGUUACUAAUUCACAUGUUAUGUUAUAUGUGAAUGCUACAUAUAUAAAAUCAUGAGUGGAAAUGAGUGGACGCGGUAUGACAUUCGAAAAUCUUCCCCCAUUUCACAUCCAACUUCCACUUAAUUUAAGUAGGACCAGUCCGAUGCUGCCACUGAAAUGCACAACAUAUUAGAGGUAUCGUCUCUUUUUUAUAUGGAAUUAUUCUGUACAAAUAUUCAUCUUAUUUAUUUAUUUAUUUAAAUGUUUUCCCUCUUUCAUUGAAAAUUAUUGCAGGUUGCCCGGUAAACUUCCUGUUGAAACUUUAUUAAUUCGUGGGUUCUUCUAGUAGCCCUUAGCCAGCUCUCUCUCUCUCUCUCUCUCUCUCUCUCUCUAGAUCAAAACGUUUUUAACAUUGCCCCCAUUGCUUAGCUGCUUAAAACUACAAACCCGCACGUCUCUGUGCUAAGAAAAUUAUCACAUCCUGAAACUGGUCAAAUUCCUCAGACAGUUUGGAUACAUUUAUUCUAAGAAAAUUCCAGACAUCCUAAUUCCAAGACCCAAGUAAACAUUUAUAGAAGCAAACGCAAGUUUAUGCUUCAAUUUGUUACCACACAACAUGCAUGGCAUAAUUCUUUUUCGAUAUUUAUAUAUACUUGCCAGAAAAGGAAUUUAUUCCCAUGAUGUGGCCCAAUUACAUUUCUUUUAAAUGGAAAAGAUAAAUAAAGGAAAAACACUAUAGUAGAUGAACAUAUCUAGCAGGACAUCAAAUAAUACAGUUUUAUUUCUCAAGGCAGUGGGAGGUAAGUCACUUAGACAAACUUCCGUGCGCUAAUGUACAAUUCCAUUCAAUACUUGGACUGGUAACCUCGUGGAUUGUUUACCGCCCACUUCCAUUGGUCCCUGCACAUAUCGUCUAUUCCGUAUUUUGCCCUGAAACCGAAGAUAUAAAAUUAGCGAAGAAGAAAAACUAUGCGGCGCCAGUCAUCAUCUUGAAGGAUCAAAAAGAAUGUUUUGCAUUUGCAUAAAAGAAGAGAUGAAAUCUACUUACUUCCACCCGAGUUCCCUUUCAGCUUUCUCUGUUGAAGCAUAAACAGCAGUAGCAUCUCCCGGCCUCCUUGGGCAUAGUUUGAUGGGGAUUUUCUGGGAUAUACACAAUUAAGACAAAGUUCCAUAAUGAAAAAUUGAUUGAGAAAAAGAAAGAGAUAGUGAUUUAAAGGAAUCGCACAAUCACCUUGCCAGAAGCCUUCUCGAAGCCAGCAACCAUUUGAAGCACUGACGUACCUUGUCCGGUUCCCAGGUUGUAGGCAACACAUCCUAAGACAUGAAAUUCUAUUUAGAACACCCAAAUGCCAAAGAACAUUACCACAAAUAUUUCUGACAUGAUAGAGUCAUUCAGAAACAUGACACUCAAGAUAAUAAGAACAAUCACCUAGAUUCUCUGUAGUAAAAAGCUUCUGAAGAGCAGCAAUAUGACCAUCCGCCAAGUCCAUAACAUGAAUGUAGUCUCUGAUCUGUGCAUAAUGAAGAGAAUAAUAAAACUGGUAAUUAGGAAAACAUGUGGAUUUAAUCGAUUGCAUAAGACUAACAAGAAAGUCGUGUAUUAGCAGCAUGCUGAAGGAUGAUUCUAUGAGUAUAAUAUAAAACCAUAUGCAGUCCAAGCCAAAAUAAAUUCAACACGGGACCAGUAGCUGGAUGUCAAUGAACAAGUGAAUUCUUGCCAAUCCUACCCAGUCAUCUUGAAGAAAAACAAUCUUGAUGGAUUUUACAUACCGCAGUACCAUCCUUGGUGGGAUAAUCAUGACCAUAAACAUUAAGCUCAGGCAAUCUUCCAACAGCUACUUGCUGUAUGUAAGGCAUGAGGUUGUUUGGGAUGCCUUUGGGAUCUUCACCAAUUUGCCCACUCUCAUGAGCCCCGACAGGGUUGAAGUACCUCAGUAGAAUAAUUUGCCAAUCUGGGUCUGCUAUGUGUAUAUCUCGAGCAAUUUCUUCAAGGAAAAGCUAGUAAAAUGGAGCAAAUCCUAUGUUAGAGAAGAAGGAAAGAAAGCCAUCUAAUUUUUAACUCAACAUUAAUUCAAUGUUUUGUGGAAGAAGAUAUGUUGUAUACCUUUGUACGGCCAUAUGGAUUCAAAGCUACAAGGUCAAAAUCCUCAACACAAGGAAUUUUUGAAGGUUGCCCGUAAACAGUUGCAGAUGAUGAGAAAACCAUCUACACUCACACAACAUCAUAUUCAUCACGUUAGUAGGUGGAAACAUGGGAACAUUUUACAAAAUCAAUGUCUCAAUGUUCAGAUGCUCAAUUCCUCAGAAGUACUUUAGAAAAGACGAAAAUAAAUAAGUUUUUUUUCUCUAAAUAAUGAAGCCAAUAAUUCAGAACAUCAGUAUGUUUAUAAUCCACUUUGUCCUUCUCUUUAGUUUUACUGGGGCAUAAGAGACAGUGAGAGAAACCAAUCGCCAGCACAGGCACAUGGGGGAAAGAAUGAACAUUUAAAACAUUGGUCCAAGUUCCAUUGGUUUCCAUUCCACACGGUUGCCAACAUAUGGAAAACAAAAUAGUAAUCUCUGAACCUAAUUUGAGGUCCAACUGCAGAACUCAGAAAAAAGAAGAAAAAAGAAGAAGAAGUUGAGAGAUCAAACCUUUUUACAAUUGUAUUUUGUCAUGAUCUCAUAGAGAUUAAUAGUGCCAACCAAAUUAUUAUCAUAAUAACGGCGUGGGUGAGCAACACUCUCUCCUACAGCUUUCAGGCCAGCAAAGUGGAUCACAGCAUCAAAUCUGUCCCAUUAUAAUCCAACAGCACAGUCAAAUACUUGAACGUUAUAAUUACAUACUAUGAUGUAAUUAAGAAAAUUACUCACUUUGUUUGAGAAAACAGCCUCUCCAAAUCGUCCUUAUUUCUGAGAUCACCCUGCAACCAAAAAAAAAAAGAAAGCAUAAGUAAUUGAAUUAAUGAGAACGAGGCCAAAGUGAAAACACAAAACACAGUGUUAGGCUUAUAAGAAACUAAGAAUUUUAUUGCAAUAAUUGGAGACGAUUCUAAACCAACUGAGCCGAGCAAGACUAUGUUCAACUUAAUUUCAAGAAACGAAGCACAGUUAUCAGGAAUCCAAAAUUCCCUUUCACAUUCACUCUAAUUCCCAAAAUAAGUAACAGAGCAUCAAGAAGUCAAAAUUUUCUUUUCCAAUUUUAAAAUUAUCUAGGGAACCAAACAGAGCAGCGUAAAGCCAAAGCAGCAAGUUCACUAAACAAGAAAAAGAGCAAAAAGACAAGAAAAAGAAGAAAAAGAGAAGCGGCCAUAGCCAAUGAACAAGUGAAAGUGAGGAUAGCGAUAUACCAAAUGAAAGUGGAGCUUCUGAGAGAGCUUAGGGCCGACCAAGUCCCGAACGCGAUCAACAGCUUCAAUGACGGAAUUGUCAAGAUUAUCAAGGAUGGAAACCCUAAACCCUGCUUCGAGAAGCUGAACCACCGUGUGGCUCCCAAUAAACCCCGCCCCGCCGGUCACCAGAAUCGUCUGCUCCAUUGACCCCAUGCUUCUUGCCUCCUCCUCCUCACACACUCACCACAAACGAACUCACAGAGAGAGAGAGAGAGAGAGAGAGAGAGAGAGCGAAUCAAGGAGGGUCGUUCGGGAAUUUCGGAUAAGCAAGAAAGUGAAGAAGAAAUGUGAAUUUGAAUUGGAAUUUAUGAGAUUAUUAUACUAUAUAUAUAUAAAAGAAAAAGGGGGAAAAUUCAGUUGAUUGGGGAAUUGGAUAAGAAUGAAUAAUUGAAUUACGUGAUUGAUGAUAAACACCCAAAAAAAAAAAAAAAAGAAGAAAAAACAGAGAAAAAAAUUGAAAAGGGUGAGAAGUUCAGUUGAGGUGAGUAGAGAGAAUAUAUGGAAUCAGUACAGUUUGUUUUGCUUGGCGCGUUUUUAAUAGAUCUUUCCUUUUCUGUUAUGGCGGAGCUGUGACGGUUGCAGUCGCGCGAGUAAAGCGCGUUUCGUACUCUCCAGUGCCAGUGGUAUUGGUAGUUUGCGAGGUCGAGGUUUGCGGAUUUGAAAUGGGUGUGAUUAGACUCUGACGUGGUCCAUCCAAUUUCUGUUUUUCCAGCGAAUUUGGAUAUUUUUGUUUUCCUUAAAUUGCUUUUUCUUUUAUUUUUUUCUUUUGAAAGCGAUAUUGUUUUUUGUAAAGUUUGUAACGAACGAAUUUGACAUGGUUUGGUUGGCGUGCCGAAUAUCGUAUCCUAUACAUCUUUUUGGAAUAUAAUGAUAAUUAAUAAAUAAAUAUGGGAAUUUUGGCUUUUCCUUUUUGGGGAAUGAGGAGAUAGAGGACUUUUAGAUUUAGGAACAUUUUUUAUUUGACAAAGUAAUGUUUCAAACUAGUCUAAUGUAUAGAGAGUGGAAUAGCAAUCGGGUGCAAAGGACGAGCACACCAUCUUAAGUGACCUAAACUACAUCUACUUACUUAGAACAGCGGAGAGUUUGAACAACUGAAAUGAAAGAAAUUAACUCCUUUAAUGUGAAGAAGCACACACUAAAGCACAUCCAUUUUGGGCAAAAAUUUGAACCGUGGAAAUUUGGCUUCUUCUAAAAGUGUCAAGGUUAACCUAUACACCAACGUUAACGUCUGAUGAAGUAGCAUGUGCAGAGAAAAGUUGGCCACAUUUAGUAACACCUGAAUCAUUUUCGGCGUCGAAUUCACGUUCCAGGCACCUUCCUAGAGAUUUAACGGCAGCUGAAGAAGCAUCAGGUCUUCUGGAACUUCUCUUUCUUAUGAUGGAAGGAGUAUUUUUGAAACUCAAUGCCAAGUUCUUCAGUCUCGACCCGGGACUGCUGCCACUGCUGAGAUUCACAUUAACAUUCUGCGGACGGCUUUGGGGUGUAGAGUAGCAGGAUGGACUCUCAAGGGGGGAGGACCGGGUAGAAGCAGAUGCACCCACGAAAACCGAUGAAGAGGCUGAUAGAGGGCUGUGUUUGGAAGAUCCACUUGUGAUUAGAUUUGUCAAACUACUUGCUCCUCUAUCUGAUGAUCUGCAUUUCUGCACUUUGACAGGUUUCCAUUCUGAACAAAGUUCAUGUCUAUAAGAACAUCCAAGAGUCAACUCUGUAGAGCAAGCGCUAUCACUAAUCUCCAACCCUGUUCUCUGAUUGAGUGAGGCCAGUCUAUCAGAAAUCUGUCCGGCUGGGUUAAUCUCGACAAGGCCCGAUCUUAAUUCACCGUUCCAGACAUCAGGAUGCAUAUCCACAUCACAACCAUUAGGUGAGUAUGAAUCUAAUUUUCUCUUCAGUGUGCAGUUCCAGUGAUUUUUAAUUGCAUUGUCAGUCCUGCCAAUUUCAAUACAGAUGAGAUGAGUGAGUGCAUUCAACAGAAGGAGCCAAUCUCCCCAUUUGAAUUGUGUUAAUAAACAUAAAUUACACAAUCAUUAAUGAUAUAUCUAUGUUCAUAGUAAACUGUAUCUUCACCAGCAAAUAGUACACAAAUAGUGCAUGUCUAAAAUCCAAAAUUUGACCAAUUUAAUAAAUUAAUCCCUAUACAAGUGAUACAUAAUCCAGAUUUUUACCUCAUUUGCACCACAUACAAUCACAGGAAAAAAACCCAUGUACAUAUAUGUUCAAGUUCCCAAAACAUGUUGGUCAGUCUUCAAUUAAUGAAUUCAUCAUAUACAAAUAAACACAAAAUCAUACUUUCAUCCCAUCUGCUUUCAGUUAUUGUAUACCUUCCAGGUAGAAACCUGGCUAUUUCUGCCCACUUGUUACCAAAGAGUUGGUGGUAGUAAGUAAGAACCCACUCCUCUUCUUCUGUCCAUGCAUUUCUAUUUAUAGCCGGGCAUAAGUGAUUGUACCACCUGAAAGUAAUUAUUAACUUCAUUAUUGUCUAGUAUAUAACCUGCAUAGCUAACUAUUACAAAACACAAUGGAUGUGAACCAUAGAUUUGCAGAACAUAUGUUGAUUGAAUGGUACUUGAUGCCAAAAGUUUGAUGCACUGACUAGAAAUCGUUGCUGCCUACCUUUCUCGGCAUUGCUUGCCCAUUCGACCUGGUAAGAACUUUGCAAUAACAGACCAUCUUUUAGCACCAUGACUCUCAACUUGUUUGAUUAUGCAGUUGUCUUCCUGAAAUCCAGAUAAAGGAACAAAUAUCAGUUUUCCUUCAAUUAGUUUGUUCAGUCAACUUGUUUGUCCGUGCUUCUUAGUUUGUUUUCUCAUUGAUCACAUAUCAGUUUAGCAUAAAGUAAAAGCAUGAUUUCCCCAUUGUUAUAAAAGCAUGCAAGAGUGUUAUGUUUGCACCUCCUUUGUCCAGGGUCCCUUCACAAUUUCAGGAUUUAGAACCUUUUGCCAGCGCUGCAGGCACUGAACAUCUGUGCGCCCAGGGAGACACGCAGCUGCAGGACAUAAGGAAGCAAUCAAAUCACAAACUUUGCAUCAGGAAACUUUCAAAAAACUAGAAGCACACUUUUGAAAACCAACUGAAAGACAGUGGCAUGCCCACCUAUUUCCUUCCAAUUACUCCUGUUAAACUUUCUGACCAGCUCUCCUAGAAGAUUGUCCUGCCAUAACAAGAAGUCAAUUGAUUAAUAAAGUGAUUAAUUUCUGAGAAGCUAAGGAGACUAAAAUAAAGUCUCCACGUAGACUAAACCAACAUUAUAAAUAUAAGAACUUCUGUAUUUCCUUCUUCAUUAACAAUGUAUCUAAAACUUACAUGCUAAACUGGCAUUACAGAACUACCAAACUAAGGAAUUUUCACUACUGACCUCUUCCUCUGUCCAGCAUUUCGCUGACCGUCUCAUCGGACCAGUGGCUCUCCUAGAACAGCAAAGCAGACCAUUCAUCACAGUAAAGUAUCAAAUUAAGCAUUUACCCAAAACCAGAAAACUCAUGACCAAAGAAAAAAUUAACUCAAAUGGCAAUAAGGCAUAACCAAGUAAAUUGUAAUAUGAGGAAAAAGGCUAAUUGAAGAAUCAGAUGCCAUCAUAAAUAUGCCCCUUCCAUGUAAAAAGUUAAUUGAAGCAACAUACCGAGUAGCAGAGCUUGGCUUGGACGCAGGCGAGUUAAAACAGCCUUCAGUUUCAUAUAAUGCUUGCAAAAGGAAACCAAUUUUCUCGUAUGGAUCCACAACCACCUCCUGCAGCUGCUCCUUUUUCACUUUCGCCAUGAUCUCUUAGAAAAAUCAGUUUUCCUCAACCUUGAACAUAUUACAAGCAGAAAACAAGCCCUAAAUCAGUUAAAGUUAAAGUUUUGAUCGUACUAGAAAAUUCAACAUUCUGUUUGGUUCCUGAGAAAACAAACUAAUUGAAGGAAAACUAAAAGCGCCAAUUGAUCUCACAAUUGCAUCAAAGCCAGUAAUUUGAGUGAGUAUAAUGAAAAAGCGACAAAAUUUUGUCAUAUUUUCCCACAUUUUCUCACCAACCAAACAGAGCAGCAGAAAUUUCAACGAAUUGCAAAAUGAACCAUCACCAAUUGCACAAUGAAUCACAUAAUUGAACCAAAACAAACACAAAAAAUAAGGAAAUGCAAGAAACUUAAAACCACAAAAUUAAAAUCCGAACCUUGAAAAAGAAAGCUUCGAGGGUUUCUGAGUGUGUGAGAAUCUAACAGCCAAAACUACAGAAAGCAGAAAGAAUACCGAGCUGGUUUUAAGCAAAGGCAGUGUGAAAUGCGAAGGGCAGGACUUUUGGCGGGAAAGUUGGGAGCUUCUAAUUUUGAGCGAGUGGAAGCGAAAGCGGUUUUUGUUUGUUUUCUCAGUGGUGAGCUCUCUUUCUGAGAGAGAAAAGUCAGAAAUGACUGAGUGAAAGAGAGAGAGAGGAUUUGUGGUUGUAUUUAUUUAAGCGUUUUGGAGAAGUAGCUUACGCUGGAAGCUGAUGGCCAAGAAGGGAAGCUUUGGUGUUGUAUUUGAAGCGUUUUCAAGAAGUAGAUUGCGUUGGAAGUUUGAUCAACCGACGGCGGUUGUUUCAUCGCGUUUUGGAGGGUAGGAAACGUUUGAAUUCGUUAAUUGGAUAUGGGCUUUUAGGUGGACUCCAUUUCGGCCCAAUACAAUCUUGAUGUUCCUUCAUCGAUCUCGUCAAGCCAAAACUCAUCUUAUAAACGUGUAAAAAGCCACAUAUAUGAACAUCAUAUCUCUCUCAAAUUUUUCUACCAAAUGUCAAACACGUAAUUUAUCAUAUAUGUAAAAUUUCACAUUUUCUUUGUUUUAUUUUUUCUUUUCCAACCCAACCCCACGUCCAAAACCAAGCCCACCAUCACACAUUGAAAGUGGAACUCCAUCUAUUAGGAAGAAAAAACACACACACACACACACCUAGUAAAGUGUUUGUGUUGAGAACGUACGCACAAAAUAUGACUAGAUAUUUGUUGAAUUCAAUUUGUUGUUUGCAACCCAUCAAGCUUAUAAACUUGCUAGUAGGUUGAAUUCAGUUUGUGGUGCACUAUGAUUGAAUAUUGUGGAAUUCUCUAGACAAAGCCACAAACUUGUCGGUGGACUUGGUGAUGUCUCGGCAAACAUGCAUAUGUUACCAAUCUAAGAUGGAGCUAAGGCCAAUUAGUCUAUACAAAGCUAUGUAACCUCUUGCAGGGGAGGUGUCAUCAACUCAGAUACACGGGCUGCAUGAACCUCCCUUGGUUCUACGAUGCCCUGGUAGUGUCUUGAUCAUCAAAUAUAUAAGCGCAAAUGCGUAUGUCUUCUCAAGUCUCACCAAAAGUCAUAAAGAAAGAAUCAAUGGUCCUUCUUUCAAUAUGAUUUGUAGCUAGGAUCCUUCGUCGCAGAUAUGAUUCAAACUCAUGAAACUAUUGUCCUGUACUUCCUAAAUCCCUUCACUUACGAACCAACAAUGAUAUCAGAGCAACACGACUCAAAAACCAACACAUAUGCACUUCUCUAUUUAAAACACAAACCUACCUAUUGUAAUUCAUCUAUAUCACCCUCUCCAUUUAGAGGCUUAUAUUUGAAAGGGUGAAAAUUUACUAACUGAAUCUUACAUAAAAAGUAGUUAACAUGAGUAAAGGCUUCAUCGAUCAGAUCAAGCCAAACUGAUCUUAAAAACGUGUAAAGAUUUGUGCUUAUAUGAAAAUAUCACCUCUUUAUUAGUUUUGUGUACCGAAUGUCAACCACGUAAUCACACCUCCACAAGAAACGACCCCAACCCAAAACGGCAAACCCUACACAAGCUCAAACACUAUAAAUAAGCCAACCGCCAAAAUGAGUCUUUUCAUCUACGCUCCUCCUCCUCCCUCAUCCUCUCUACUACUCCACCGAAUUUGGAGUAAAGGUUUGAUGGACGCUAAACGUGAGUCCUGGAACCACCAAAUAAUUUGGCCCCAAACCUACUGUGCGUAUUCGACAACUCAUGUCACGACUGCACGGCUGGUGCCAAAUCGGUGAUUGCGGAGGACUCCUCCAGGGCAAAGCCUAUGGUUCAUCCCCAAACACCCUAGCCGAGUAUGCCCUAAACCAAUUUGGCAACAUGGACUUUCACUUGUAGAUAUGGAAUUUAGUUCCACGUCUAAUGGGUUCACUAGGGAACUGACUGUUGCACUUCUGGGAAAUGUGCGAAUACAAAUUGGUCUAAGUUUUUUAAGGAUCGGUGUAGGGAUGCUUACCCUAAAGAUGAUCCAACCAGCACUUUUACUUGUUCUGGUGGGACUAAUUACAAGGUUGGUUCCGAGUACACCACGUGGCUGGUGUACUAUCCAAUAGACAUAGGACAUAUGGAAUUAUUCUCCAACUUACCGCGUUGCUUUUUAUGACCUGUGACUGGCUGUAUUGGAAAUAUUCCACAUGUCCUAUAUCUAUUGGAUGGUACACUAGCCACGUGGUGUACCCGGAAUACCAAAAAAUUGUUCCUUAGGAACACACCAAAAAUCUGAGCCAAUCCAACUAACACCCCAUUAGUGUAUCAAAAGUAAUACAUUGAUUUUAGAUGAUUGACUGUGUCAAAUUCAAAAUAUUACAUUAAGUAUUUUAAAUACAUUACACCUAUGCAACUCACUAAAAUGUUAGCAAAGAAAUGUUAAUUAAUGUAUAUGUUGACUGAAAAUAAUUUCUUGAGGUACCUUUCCUUUCUUCUUUAUCUCUCCAUCUCAUCAAAACUCAUGUUCAAUUCAUCAUCUGCCUUCGCAUGGUCUUUGAGUUUGGUCCUUGAGAAUCUCACAUGAGAGAAAAGAGAGCAAACAUGAACCGAGGACAACCUCCCAUAAGAACAUACGCCUUGAAGAAAUUAUGGCAAGUCCUCCUCAGUUCAUAUCCACUCUCCAUCUCUUCAUGCAAGACUAUUAGACAAAUUAAUGGAAUUAUAAUGAUCUACCACUCCAUUUCAUUAAUUUUAUGCAGCCUUGCUAUCCAAUUUAUAUGCAAAUAUUGCAAACGACAUGUUUGCAGUUCUUUUAUUAUUAUUCCAUUAAACAUGUGCUGUAAUAAACCGAAAUAUGAGCUGAGGAUGACUUGCCAGGAUUUGUAGGCAAACAUUGCACACGCCGAUCGAGUUUGCAGUUAGGUUCUUUCACUAUUAUUCCAUUGAAACGUACUCACCACAUAGAAUGCUUUCUUAAGAAUCAAAGAAAUGGACGCAUGGAUAAAAUCAUAGCAACAUUUGUGGGCUUGGCCUUGGGCCCUCGGGUUCUCUUACGAAAUUUAGUAUUGCAAUAUUAUUGGUCCCUUUAAACAUGCAUUCUGUUCUGAAUCUUGUUUUUUAUUUCCUUUUUGGUAAAAGUUCAAGUUCUUUUAUUCCUCAUGUAUACAUAUGUAUUCCUUCAUUUCCUUUUAGAUCAAUCAUGGGUUUCAUUCGGUCUCAAUACCUAAAAAUAAAAACAAAUAAAAGACGAAGAAUAUCAAAUUCAACUAAAUAUUGAAAAUACACGAACUGUGAUUUGUACCACAUCAACUGACAACGUAUUGUAUUAUAUCUCUAAUAGAAAUAAGUAGAGAAAUAAUUAUUUAUUCCAUUAGAGGCAUAAAUCAUCUGUUGCACAGCUGUACCUAAAUCUCCACAACUCGCAUUGUGGAACGUACUUGAAAGAAUUCCUCUUUAUUAAUUCCAGUCAUCCAUCCAGUGGGAUCUGAAGUGGGACCAAAUAAGAUCUUGAGCUGGGCCUGAGUUUGUUCUUUUUCUUUUUUCUUUUCAUUUUAAAGUUUUCGUCAAAGUGAGAAUAAUUAAGCAUCGCCUACUAUCAUCAAUCACCAUCUCUGCCUAUAUACAUGGGCCAAACGCGUCAUAACAAUCCCAAGGCCACCAUACAUCAAACAAUGAAAAUGGAAAACUAUUUAUGAAAAAAUCACAGCAAAGUGUGUGUCGAGAACACAAAAAAUAUGAAAAGAUCAUACAAGUCAUGUUUUUAUACCUUAAAACAAUAACUGAUCAGUUUGCAUGAUAUGCUACAAUAAGAUAAGAUAUUUCAUACUUACUAAUAUGUUAGAGUGACAUAACUUUUAAUGCUUUAUCUUUCUCCGCACAAAUAUUUAAUGAUUUAUAUAAGAUAUUGGGGUGAAUUAAAUACGUUUGGCAAUUGAAACGUCGAAGAUGCCGUAUACAGAGGGAAGCAUCAAUUUGAGGUAUACUUGCCCUCCCCGCCAUAUACAGAGGGAAUACGGAAGAAAAAUGGAGACAGAGAAGGUAGGGUUUAAAACAGAUAUGAAUGAAUAAAGAGACAUAGUAGAGUGGGUGCUUUGCGAGAGAUAAUUGAGGAGGACAUACAAACAAAAUGUGUUUCUUUCAACCUAGUUGGUAGAAAUAAAAACGUGAUUGAGAUGACUCAGUUGCAAGUUGGCUUGAUAAACACGGAAAUAUCUAUUUAAUAACAUUUAAUAAUUUAAACAAACCAACACCAACCCUAAUUCACCCACCUCCACUCAAUUUGAAUUCUCCUAGUCAGAAUGUUUAGUUGGGUAUGUGUUAAAUCCAUUUAAAUGAUGAUUUUUAAUCUUGUUAUAUACAAUAUAAAGUUUCUUUUCUUUUUUUAAAAAAGUGAUUAAUUGUGAAUUAGUUACUCUUACAGUCUAAUCUAUUGAAAUUCAUGUCGUCUAAUGUGUAUCUGAACUGCCGUUAUUGAUAUAAGAUUUUCAUUUUUUAAAGACACCUUACUAAUUCAUAAUUCCUAUUGGCUUAUAUUUUUAUAGGGUUAUAUUUAUAUUUUUAAGAUUAAAUUUCUCGUUUUGUAGAGCAUUUUCAAUAUUCUAGCAAGUUUCCUAGUAUUCAUAGUAGAGAUAGUGAGACAAGAGAAGAGAAGAGAGUAGGAUAGAGGUUAUAUUAUAUAAAUGGUGGGUGAUUAAGUAUUUAAGUUGGAUAAAAAAGAAAAUUAAUUUGGUGAAAUUACCAUGAGGUCCUUAAUCUCAAAGUCCAUUCUUAAAGUUAUUUAAUCUAGAAAGGGUAAUUUUGACAUUAUCAAAAGACUUCCGAAUUUCAAAAAGUUUGAACGCCAACUUACUUUUGAUUGAAGAAUAUUUGUUGUGCAUUUCUAAUUUCUAUAUUGUUAAAUUUCAAAGAGACGGGCCAUUGGCCAACUACUAACAACACCGAUAUUGUCUCCAACUUAACCACCUAUAAAGCCUAAUAAGUGCGGGGUUUUAUCACAAAAGGCCUCAAUGAUAUUAGUAGUGGAACCAUUCAUUAUAUAUUGUAUUUUAUUUAAUCAAGUUUCCGAUGUGACACUUAUUCUUCAACACGCCCUCUCACUUGGGACCAUCACAUAGAAGGCCACACAUGGAACCAAGUCCACAUCGGAGUCAUACAUUCAAGCCCAACAAGUGAGCACCACGUAUUGGGUAAGGGUAAACAUUUAAGCCCAAGAUGUGAACACUACAUAUUGGGUAAGGGUAAAGGCCCAAUUUAGGCCCAGUCAAUCAACCCGCUCUGAUACCAUGUUAAAUUUCAGAGAGACGGGCCAGCGGCCCACUACUAACAACACCAAUAUUGUCCUUAAUUUAACCACCUACAAAGCCCAGUAUGUGUGAGGUUUUAUCACAAAAAGCCUCGGUGAUAUUAGUAGUGGAACCAUUCAUUAUAUAUUUUAUUUUAUUUAAUCACGUUUCCGACGUGGAACUCAUUAUUCAACAUAUAUAAUUGACAAUCUGGUAAAAGGGUCAUGAAUUGUAAACCAAUGGUCUAGCUUGGUGGAAAAAGGGUCUAACCAAAUGAAAAAGGAUCUUAACUUGUAGACCAGUGGUCUCAUGUUCGAAUCCUUAUGACACUUUGGUAUUGUAUGUGUGUACGUGAGAGAGAGACCCCUCCUCACGUAAUUUAGACUAUAUUACUUAUAUUUAAUCAUGUAAAAAUAAAUAAGAAUAAUUAAGCAAGUUAAUUUUCAUGAGGCCCAGAAUUAUAGACAAUUAUUGACAGGACCCGAUCCAAAUUUCGCUUUGGAAUCCGAACCAGACCCUGUGCGUGUCCGACACCUGGCGAAUGUCGGGCACAAAUGACCUAUUUGCCCUUCUAUACAAAACACGAUAAAAAUAACAAGGUUGACUUCUACCGAAAAACCGGCAGAGUUUCCCUUGUAACUGGCUCAAUACCAAAAUAUUUUUACCUGCCAAACAAGUAUAUAUAUAUAUACAACCAAUUGCCAGCAUACGUAUAUAUACAUUCCAACAGUUCAAGUGUCAAUCUAGGGCAAAACAUCAGAGCGACUACUAAGAAAUUACAAAGGAGUGAAUCUUUGUACAAAAUACAAAUCCUACAUCAGAAGAAAGGCGCGGAAGAUAGAAAGUGGUCCGGUGGUGGAUUCCUGUGCACGUCUAUUGCCCGGGGGCGCAAAACAACAAAAAUGGUGAGUGGACCCAAAAACAAAGUUUAGAAAAUACCAUAUGAACAUACUAACCCCACUGUAAAAACAGUUAUAGCUUAUUUUCUUUACUUAUGAAAUCAAUGCAUGUAUAUAACUAUACAUUUGAAAACAGUUGAAAACUAUCACUUAGGUGUACCCCUAUUUCCGUCAAAUCCUUAUAUCCGUCAAUUCCUUGCAUCACCAUGGGUGACACAUAAUCACAGGUCUCAGUGACACGAGGUCAGUUUGAGCUGCAACUCGCAGGAUUUAGGGAACCGUAGUCCACCUUUAUCCGCAUUACUCGCUCCACAUGAGUUUGAGUACCAAGGAACUCGUGGGGCAACUGCCAAGCAUGCUGACUAAACCGAAGGCAACAAAUAUAAUCCGAAGGCAACAUAUAUAAUCCGAAGGCAACAUUUAAUAUCUGGGUACAAGGUGAUUUAAGAAAAUAUAAAGUUUCUGAAGGAAAUAUGUUGAAUAUUUAACUUUCUGUAACCUUUAAAAUUCUGCUGCCAUUUAUCUAAUAAUUAACGAGAAUAUCUUUUCCUAUAUUCUUUAAAGGAAAUUUCACUCGGCAGCAUGCAACAUAAAAUAUUUAACAGAAUAAAACAGCUGAUACUGAAACUGAACUGCUUAAAUUCAUUUAUUAAAACAAAGAGUCCACUCACAGAUAGUCUGAGCUCGCUGGACCUCUUGAAGGUCCCUCCUGCGGUUCAACUGGUGCCCGGGUGCCUGAUUCAAUGACCAGAAUAUUCUAUUAAUACAAUAUAGUAUCAAAGUAAAAACCCUACCCCCGGCUCUUAAAAGUACGUGCAUCGAUUUAAAGUGAUCCCUAUGCCCAUAAAAGCUUUCCUUCCAUGUGGGGUUGUUUAGCGGUAUCUUGGGACUCAAAUAGCGCUAAAGUCCAAAAAGUCAAUCCGGAACCUAACGGGUCCAUGACCUCGCAAUAUGAUCCGGAUGUCGCUAGAAGGUCCAAUAUAUUUAGGACACCUGUCCCGAGGGUAUUGGUGUAAAUCGGACGGUCGGAUCGAUCACAAUCCUGUAAUCGCAUAAUUUCUAAACUCUAGCCCUAGGGUUCGCGUUUUCAGAGUAUUCGGGACUCCGAUUCACGAUCCGUCGAAUCCUACACGUGUCUGAAAUUAGCGAGAGUAACAUAUCUAAAAUUGAUUACGAUCCAACGGCUCAACAGUAUUGAACCCGAUAAUCGCACAAUAUGGAAAAUCCGUUCGAGGCUCAAACGAUAUCCAAAUUGAGAUAUGCGAAUUUCUAUGCGCUCGUGACGACCUAAGGAUCGCAUCAGAAUACAGUGUCACGGCACCACCCUCGCCCACGCGCCGCCGCACGCGCGGGCAGCGAUGGGUGUCCAAAGCGAUAACGCAUCGCCGAAAAAUCGCAAAACCAAGGCUCCAAACUCCUAUCCUAGGUAUAACACCAUAUUUGGAACCACUUUUGUUCUUGGGCCAACCCCAAAAACUGACCGGAAGUGGCCGAACACAGAGGCCGAAAGUCGGCCGAAUACCAAUUUGAAAACUGAGCUAGCUACGGUGAAAAUCAAUGCAAACCUACCCAACCAUCAGCUAGAGCAUGGAAAAUAGGUAGAAAUCCAUACCUUAAUCGACAAAUUUGGAGGAGAAUUGAAGGAGAACGAACUGGUUGAAGUUUUGACAAAACCGGCGGAAUUUCUGCCGUUUUUGGCGACUGGCGAGCGGCUUGCGGCGGGAGUGAGCUGCGACCUGACGGCAGGGUCUGGCCGGUCAGGUUGGUACCGGUGUUGGGGCUUGUGGUGGCCGGUAGUGGUGGUUCUGAAAUCUGGAGGGCGUCGGACGGAAGAAAAACCAGAGAAGGAGGAGGACUCGCGGGGAGAGAGAAAGAGAGAGAGAGAAAGCUGAGGUUUUUAUAAAAAAUCUGAUUUUCCUAAUUAGCAUUUUGCCCCUCGUGAUAUUUUACUCGUAUUUUCUUCGUUAAAGCUCCGAUUCGAGCUCACUUCGUGUCUAUGAACUCGUGUCGUCGUGCUCUACGCAACGGUGUAUGUGGAAUUAUCAAAUUCCUUUUCGGUCAAAAAGUCAACUUUUUGUUCAUAAUUUAUUCCAAGGGCAAAAUUGUCUUUCCGCAUAAUAAAUUACUAAUUAAAUAUGAAUUUUAGGUUUGGGUCAUUACAAUUAUUGUCUUUUUUAAUGGGGUAUUGAAUAGGCUGGUUGCAAUAGAAAUAGGCAUGCAUGCAUAAAGGGCUUGGGAGAGAAUUUUUAAUGUUUUUUAAAGUGCCAUUAAAACCUUCAUCAACAUAAAAGAUGCGCUUGAAACAGUCUUAUUAACCUAGAUUCGACUAAAUUCGAGGGAACUAGUCCCUGAAUCUAGUAGGCUAUUUUUUAUUGUGUUUUGGCUAACCAUAAAUGCGUGAGUAGUGUUGCGUGUAGUUUUGGCGUUUUGAUGUGUUUUAAAGUGGUUUCCUAUGAUAGGAUCCGCCCUGAAUUCUUCGGAACUCAAGACGAAAUUCUGUGAAAAAAUUCCGACAUCACCCCGGUGCCGAGCCCACUUACUAAUACUAGAGCCCCUUUCUUAUUUAUUUUAUUUUAUUUUAUUUUAUUUAUUUAUUUAUUAAGGAAAGGGGCACGAGACUUUCUGCCGAAAUUUCGUCAGAGUCUCCCCUGUAAAUUAGACUUUACCAAAUUUUCCAACAUUUUAAACAGACACAGUUUAUUCACAACUGGCAGCAUGCAUCAGAUAAAUCAUACAAUUUACAUAUAGGGCUCCGGCCUUCAAAUUAUUCGAAGCCGAACCACCAUCAAUGCUCUUAAAUCAAAUAAUGAAAUUAAACAAUGCAAUUAGUGAAUUCAAACUAAUUAUGCAUGCUAACUGUAAUCCACUUAAUAUAACUUCUCGAUUUCCAUCAUGUGAUAUUUGACAACCAACCACAAUCGCAAGUAGAUUAAGGACUCGGUCUAAAUCGUACAACGAUCCAAAAUAGGUUCCAAAACUAUCUUGACCACAACCACAUUUCAACAACACUCACUUAGCCAAAUGGGAAAACGAAAAAUCAAUCAAUCAAGCCUCGUUUUCAAACGAGUUUAAUGACCAUCGACAAAGUCGAAACCAAAUUCAUCCAAAGACCAAAAUAACUUUAGUUCGCGGCUGCACCCGGGUGGGACCCCAGGCUACUUACGUACCCUUACUGAGGGAUCAAGCCACACAUAGUUCUUACAUCCAUAAUCACGAACCAGAUGAUAUACAACCAUUUUCAAUAGUACAAAUAAGUUAUUUCUUGAAUUAUCUUUCCCUUUUACUUUAAAUCACAACACACCAAACAUAAUUCUUUUUAAACAUUAAUCUAUCCUCGACAUAGUAAAAUAAUCCAUUUUUCCUCUCUUUGUUACUUUACUAUACACCGGAGAGUCCAACGCCACACGUAGUAAAGUACGAUAAUCCAAGUGUACGGAUCUUUUACCAAACACCAGAUAAUCCAACGCCAUGUGUGGUAAGGUAACCAUCAUCCCAAUGAGCACAUACGCCGGAAUAUCCAACGUCACGUGUGGCCCAACUAAACCAUAUAUGCCCACACGCCGGAAUCAUCCAACGCCACGUGUGGGUACAACCCAAACCAUGUUCUAUGCGCGCAGACAACUUCAUCACACCUCGGAUCAUUCCAACGCCACGUGUGAUAAUCCAUAACAAAUCAUAAUGUCUCACAUGCCGGAAUAUACCAAUGCCACAUGUGAGAUCCAAUAAUCAUAUAUUUUCCCACAUGCCGAAAUUUCUAACGCCACGUAUGGGAAAUCCAGUAUCUGAGGGAUGGUACUUAACAUAGUGUAACUAUAUAAUUUCCAAAAUAAUCAACAUUAUUUAUUAACUUAAUUCACCAUAAUUCAUCCAAACCUCAUCACAAAUAAUUUGAAUAACUCAACAUAAACUCAUCACCAAAGCAAAUCAAGCUCUCAAAUCUCGAGAUAAACCAAUUCACAAUUAAAUAAUACUAAUACAAAUAUAUUUCAAUUUCUCAAAUUUUCAUUCAAACUAUAUUUCAUGCAUAUUCAUUUAAUUAUUGAAAAUAAUGCACGUUUUAAAACAAAAUCCACUUAAUUACGAAUAAUCAUAGCCGAGCCCAAGACUCACUUUCACAACCCACCAAUCCGAUAUUCCAAACUCACCCAUUCCAUAACUUCAGUUGUCAAUAACAAAAUCCAAGAAUUUCUAUAAGAUACUAUAAAACAAACUCCUAAUCCCAACAUAAUUAGGACAACUCCAAUAACGGUCAAGACUCGCUUGCAUGGUCGUUCUAGUACUUCUCAAAGGAUAAAACUACCUCGGAAGACUCACGGUCAACCGAGUGGUCUAACUACCCAAACUUGGUCAAUCGGGCCCACGGGGUCCACGAUCUCCGAUUUCUGAUCUGAAAGUUCCUACGGAUUCCACAAGGUUCAGGAUACACGUUCUGUAAGUUUGGUCCGGAUCGGACGGUUGGAUCGCUCAUGAUCGCACAAUCGGAUGGUUAUCGUAAGACGCAAAUUUUAAGUUAUUGAAUUGGAACAUUCGGGGCUUUGAUUCACAAUCUGCGAAUUCCUACACGAUCCUAGAGAUGCCUAGAUCAACAUAUAUUGAAAUGGAGUCGAUCCAACGGUUUGAGCAUAUCAAAUCUAGAUAAUGCCUAAUAUGUGAUAUCCGAUCGAUGAUUAAAUGAUAACUAGAUUUAUAUCCGAGCAUACCGACGUGGUCGGGAUGAUAUGAGAAUUAUUUUAGGACUCAAGGACUGGUCAAAAAGUGGCCCACACGCCGCUACACAAGCCGGCAGCGUGUGGCUGUCCAAAGCGAUUCUUGAGAUUGGAAAAUCUCUAAACCGCCGGUCAAGACUUAUACCUACACGAUCAGCACAUAGAGUGGAGCAAUUUUUGUUUGGACCUACCCUAAAAAGUCAACAGAAGUGGCCGAAAUCGGCCAAACUUCCAUAGCUUAUUUAACCACCAAAAUGCAGAAAUUGAUCCUAAACAACACAACUAACAGCUAGAACACAUUAAAAGGGUGAGAAAACAUACCUAGAUCGCAAGAUUUGGUAGCCGGAAUCGCCAGAACGAGCUCCGAAAAAUUUGGGUAAAAAUCGGCUUUGUUUAUGCAAUUUCCAGCGAUCGUGGUGGCUGUCGGCUUCGGGAAUGGAAGGAGGAGGAGCUGGCGGUGCUUUUGGGGUUGGUGCCACCCCAAGCGAUGGCUGGAGGAAGCGGUGGCGACAGUAAAACCGUUGCCGUUGUGUGUACGCAGGGGAGGGUAUCACACGGGAGAGAAAAGAGAGAGAGAGAGAGAGAAAUGAGGGUUUUUUCUGAAUUUAAUUAAACCCUUUUUGAAAUAAUUACGAUUAUGCCACUAAAGGUAUUUUGAUCGUAACUUUUUCGUUACAAAUCUGAUUCGAGCCUACUACGCAUCUACAAACUCAUCUCGGUACGAUCUACAUAAUAAUACCACUAGCUACCCCAAAAUUCUUCUAGAUUAAAAAGUGACCAAAAUACCCCUACUUUGAAAGCAAAAUUGUAAAUUCAUAUUAAAUUAAAUUAAAUUAAUUAAUGAAUAGUCUUAUUUUGGGUCAGGAUGUUACAUCCUAUUAUUUUGGAAUUUUAUAGCCUAAUUUAAUAGGGUUUUAGUUUUCUAUUCCUAGUAAACUUGUAACCCAAGUCUUAUGAGAUAUAAAUAGGACUUUUAGGGUUGAUUUAAAUUAGCUGACCAAAAGAGUGGUAGGGGAAUUUAGAAGAGAGAGAGACACAAGAAAAUUGAAGAGGGAAUUGUAGGGUGUUUACAAGGGCAUUAAAUGGUUUGAGCAAGGGUGAGAGAAAAGAUAGUUAGGGUUCUUGUGAGAGCUAAGAGGGUUCAAGAUUGUAACCAAAGUUGUUCUUACAUACUAGUGAAUUUCUAAGGCAGAUCACCAAGAUGAUGUAGGCACGAGGCCUAACCUCUAUAAAUCUUUUUGUUCUUGUGCGUUUUCUUACUCACUUCGUGGUGUGUGUGUUUUAUUCUCAAAGGGGUUUGUGAGUGUGACGUCGCAUAAUUCAUCAACGAUAAGGUCUUGGAAUGUUUUCACACAACAAGUGGUAUGAGAGUCGCAGUUGCGGUGAGUAUUGAUUUAUGCCCAAGAGCUCUUACAGUUUUAAGGGUGACGGUAUGUUGACGAUGGCAUACGACAAUAAGACACCACAACCGGUGGCCAGUGUAAAGGUCGAGUUGAAACACUUCACCGGCAAGGAGAACUUUACACUUUGGCAAAUGAGAAUGAAGUACAUCCUUAAUGAGCAUGUUCUCAGUGUUGUCUUAGCAGGCAAGGAAAAGAGCCGAAAACCUUGACUGAUGCGUAGUGGGAAGACCUAGUUUAGCUUGCUAAGAGGUUCAUCAAAUAACAUCUCAUGGAUGACGUGUUGUGUAAUGUGAUAGAGGAAAUCACGAAGCAAACAUGGGAAAAGUUAAGAGAGAUGUUUACGUCGAAAUCAUUGUCUAACAAGCAUUUCUUGAAGGAUGAGGUUCUUACUCUUCGUGUGAAGGAUGACAGAAACAUGAUGAAGCAUCUGAGUACCUUUAACAUGUGUAUUGCAAACUUUCAAUGGAUUUAUGAGGUUUAUAAGUUAGAAGAUAAGGUCGUGUUGUUAUUGACAUCCUUGCCUUCGUCUUAUAAGCACUUUCGAAUGACGCUUAUAUUCGGCCAGGGAACUUUGAAGUUUGAAGAGGUGGUGCAAGACUUGAAGUACCACCGGAUGGUUCAAUGUUCCAAAGGAGGCUCUCAAAGUGAAGGUCUUGGGGUGAGGAUUGGAGGGUGGGACCAUUCAAGCAAGCACGAGGGCAAGACAAGCAAUGGUAGGAAUUCUAGAUUUGAGUAUAAUGAAGAUUGCUUCAAGUGUAGGUCUAAGGAGCAUUGGAAGUGGAAUUGUCUGAUAUGGAAGGAAAAGCGGAAUAAGAUGAAGGAUACCGAAGGUUGAGGUGCAGCAAACUUGUCAACUGGUGACAGCGAUGACGAACUUUUGAUGGUUACGGAUGAGGAGCAUAAUGUGGACGUCGUCACAAACUCUUCGAGGAAAAGGUCUACUUCAGUUUGAAUUUUAGAUUUCGAAAGCUCAUUUUCAUGUGUGUUCAAAUAAGAUGAAGUUUGACACAUAUGAGGAAAUGAAGGGUAGCAAGAUUUUGUUAGGAGGAAAAAUAAGUUGUGAUGUUUUGGGCAUGAGAACAAUGAAGAUCAAAAUGCACGAUAGUAUUGUUAGGAGCAUUAGUAAGGUAAGGCAUGUAUCAGCACUAAGAAAGAAUCUUAUUUCUCUUGGCGCUCUAGAUAGAGGAAGGUAUUCGUACAAGCCCAAAGAAGAGAAACUUUUAGUCACAUAAAGUUUGGUGAUGAUUAUAAGGGGGAAGAUUCAGCCUAAUAAUGUUUAUCAGCUUUUGGGGGUACAAUUAUAGGUGGAGGAGAGAAUUCUACCAAGGAAGACUACAAGAUGGAGUCGGGUGUGGUUUGUACCAAGGAAAAGCGGGCAAAGGAUCUCAUUAUCAAUAAGCCGGUGCAACGAAAUGAGGCUACAAGUUCGCUCAAGACAAGGGAUGUUAGUCAAGGUUGAUUUAUAAAUAAUUUAUCAUCAAGGGUGCUUGAUUUCAAAGAUGUUGAAAUGACGGAGUCGGAGGACAAGGUCCAUAAGAGGGAAGUCAAGACAAGUGAUGAUGGGAAAACAUUGUUGGGUUGAUGGCAAUAAAAAAGGCACUUCUUACCAAGGUGGUCAUGGAAGGAACUCCAAGAUGGGUGGAGCUUGACAUAAGGGUUGUAAAAGAUGGGCAUCAAUAACAAACUCACAAAGGGGUUCUACUUGAGGUAGAGCCUUCAUCACAAGCAAGGUCCGAGCUAAAAGAAUCCAUCAAACUGUCCCAAAGGUUUGGAUGGAAGGACAAUAUAGAUUCAACUACGUUUCAGAGUGCAUUUGGGAGCAUGAAGCGGAAGGUUGGAUGGGUGCUUUGAUGAAAAUGAAGGAAUUAGUUCAUAAGUCCAAGAGCAAAGUUAGUGAUUGUGUGGGGGUUGGCAUGCAGUUUGCGUAUCAAGGCAUGUCAAGAAUUCAAGAUUCUAAGAAGGCGAUGAGUAAGGAGUUCAGCAUGGGGGAUCUUUCUUCUACACAAGAGGUCCGGGUUGCCCAAGUUUAGCUUGGGUGGAGCACCUCCUCACCCAUCUAAGGUGCAUUGAGGUUUCUUGCCAUGGUAGAGCUCUUGGGAAUUACUAGAAUGAUUUCCAAGAGGUUCAAGAUGUUCUAGGGGUCAACAAUAGGACUUUUGGGGCUAGGUUAAACUAGCCGAGCUAAAGAGAGGUUGGGGAAUUUAGAAGAGAGAGAAACAAGGGAAUUGAAGAGGGAAUUCUAAGGUGUUUACAAGGGCAUUUGAAGGUUUGAGUGAGGGUGAGAGAAAAGAGAGCUAGAGUUCUUGUGAAAGCUAAGGGGGUUCAAGAUUGUAACCAAAGUUAUUCUUACACACUAGUGAAUUUCUCAGGUGGAUCACCAAGAUGACGUAGGCACGAGGCUGAACCUCUAUAAAUCUUUGUGUUCUUGUGUGUUUGCUUACUAUGUUCGUAGUGUGUAUGCUUUAUUCUUGAAGGGGUUAUGCGUGUGUCAUCGCAUAGUCCAUUAACGACAAGGUCUUGGAGUGCUUUCGUACAACAGUUUUGUCUUUUAUGUCAUUGGACUAGAUUCAGGGAAAUUAUGACUGUAGAAAGAGAUUAUAUAAAAUUAUUUUCGAGAGUGAUUCUCUCCAUAUCGUUUUAGCUUUUUGGCUGGCUCAAGUCAGUGGGUAAAUUUUUACACAUGUAUGUCAUAUUGCUAUUGGGAUGACUCCCUUUACUGUGUCCUUUAUACCUAGUUUAAAUAAAGGGGUGCCUAUGCACCUAGGUUCAAUUUACAUAGGAAACAAUCUUGAGACAAACCCAAUAUAAUACCCCCCUUAGCGAAUGACAAGAAUAAAAAUAAAGAGGCACCCAUGCUCUCUCUACACAGAGAUAGGGGAUGACUAAGGGGAGAGACGAUUGGUGGGUUUGGGGAGAUUUUAUUAUUAUUUUUGUUUUAAAAUUAUAAUUUUUAUCUUGCUAAAUGAAUUACAUGUUAUAAACAGGUCUUUAGUAUUACUAAAUGAAGUACAUGUUAUAACACAAGAUACUAAAAUAAUACAUGUUAUAGUAUAGAUGGAAUGAUAAAUCUGCCACACCGAAAAAUUCUAAUUUUCUUCUAAGAGAAUUUAUAAAGAGAAAAGUGUUUGAUGAAAUACAACAGACCUAAAAGAAAAGGCUAGGCAACAAUAGUGAAGAGGAUUUCAUUUGUAAGGGGGUCUCUCACAAUAUAUAUAUAUAUAUGUAUAAAUUUGAACUCACAACAUGACUAAGUGGACAAAAACAUCAUGCGUAAGUCAAAAUAUUUACAACUUUUUUCCUUUGCUAAUUUACACAUAAAUUUUUUUGAAGACCCAUUAAACUCAAUAGAAGAAACCAAAAUCUCACAAACCCAAACUAACCAUAUGUUGAGAAACACAAUACAAAGUUUCACAAACCCAAAAAACAAUAUAAAAAAGUAGAGAAAGUUUAACGAACCUUAAUUAAGUGAGUUAAUUAUAUUGAAAAAACUUGAUAACAUAUAAUAUGAAGAAUAAGAAAAUAAACAAAAGUCACGAACAUAGUUGUAAGAGAAAGGAGGAGGAAAGAGUUUUAGAUUUUAAGGAUUUGUGUUACAAAAAUUAUUAUAAUAUAAUAAUUAUAGAUUAAAAAAGAGGUAAACAUGAAAAUGAAAUUGUUAAAGGUGUUGUAAAAUAUAUUAAUAUAUUAAUAUAUAUAUAUGUAUUAUCUAUCUAUAUAUAUAAAGCAAAAGGCAGAGAAUGGUGAAACAUUCAAAAUACCAGAAAAUGCCCUUUGUUAAUUCAAACAUUAAGAAUUGAAAUUAUUAAUUAAAUGAGGAUAAUAUAGUAAAUUUAUAUUUUUUAAUAUUAAAAAAAUUAAAAUUAAAAACAAAAUAAGAUAAUAGGUCCUACUUUGAUGGAACAUAACUACCAUGUUAUCUUUUAUUAAUUCUAAAAAUAAAAUAAAAAAGAAAAAGAAAACCAAUUGGCACAUGCGUGAGCAUGUGUCAAGAGGCUAGUAUAUUAUUAUUAAAAAAAAAGUGUUGGGGGGUCUGGGACCUUACUGGUCCCUUAGUGGCCAUUUGAUUAAAUUUGCGCAAGUACAAUAAGAGCUAGAAUUUCUCUUAUCUUUAUUGAGACUUUUGUUGAUGUUGAUCAGUGGUUAUCUACAAUAACUAAUAAUUAUAGUGGAGAGGACAUUGUGGUUGUGGGCAAUGGAUGGGGUCCGAAAUUAUAAAUGCACUAUAAAGUUUCCAACACAAAAAACCAACACCAUUGGCCUUUUCCCUUUCUCCAACGGCAUUACUAAACUUGGUUAUAGACCUAUAGCAAACUAAUGAUGAUGGAGUAGAAUUGUAUGGAAUAUCCUCCUUCAAAAAUAUAGAAAAGUUUUAUCUCUUUGAGAUGCCGUAUAUGGACUGGUGCAAGGCUAAUGGUGAGAAGUUUCUUGGCUCUUUAUUGAGACUUGCUAUUGCUAGUUGGAUAAUUCCCAUCGAUACUGCCUGCUUAGUGCUCCUUAAUUUAGUCAGGUCAAUUAAUUAACAACUGGCCUAACCCUUAAUUAUGUGGUGGAAAGAGUAGGUAGAUAGAGCUGUACGUUCAUAGCCAGCCCAACCCAAGUAUACUCCAACUCUAAAACUAAGCUCACCAAACUAAUUAAGGGAGCGAGUGGAUCCUAAAGCUGGCUGACUAACUUCAUCAACUUGUACAAGUCGAAGUAAACCACACCAUGUCGAAACUUGGUCAAUUUUCACCUUUUUUCUUUUUCUAAAUCAAUUGUGACAUUUAAAGAAGAUUUAAACUCAGAAAAUCUAACUUGUCUUUGGUUGGGGUUUUUUUUUUUUUUUUUUGAGACAUGCGAUAUUCAAGGAGAUGAAAUCAAACCUAAGAUCUCGAUGCAAGGGUAAUACAUUUAACUACUUAAGCUACAAACCCUUUGCACCUCUUCUUUGGUAGUUGAUGAAUAGCUAUGUAUAUUUUCCGUUUAUUAAUAAAGAGAAAUUCAAAUUAAGAAUAUGUUAUAAUAUUGUAUUUAAUGGUGUUUUUCGUUACACAAUUUUUGCUUAAUCACAUUUUGUCUCAUAACUGACUUAAUUUGUAAAAUAAAAUUACAUGUGAGACAUUACCUACUCCCCGUGGACAAAGUCUCUCAUCACUUUUUCUGAUCUCGUGAUAAAACGAAGAAGAAGAAAUAUUGGUCCUAUUUCCAUGCGUGGAACAAUGAGCUAAGAAAGUGACGUCCUUUUCAUAUUUAUAAUAUGUCAUAUAUGUCGCCAUGCCCUGCUCUAUAUAAGCUUAAGAGACCUUAACAACAAAUGCAUAAAAAAAACAAAUUGCAUUAUGAGAAUCCUCAAGAACCUCCCAGCCUUCUGCAUCCUAUGUGCCACUCUCUUCUUUGCAUCAACCAAUGCAGCUAGAUUCGAUAUCCGAAACAACUGCCCCUUCACAGUCUGGGCAGCAGCCGUGCCAGGCGGUGGACGCCAACUUAAUAGAGGCCAAAGUUGGGCCCUAGAUGUGCGUGCCGGAACCCAAGGGGCUCGCAUUUGGGCCCGAACUGGAUGCAGCUUUGAUGGAGCCGGACGUGGGAGAUGUCAAACAGGUGAUUGUGGGGGUGUCCUCCAAUGCCAAGCCUAUGGCCAACCCCCAAACACCCUAGCUGAGUAUGCCCUUAACCAGUACAACAACUUGGAUUUCUUUGACAUUUCCCUUGUUGAUGGCUUCAACGUCCCUAUGGACUUUAGCCCCACGUCUAAUGGGUGCACCAAGGGCAUCAGAUGUACCGCUGAUAUUAAUGGGCAGUGUCCUAACCAACUGAGGGCUCAAGGAGGCUGCAACAACCCUUGCACUGUGUUCAGGACUGAUAAAUAUUGCUGCAAUUCUGGGAGCUGUGGCCCAACAGACUUGUCUAGGUUUUUUAAGGAUCGGUGCCCGAGUGCUUAUAGCUACCCGAAGGAUGAUCCAACGAGCACAUUUACAUGCCCUGGCGGGACCAACUAUAGGGUUGUGUUCUGCCCAUGAAGCAGAUACAUCUUCUAGGUUUAUAAUAUCUAUGAAUAAGUCUGUGAUCAAAUAAAAUUAUGGUCUGAGCUGAGGGCUUGUACUCUCACACUUGAGUACAGUCAUAUCAUAAUUAACAUCAAAGAUGAAUGUAUCCUGCUUUGGAUUCAGAAUAUUUUUCUUAAUACUUGUCGAUUUUGCUUCAUUGGUUAUUGCUUUUUCUAUCACCGAAAGGUAUAUCUUCAGUGGCCAUUCCUGGAAAAUGGAUUCAUGGUCUCUCUAGGGAAGCUUCUCUUAUUUUCUUUAGUUUAUUUUUCAGAUUGUUUUUAGAGUGUCUGGUUCUAUCUAUUUUGGAACCCAAAUUGUCCCUUUAACUGUUUGGGCAGCAAAGUUUUGCAAACCUUCGAGUAUAAUAUUCCACUAAUUGUAGUAUUUAUUUUUACUUUGAUUGAAGGCGAAUGCCUGAUUUUGAGAAUUUCUUUUAUGCUCUUUGAGACUUGUAUAGCUAACCUCGUCACUGCUGGCUCCGCUCGGUGCUCUCUUAGUCAAGUCAAUACGUUACAAAGUUGUAUUUUUUACUUUGGCGCAUUAACCCAAAAGGAAAUCUAAACACAAACAUGUAUACGACUCUUAGGAAUAUUAGGAAAGGGGUAAUCAAGCACUUGACUUAGGAUAUAUGCAUAACUGCGCUUAACCAUUUGAGCUACAAACUCUUAUUAACGAUUAUCUAAGACUACUAAUAACAAUAUUCUCUUUCAUAUUAGGAAAAUGAUGAUUUUGGUCUCUCUACUUUGAAUGUGAUUUUCUACUGAGUCUCAUAAUUAAUUAUAAAAAAAAUUCAACAAUGGAACUCUAUUGAAUAAUGUUUCCUCGUUUAUAUCAUUUAUUUUAUUGUGUAUUUUUUAUGCAUCACGUGACAUAAUAUCGUGUAGCAAAUACAUCAAAAUUAUACAGCAUGUGCUAUUAUCAACAUCUAAACCCUAAACAUUUUGAGUAGUACAUGUAUUAGAUACACCAUAUAAGCAUGUCCCAUGUAUAAAGAAUACACUAUAUUUCCUUUUUCAUUUUUGUCAUUCCAAUUAAAAUCUAUAUAGAUUAAAUUUAUGGGACACCAUCAACAGGUUUGCCUACAGAGGGUUCUUCCGGCUACAUGUAUAUGGCCUUGCUCUUAAUCCUGCCACGAUUGAACUCCUUUUUAUGUAACUUGAUUGCAUGCCAUUUGUCAGAUUCGAAAGCACAUUUUAGAAAAUUUGUAUACUGAAUUCUGCAACAAAGUAUUGUUUCUUAGUGUCAUCACAUGUUUUCCGUGAGAAACCUAAUAAUGAUAACAUAUAAGGCCUGAAACAUAACGUGAAGGAUGAUUUUGUUGCCAAAUUCAGGUGGCUUUGUUUGCUGUGAUCAUCGAGGACGUGGCUUCAUCGAUCAUGUCAAGCCAAACUAAUCUUAUAAACGUGUAAAUGUUUGUGCUCAUAUGAACAUCAUCUCUGUAAUAUUUUGUACCAAUGUCAACCACGUCAUCACACCUCCCCGAGAAACCACCCCAACCCAAAACGGCAAACCUCUUUAUAUAAAACCCUACACAAGCUCAAACACUACAUAACCCAAUCACCAAAAUGAGUCUUUUCAUCAAACACUACUUACCCAUCACUUUCUUCCUCGCCAUCCCUCUCUACUCCAUCUUGUCCCAUGCAGCCAGUUUCAACAUCCGAAACAACUGCCCCUACACUGUCUGGGCAGCAGCUGUGCCAGGCGGUGGCAGACAGCUCAACCGAGGCCAAACAUGGACGCUAAAUGUGAAGCCUGGAACUAAAAUGGCUCGAAUUUGGGCCCGAACCAAUUGUGCCUUCGACAACUCAGGUCGUGGCCGGUGCCAAACCGGCGACUGCGGAGGAUUCCUCCAAUGCCAAGCCUAUGGUUCACCCCCAAACACCCUAGCCGAGUAUGCCCUAAACCAAUUUGGAAACAAGGACUUUUUCGACAUUUCACUUGUAGACGGGUUCAAUGUUCCAAUGGAAUUUAGUCCCACGUCUAAUGGGUGCACCAGGGGGAUCAAAUGUGCUCAAGAUAUCAAAACGCAGUGCCCUAAUGAGUUGAAGGCCCCAGGUGGCUGCCACAACCCUUGCACUGUGUACAAAACUGACAAGUAUUGUUGCAAUUCGGGGAGAUGUGGGUCUACAAAUUUAUCCAAGUUUUUUAAGGAUCGGUGUAGGGAUGCUUAUAGUUACCCUAAAGAUGAUCUAACUAGCACUUUUACUUGUCCUGGUGGGACUAAUUACAAGGUUGUGUUCUGUCCUUGAAUCACGUUGUUUCUCCAAGUUAUGUUGUGUGGCGUUUGUAAGAUGUGUACUAAUAUGAAUCCUUAAUAAAUUGUGGCCACGACAAGAGUUUGAUUUUCAUAUCUCCUGUCUUCAAAUUUACAGAUUUAAUUGCGUGGUUGGAACAUUAAUUUUUUUUUUUUUUUGAAUUAUACAUAUGCAACACACUAAAAUGAGUAUAAAAAACUGUUAAUCAAUAUAUGCUGUCAGAAAAUAAUUCAGUUCUGGUGGUACCUUUUUAUUUUAUCUCUUUCAAUCUCAUCAAAGCUUAUGUUGAAUUCAUCAUCAGCCGUUGCAUGAUCCUUCAAAAUUUCACAUUAGAGAAAAGAGAGCAAACGAGAAUCGAGGACAACCUCCCAGAAAAAGGACAUACACCUUGAAAUUCUGGCAAGUCAUCGUCGGCUCAUUUCUACUCUCCACCUCUUCAUGCAAGACUCUUAGACAAAUGGAAUUAUUAAUGAUCUACCACUCCAUUUUAGGUUCUUUCACUAUUAUUCCAUUCAAACGUGUGACAUAAUUAGUAUAUUAUGGACCCAAGAAGAAUUAAGCAAAUGGGAUGCAUGGAUAAAAUCUUCACGACAUUUUGGGGUUGGUCUGGGGUUCAAAUCGAUCUCUAUCUUUUCUAGUUUAAUUCCGUCUUGUAGCUUUUUCGAGAAGCAAUCAUUUCGACCAUAUCCUUUUGGUCCAUCAACCAUAUAUAUAUGUUCAUUGGAUCCAACUUUGACAUUCAAUUUGCGCUUUAUUCUGUGCAAUCUUAUCAUUUUAUAUGCUCAAAACAUGCGUCGCAACAAUUUCUAUUUUUUAUAUUUUAUAAAAGCAACUUUUUUCCCGGUCUAGUUAAUAAUGCAAUAUUCUUGGUCCCUCUCCACAUGCAUUCGUUUGUGAAUCUAGUUUUUAUUUCCUUUAUAGUAAAAGUUCAUCUUCGUUUUUUACCCCUCAUUUUUCCUUUUAGAGAAUCAUAUAGGUUUCAUUUUCAGUCUCGACCAAAUGGGUAGACGUAGACUGCUACACUAAAAAAAGGAGAAAAUACAAAAACAUAAAAGAAAAUUGAAUCCAACUGAUUACUGAAAAGUUAAUACUUUUAAAGUUCUUUUUUUAAAAGUUACGGUCAAUGAUCGCUGUUUUUUCAAAGCAAGGAUAACCCAGCUUUUAAAAGCUGUUUUAAAAAAAUUGGUUUUAUUUAUUUAUUUAUAAUCACAAAUGAUAUACCUAUAUUUUAUUUAAAUAAAUAUUUAAAUUUAUAUUUUUCAUAAGUACAUUAUUGGAUAUGUAAUUUACACACACACAUAUAUAUAUAUAUAUUUUUCUGGUUUCCAAUUUGAGGGGCGAUAUGUUAGAGGGAAUGGCAACCUAAAGAAAUAGGGUGAUUGAUAUGCUACUAAUAGGGAGUAUUAAUUACAAUUAUGACAGUUAAUGAAAUGUUUGAAAUAAAUUAUAAAUAAAAUAUGAAGUCUUGUGGCAACGAUGUAAAAACACAGGAAUACUAUGACCUCUUAUAUCCUACUGGUCAUUUAAAUUUAAAAUUGAGUUUUACACAUAAAUUUAUAGAGUAAUGGAUAUAUGUUUAGAAAAUAAAAAAUGUAAGGACUUAUAUUGGACAAGCCCUGAAAUAUAUUAAUACUUACUAAUAUGUUAGUUUAAAAUAACUUUUAAUGGUUGUUGUCUUUCGUACAAAUAAUGCUCAGCAUCAACACAAAUAUUUCUCGAUUUAUAUAAGAUAUUGGAGUGAACUAAAUAUGGUUGGCAACUGAGAGAAUGCCAACCUAUCAAGCUUUUUGAUAAUCCACAGUUGAUAAUUGUUGGUAUCUCUCAAAUAGGGAAGACAAACGAUAAUUUACUAGAGCUUGCCAUGGCACUUUUCCUGUGAAGGUAAUUCAAAAGUUUUUGCUUCAUAGAAUAUUGAUUCAAUCUAUUUUCCACUGUUUGUGAUAAGGAACACAAGUCUCCUCGACAAAAUAUAGCCCACAAAAAUGAAGUUUGCUUUUUCUGAGAAAAUCCAAUUAGAGAUUGUGGUAUGCCAAGCAUCUUGCGCAUUUCAACAUUAUCAUACACUCGUUGACUGAUUCAACUAGUUAUCUGGAAAUUUAUUUGUAGUUAGAAUUCGAUCCAUGAGGAGCCUAUGAAAUUUUAACAUCUGUUUGGAAAUUUGUCUUUCUAAAGUCAUGAUGAGCAUAUUAUAUUUUAAGAUCUGGAAUAUGCCAACAUUGACUGGCACAUAGUGAGGAUCUAGAAAGGUCUAAAAUAUUGAUGAUAUCGGAAAUAUCGGUAGUUCAAAAAUAUGGAAAUUUCGAUGGAAAUAUCGGGAUAUUAUCGAUAUUGAUAAAAAUUGAAUAAAAACCAUGGAAAUUGUAAGAAAAACUUGGAAAUUUUUAUUAAAACUUUGGAGAAUGUCUAUUUAGUCAAUUAUCUAUGAGUUUAUCACAAAAAAUUAGAAGGAAAUGCAUUGCAUGAUGGAUUGAACUAAUAUAAGUUGAUUAUACAGCAAGCGGGCAAACACUAUGAGUGUAAAAAAUAUGUAAUAAUUAAUAAAAAAAGAUUCAAUACACCGUAAUCAUUCAUAUAUAAUGAUUUACUAUAAUAUUUUACACUUUAUACAUUGCAUGGUAAGAUACAUAAAUGACUUAGUACCACAUAGAGUUCCUACGAGGUUCAAAUUUUUCACUAUCUUCAUCAUCUCUAUGUGUAGAGUAAGUGUAUUGUGAAGAGUAGUCAUCAAAUGAUAAAUCCCCAAAAUAGUUUUGCAUGUAAUUGUUAACAUACCACCCAUAUAAAUAUAAAUAUUUUAGCAUAUUAUCACAAAAACAUAAGUGAUAUGGUGUUUAAGGUGUUGGAGGAGUAAAAUGGGAGGGGUUCAUAUCCCUUUUGUGCUUUUUUCUCCCCUUUUUCCCUUUUUUUUAAUUUUUUUAUUUUUAUUAAAACUUUUUUUUUCCUUCACAUCGAUAUUUUCGAUAUUUUAGCGAUAUUACACCGAUAUUUUGACAAAAUAUUGCUGAAAUGUGAGCGAAAUUAUUGACAUCGAUAUUUUCCGAUAUUAUCGUCGAUAUUGUCGAUAUUUAUACGAUAUGUACAUGGAUAUGUUCCGAAAUAUCCGUGAUUCAAAAAAAUCGAAAUAUCCUCAAUAUUUCUUCGAUAUUAUCGAUAUUUCAGACUAUGUCUGGAACGAACAACCACUCAAAAUUAAAAUGCUAAUUAGAUUUUUAUUUAUUGUUAUUACUAGAAAACUGACGUGUAGGGAAAUUAUUGUAAAAAGAAAACAAAAAUGUGAAGAUAAGGGUAAGCACGUGUUCCCAUUUGGGUUGCGAAACUUCCACACAAAAAACCAAUACCAUUUGGGACUCUUUGGGAUCUUUUUCCAAUGGCAUUAAUUAUAUAUAUAAUACACACACUUUGGGUCCUUUUCAACUAAACUAUAUCCGAUUGACAUAAUAUUGGCCCUAUUUCCAUGUGUGCAUGGAAGAAUGAGCUAAGAAACGGACGUCAUUUUUCAAAAUUAUGUACGUCAUACACUGCCCCUUGCCCAUUACCCCGCUCUAUAUAACCUUAAGACACCUUCUCACAGUUAUUAAAAAAAAACACCACCUCCAAAAUGAGUAUCCUCAGAAACCUCCUAGUCUUCUGCAUCCUAUGUGCCACUCUCUUCUUUGCAUCAACCAAUGCAGCUCAUUUCGAUAUCCGAAACAACUGCCCCUUCACCGUCUGGGCAGCCGCCACGCCAGGCGGCGGACGCCAACUUAAUAGAGGCGAAAAUUGGGGCAUAGACGUGGCUGCCGGAACCAAAGGGGGUCGCAUUUGGGCCCGGACCGGAUGUACCUUUGAUGGAGCUGGACGUGGGAGAUGCCAAACAGGUGAUUGUGGGGGUAUCCUUCAAUGCCAAGCCUAUGGCCAACCCCCAAACACCCUAGCUGAAUAUGCCCUUAACCAAUUUAGCAACUUGGAUUUCAUUGACAUUUCCCUUGUUGAUGGCUUUAAUGUUCCCAUGGAAUUUGGUUCCACGUCUAGUGGGUGCACUAGGGAUAUCAGAUGUACGGCUGAUAUUAAUGGGCAGUGUCCUGGCCAACUGAGGGCUCCAGGAGGCUGCAACAACCCUUGCACUGUGUUCAAGACUAAUCAAUAUUGCUGCAAUUCUGGGAGGUGUGAACCUACAGAUUUAUCUAGGUUUUUCAAGAUGCGGUGCCCGGAUGCUUAUACACUACUACAAAAAAGCAAAAAGACGACGGUAAAUCACCGUCGUGUAUUUGGUUUUUCAAUGGUCGUGGAAUCCACCGUCAUCUUUUCCCUCAUAAACCACGACGCUAAAUAACCGUCGUUGUUAAACAAUACAACGUCAUCAAAAAAUACAAAACGACGUCUUUGUACUGCAAAAGAUCUAAAAAAAGCAAUCGAUGAUGAUAAUAGACGACCAAUUCUCUAAAAAGACCGUCGUUAAAAAGGGAAAAUAUGACACAUAUUAAGAGAACAAGGCCGCAAGAUAGACAUACAACGACGACAAUAAAAAUACGCCGACGUUAAAUAUAAUUUUCACGACAAUAAAAAAUAUGACGUCUUUAAAUACAUUAGAAGACGACGUUAUUGAUACCUACUACGUCGCACAUAUAAACACAACCGUCGUACAAUUAAUUUUCCACUUCGAUUUUUUGAUAAAAGAUGACGUGGAAAUAGUUGUCAGUGUCAUUAUUUACGACGUAUGUGUUUCUAUAGUAGACGUUGAAAAACUAAACAACGUCAGUUACAAAUAUAUGAGAGUCGUAUUAAAAAAUUUAUACGUCCUAUUUUCAGAAACAAACAACGACCAUAAAUAUUAGACGUUGUUAAAUACAACAACGUCGGAAAACAAUAAAAACAGACGUGUUUAGUCUGCUAAAGUUCUACAACGUCUCUUAUUUACAAAAAACCGUCGUGAAAUAAAUUUUCCACUUCGAUUUUAUCUAAAAAAGAUGACGUGGAAAUAGUUGUCAGUGUCAUUAUUUACGACGUAUACAUUUAUAUAGUCGACGUUGUAUUUAUAUGUAUUCAUUACUCACGACGCACUUAAUAAUAUAGACGACGUUGAACGUCUAAACAACGUCGGUUCCAAAUAAAUGAGAGCCGUAUUACAGAACAUAUAGACGGCGUAGAUUAUGAUGGGAGCCGUAUUACAAAUAACGUCGUUUAAUUGUUAUUAGACGGCGGUUAUAAUGAAUUUCCGUCGGAAUUAAUUUCGUUCCUCUUCGUUUAUAAAAGAACUUGCGACGUGGAAAAUGUAUGAUGACGUCGUAUUUUUUAACGUUCAGAUUACAUAUCUCGUUUUUUAGACGUCGGUAUUAUGGGAUUGGAGUCGUGUUAUUUUGAAUUACAUGGCGGUUCUUUAUCCUUCACCGACGUGAUAUCCUGAAUAAUUGCUUCACAAUAGCGUCGUGGUUCUUCAUUGUUACGUUGCUUUAAGACGUCGGUAAAUAUGCUGAAUAACUGAUUCACAAUAACGUCGUGUUUUAUUUGAACGUAGAAAGUGAAGAAAUCACAUUACAAUAUAUUACAAAAUUAAUGUCAUACACUGCCAAUUACAUAAGCAUCAUUCAAUCCAUAUAUCUUCACACCCAUCUCGAAUAUUUUGACCGCCUAACUCACCUACCAGUUCAUCAAAUGUGUCAACAUUUGGCAUCCCUCUAGUAAAUGGCUCACACUCAAUUAUCACAUCACCUAAUACUUCAUCACCAAUAACAUCAUUAUAUUCUCUACUAGGCAUUGAUAACACUACCGACCAACCACGAUGCAUCGGGUCGUCAACAAAAAAUAUUUGUUUGACUUGAGAAGCCAAAACAAAUUGGUCAUUCCUAUGUCCAAUUUUACUCAAAUCUACAAGGGUAAAUCCAAGUUCGUCGACUACAAGACCAGAACUAUCUAUCCAAUCACACCUAAAGACUGGGAUUGUAAACUUUUGGUAGUCAAGGUCCCAAAUUUCUUGAAUGACACCAUAGAAACCCAUAUUUGAGAGAAUUGGGUUUUUAUCCUUGGCACUAGCAACUUGCAUGGUAUGUGCAAGUAAAUAAACUCCACUAUUUUGAGUUGUCCGCACAUCAUCUUGUGCCUUGAUAUUGAAUUUAAUACCUUUAAUAAGAUAGCUCCUAUAUAAUGGCACUGACAUGUUUGGACCAGCUGCUAGCCACCUUAAAUUUUCUGAUACGCCAUGAUUGUCUUCCUCAACUUCACUUUGAACCUGCAAAUUAAUCAUAUCUUAAUUCAUCCUAACAUAUAAAUAAGAAGAAAAUUAAAAGAGAAAUACGUUAUUCAACAACAUAUACCUUGAAGCGUAGCCAUUGAAUGAAAGUGCUAUUGUGCUUAUCCUGCAGCCACUUUGUUCUCUUUCUAAAUUUUGGAUAAGCAGUCUUGAUGUGGAUCAUAUGUUGCCUACAUGACACGAAAAAUUCAAGCAUUACGGUCCCAAAUAUAUAAGAUAAACAUAAGAAAUAAUUUUAAAUGGAAACUUAAAGAAUAAAACUCAUACGUACUCGAUAUAACUUCACUAAUGCCGAUAACUUCGUGUACUUUCUACAACCAGGGUACACUGGUUGAUCUCCAUCCCCAAUCACAUUGGCAAACUCAUACGGAUCCGAACCAAAAUCACCAAAAUCAUUAUCAUCCAUAUCAAUUUCUUCAGACACAAAACUGUACCUACUAUGGCCAUCAUCUUCUUCAACAUUUCUGCUAGCAUUAGUAGUUGCUUCCCAAGGUUCUCCGUGAAAUGUCCAAUUCUUAUAGCUUUGGUCAAUUCCAUUAAAGUAUAAGUGAUCCCUUAUAAUUCCAACCCCAAACAACUUCAAAUUAACACAUUUAACACAUGGACAACGGAUAUGUGUUGUAGUUAGAAGAUUUUCUACAGCAAAGUUCAAAAAUGCUUCCACCCCAAACUCAUAUGCCUUCGAUCUUCUAUCCGAGUGCAUCCAUGACUUAUCCAUCUCCGACACUAUAACCUAUUAUCUAUAAUAAAGUGAAAAUACAGGCAAUGACCAUCACUAUAGCAGAUUAUACAAUGAUCUAAUCGCAAGUAAUAAACAACAGAGACGACGGGUUUUAAUCAAAAACAGACGUAUUUGGCAUAUAUAGACGACGGAUUUUCAACAGACGUCGUCUAUUAUACGUAAUACAAACGACGGUUUAUGAAAAAACCGUCGUGUAUAAGUAAUACAACGACGGUAGUUUAAAAACACCGUCGUGUAAUCGUCGUCGUACGCCUUAAAAUUCGUCGUGUCUCAGUUUAUUUUCAAGAACACAAAACCCAUUAAGAACACAACAUAUAUAUGAAACCAAGCAAGAAACCAACANNNNNNNNNNNNNNNNNNNNNNNNNNNNNNNNNNNNNNNNNNNNNNNNNNNNNNNNNNNNNNNNNNNNNNNNNNNNNNNNNNNNNNNNNNNNNNNNNNNNNNNNNNNNNNNNNNNNNNNNNNNNNNNNNNNNNNNNNNNNNNNNNNNNNNNNNNNNNNNNNNNNNNNNNNNNNNNNNNNNNNNNNNNNNNNNNNNNNNNNNNNNNNNNNNNNNNNNNNNNNNNNNNNNNNNNNNNNNNNNNNNNNNNNNNNNNNNNNNNNNNNNNNNNNNNNNNNNNNNNNNNNNNNNNNNNNNNNNNNNNNNNNNNNNNNNNNNNNNNNNNNNNNNNNNNNNNNNNNNNNNNNNNNNNNNNNNNNNNNNNNNNNNNNNNNNNNNNNNNNNNNNNNNNNNNNNNNNNNNNNNNNNNNNNNNNNNNNNNNNNNNNNNNNNNNNNNNNNNNNNNNNNNNNNNNNNNNNNNNNNNNNNNNNNNNNNNNNNNNNNNNNNNNNNNNNNNNNNNNNNNNNNNNNNNNNNNNNNNNNNNNNNNNNNNNNNNNNNNNNNNNNNNNNNNNNNNNNNNNNNNNNNNNNNNNNNNNNNNNNNNNNNNNNNNNNNNNNNNNNNNNNNNNNNNNNNNNNNNNNNNNNNNNNNNNNNNNNNNNNNNNNNNNNNNNNNNNNNNNNNNNNNNNNNNNNNNNNNNNNNNNNNNNNNNNNNNNNNNNNNNNNNNNNNNNNNNNNNNNNNNNNNNNNNNNNNNNNNNNNNNNNNNNNNNNNNNNNNNNNNNNNNNNNNNNNNNNNNNNNNNNNNNNNNNNNNNNNNNNNNNNNNNNNNNNNNNNNNNNNNNNNNNNNNNNNNNNNNNNNNNNNNNNNNNNNNNNNNNNNNNNNNNNNNNNNNNNNNNNNNNNNNNNNNNNNNNNNNNNNNNNNNNNNNNNNNNNNNNNNNNNNNNNNNNNNNNNNNNNNNNNNNNNNNNNNNNNNNNNNNNNNNNNNNNNNNNNNNNNNNNNNNNNNNNNNNNNNNNNNNNNNNNNNNNNNNNNNNNNNNNNNNNNNNNNNNNNNNNNNNNNNNNNNNNNNNNNNNNNNNNNNNNNNNNNNNNNNNNNNNNNNNNNNNNNNNNNNNNNNNNNNNNNNNNNNNNNNNNNNNNNNNNNNNNNNNNNNNNNNNNNNNNNNNNNNNNNNNNNNNNNNNNNNNNNNNNNNNNNNNNNNNNNNNNNNNNNNNNNNNNNNNNNNNNNNNNNNNNNNNNNNNNNNNNNNNNNNNNNNNNNNNNNNNNNNNNNNNNNNNNNNNNNNNNNNNNNNNNNNNNNNNNNNNNNNNNNNNNNNNNNNNNNNNNNNNNNNNNNNNNNNNNNNNNNNNNNNNNNNNNNNNNNNNNNNNNNNNNNNNNAAGUGAUUUUAUGACUCAUCAAAACAAUUUGUUUGGAUGGUCAUUUUAAAUUUUGUAUUCAAAAUGAAUUUUCAAGGUUUAUGUGGAAGAAAAUAUAUCAAUGACUUCAUAGGAGUUGACUUUUCAAUUUUCUGAUUUAUUUUAAAUUUAUUUUGAAUAUUUUGAUAUAAAAAUAAUAAAAUAUUCUUACCACAACAACAAACCACGUCGGUGUUAAUAAAUUGUAGACGUUGUAAAUUGUAAUAGACUACUAAGUCGUUAAAAUGACGUCGUUAAAAUGAGAAACCAUGGCGGCUAUUUAACUAUACGACGUAAAAUAUAUAUAUCAACGACUUAACCGCUGUCGUUACAUAAACGUCGUCGAUGAUACCCUGAACCCUUAAGAAAUUGAAGAUGUUGUAAACCAUAAACGACUCAAUUGUUCAAAGAACGUCGUCUAACUAUAUUUUUACGUCGUAAUUGUUUAAAACACGAAACAACAAAAUACGACGGUUUGUGACUUUAUUAGGUCGUUGGAAAAGUAUUACACGUCGGUUAAGCAAUUUGUAUGUUUGUUUUUUUUUUAAUUUAAGAAAACCUCAACAAAUUUUUACAUUACAUAUUAUAGAGAAAAUUUGUACAUUAUACAUAAAUAUCAAGUGUUCAAUAAUUGCCCUGUUUAAUAAUUUGGAAAACAAACUCUGCCCAUUCAUUCCGGACUUCAUCAAUGGCUUCUUGGGGGUAUGAAGCUUCCUGGUUUCCCUUGGCAUACUGCAUAAACAAUGACUAUUAGGGUUUAUAAAUAAAAAGAAAUUCAAUCACAGACGACGAUAUUUUUCAUAACCGACGUAGUAUAUCCAUUCAACGACGUUAAUUUUACAUGACCGUCGUUGAUAAUACAAAAAACGACGUGAAAUGUAUGAAGGUAAUUUCUUCUUACCUUAUUCUCAAACCCCAAGGAAGGAUCCAUGAUGAUGUCCCUCAUGAAGCGCAUCACAUAAUACCCGCAUUCGACAUUGCUGGGUUGCUUUGGUGUGCCUGAGAGAGUUUUCCAAAUUACAUUUUUACGUCCUGCUCGGCCUAUGUGGGUAUUAUAUAUUUUUAAAGCACUGUUCACGAUGUUUUUCGCCUCUUCGUCGACCACACGAUGACCUGGCAGAGGAUCCAGAAAAUAGACGGUCUCCUUCUUUGCUCUUACAAUCAGCAGGAUCCAAUGACGGCUGCACAAAAUUAAUAUAAAAACGACGGUUAUUUACAAAAACGACGUAUUAUAGUAUUUCACACGACGAAAUAAAGUAGAUAACGACGACAUUAUAUAUUUAUCACGACGACAAAUAAAUACCGACGUGGUUAGUAGUUUCAAACGACUAAAUAAAAUAAAACACCGACGUGGUUAGUUUAUAAGCUGUCAUUUAUUGAAAAUCAUAAAAACAAAAUCCUAAGGAGACUAACCCUGGAUUGUAAGGCAUCAUGAAAAGCUGUUCACCGUCUGUCUUCUGAAGUCGAGCUGCUACCAGUCGUGAUCUUUCAGUUAUUGUGCCAGAGUUGGCACUAACUGUAGCAGGGUCAAUAAAGCCAACCAUGCUGCACAUAUUGGCUUGUUUCAAAACAUCGUGUAAGUACCUAAAUACAUAAAAUAAUAUAAACAAGUCAGCACAAACAAACACGACGGUUAUGUAUAAAAAAACGACGUAUUAUAAUAUUUCACACGACGUACUGAAAUAGAUGAGGACGUUAUAAUAUAUUUAUCACGACGGUAGUUAGUUAAGACGACGUGGUUAGUUAGUUAAGACGACGCAAUAUAUAAACCAACGAGGUAUUAUUUUAGAAGUACAAACCUCAUAUAUACAGCCAAUACAGUAGCUCCAAUUUCUUCCAUGCCUGCAAAUUGUGUAAUAUCUUCAGGCAGGAGGAAGGUAUCGCGCUCACCACCAAACACCUCCUUAUCAAUUGUAAAUUGGAGUGUCUUAUCCUCAGGCAGGAGUGUCGUUUCCACAAAACGACAAAGGGUUUUUAAAGAAGAUGGCGCCUCCAUAUUUGAAUAAGCACCAACUUCAAUAACCUGUUUAAAGAAAUAAAAAAAAUGACGUGGUAAUUCAAUAAAGACGACGGUUUAAGUAAUAAAACGUCGUCUUAAAAGUAUUUAAACGACGGUGAAAAAACUGUCGUGGUAAUUCAAUAAAGACGACGGUUUUAUGAAUAAAGCGUCGUCUGAAACCAUUUAAACGACGGUGCAAAAACCGUCGUUUAAAUAUUUUAUUACGUCUUAAAAAAAUUCCGCCGUCUAAGUUUUAAACAAACGACGGAUUAAAUAAAAAUAUCGACGUCUGAAAUUUUGAAAAACAAAUAAAAAAGGCAAAGUUAUGUGAACAUACCUUGUCGUCAUGCUUUUCUUCAUCUUCUUUCUCCUUUUCUUCUUCCUUCUCUUCAUCUCUUUUUUCUUCUUCCUUCUCUUCAUCUGGCUGAUGUUUCCCCAUUUUGGCAGUAUCAUCCUCCAAAUGUAGGGAUCUCACAUAACCUCCAGAGCAGCUAGCUUUGUCAGACAUUGGAUUUUUGGGGCUUUGGCUAAUUCUUGGUUUAAGCAUGCUUGGAUCAAAAUUGGGAAUUAAUUGGGAAAGCUGACUCAGGAAAUGCUCCCUCUCAGCCUCUACCAAUUGUUUUGUCCUAGCCUCCAUCCUUAAGGCCUCUUCCCUUGCCUUAGCCUCCAUCUUUUUAGUCUCUUCUUGAAGGAGAACUCUUAAACUGUCCUUCAAACGGUCGUCAAAGCUCACCCUCUGUGGUUUGGGCAAAUUGAAAUAUUGCCUUGGGGAAACACCAGCACCAACUCCCCUCAGUCUGCCUGGAUGCUCGGGGCCCAAAGCCAUGGUCAGCACAUCAUUGCUGCCAUCUACUCUGACUUUGCCUUCCGAGACUUGUUUCUGCAAUUCAUCCUAAAAAAAGAUAAACAAAAAAACACACGACGGUUAUUUAUGUACAAACGACGUAUUAUAUAAUUUCACACGACGCAAUAACGUAUAAACCGACGUUAUUAUAACUUAUCACGACGGUAGUUAUACCGACGUGGUUAUUUAUUUAAAACGACGAAAUGAAUAAACAACCGACGUCUUAUGCUAUAAUUAAAGAUAACAGAGUAGUGAUUCCUAUUUAGACCGUUAACGACGUUUUUAAAAAAUUUUCGACGUGGUAAUAUCAUUCACACGACGCGAAAAUGAACCACCGACGUCUUAUGCUGUAAUUACAGAAAACAUAGUAGUGAUUCCUAUUUAGACCUUUAACGACGUUUUUAAAAACUUUUCGACGUGGUAAUAUCAUUCACACGACGAAAAAUAUAACAUACGACGUAAUAAGAAUAAUUCACAGUUUAAUAAAAAUUUAAAACAGAGUGAUAGUAGGCUUACAAUUAAUUUUGCUUUCUCUGCCACCUUUGGAUCAGGGAUGUUACCAUGUUUGUCCUGUCUAGCUCUCUUCCAUAAGGUAGAUCGAUCAAUUUCUACCCCAGGCAUGGUUUCCUCCAAUUGAUCCUCCAAUCCAGCAUAUCCUUUUCGAGACAAUCGAUGAUUGUACUCGAGUUUCUCCCUAAUCUGUGCAUGUUGAGAAUGCACAGACUCAAAAUCUUUGGAUAGCCUUGAAGCUACAAAGGCAUCCCAUUGUGCUUUCUCUAUGAAUUUAUAUGUUUCAGGGGGUUGGCUUAAUUUCUCCCUGUCAUUGGUGUAUGGAAGGAUAUAAUGCCUCGUUAGUGUAGACUUGAAAUCCUUCCAUUUCUUGGAAGCAGAAGCUAAAACAGAGGUCUUGCCCCCUUGGCCUACGACAAAAGCCAUGUCAACUGCUUCCCAAAUCUGCUCCUUUAUAUCCUUGGGGAUUUGGGACCAUUUCUUGUCCACAAGUGGGAUCCUGGAGCGUGCCAACACACCAAUAUACGACUGCAUCUCAAUAUGUGCUUGGCCAACACCUUUCCCCCUUUUAUUGUACUCAACAAUUGGCCUCAGUUUCUGAAGCUUUCUCUUCACAACACGAGGCAUUGUGCUCAUACCUCGACCAGUCUUUGAAUCAUCUGAGAUUGUUGUCUGGCUGGUUUGUUCUGUCUCAGCAGAUGAUGAAGCAAACUUCAUCUUCUUCGAAGACUUCAUCUCCUUCGAAGACUUAUCUUGAGGAGCUACCAUUCCAAGCUUCUUGGAGCCAGAAUCCUUAGUUUGUUGUUGAGAAACCAUUUUAACAGACAAAACUGCAAGUGAAAAUAUUUCAGGAAAACAUUAAGAACACAAACGACGGUAUUAAAAAAAUACGACGUAUGAUAUGAUUUUAGACGACGCAAUGAAAUAAUCUCAGACGUAAUAAAUGUUUAAAACCAUUAUUUAUAUAACGUCGUGGUAUAUAUGUUCACACGACGUCAAUAGUAAUACACCGUCGUGGUAAACUAUUAUUUAUAUUUUAUCGUCUAUAUUAGAUACCAACCCUAGUUUCUUUUUCUUUAUAUUUUAUCAAAUAAGGGAAAAACAAAAACCAUUGUUCAGCGAAAUCAAACCUGCAAUUAAACAAGCAUAUAAAAAAAGACUAUUAUUUUAAAAACAACUUUGUCAAUUUUCAGACGACGCUAGAACAACUGACGAACCGUCGUGGUCUACCGUCGUCUUAUUUAGUUGAUGUAGUUGUCUUCAAAGUUGGAAACUUUCUCUCUUUGUCUGUAUAUUUUAUCAAACUUGGAAAGAAGUAAAAUGAUUUUGGCCAGAAAAAAGGUAAAAAGAUUUUUCAAACAAAAAACGUAUGAGCAUGCAAAACAGUAACCAAAAUAGUGAAAAUGAAAGCUUACCUUUUGCGUGCAAUGAAAGCAAGAGGAAGAUGAUCGAUGUUUAAGUUCAGAGACGACGAAGAAGACGAGAGGAAGACGAUGAGAAACUCUGACAAUGCUCUGACAAGGAAAAAAGACGAAAAGGUUUCUCUGGGAGAUUGAAAUUUUUAAUCGGGUUUGGAAACAGUGCAUGUGUAAGUCGAAAAGUUGCUUACAUAUAAAACCAUUUCAAAAAAAUAAUACGGCGGUUACAUUUAACUACGUCGUUUUUAACUAAAACGACGCAAUAUUUUUCAUUCGACGUGGAAUCAUUUCAUUUAACGUCGUUAGGUUUAAUAUAACCGACGUGGAUUUUAAUUUUUAAAUUAUGAAUAGAAUUUUUUUUCCCGUGACCUUUCAGUUUAUUUUUCAAUUACAGUGCGUUAUAAAUAGAGUUUUUUUUCCGGAGGAAAUUUAAAACGAAGGAAAUUAAUAUUCUGCAAUAUGUAAAGUUUCUUUUUUGGAUGACAGAUUUAAAUAAAAUAAAAAUAUAAAAACAACAAAUGUGUAAGUCAAGUAGACGAAAAGUUGCUUACAUAUAAAACCAUUUCAAAAAAAUAAUAUGGCGGUUACAUAUAACUACGACGUAUAAAUUACAAAAUACGACGGUACAUUUAACUUCGGACGUGGUAAAUAAAUACGACAGUAGUUUGUAGGUACCGUCGUAGUAAACUCAAAAAUUAAAGUACAUAAGUAAUAACUCGCGUCAUGGUAUAUUAUUUAACACGUCGUUUUUAUUAAUUUACCGACGUGGAUUUCUGUAAUAUACGUCGAUCAUACCGACGUUGAUUUUACAAUUUAAACGGCGGUUUGUUUGUAAGGACCGCCGUUGGUUUUAAAAAUUUAUUCUAUAAAUUUGUCGCUUUCAUUCAUUUUCGGUUUACAUUUAAGGUUCCAAGUUCUUCCUCUCUCAGUCUCUCAUGUCUCAAAGAUAAUAAUUUGGAUGUUUUCUCAAAGAGAAAUUGAGCUUACUCGCAUCAAAUAUAUGUCCACAAGAAGAAGCUUGUCAACUAGCCUUCUCACUUCCUUGAUCAAGCCUGAUAGGACACUUAGUGCUUCUGAAUACUCCUUGCUUUCCAUCAAAAGAGAUGCAAGCCUGGCCUCCACUCGCUGUCGAAGGAAAGUUCGCUUCUCAGGGAAAUCUGAAGAUCAGAUGUGCCUGAUCCUCUGCUUGAUUUUCUUGCCUAAGAAGAUCCGUCGGAUUUAUUGUGAUAGCCUCUUCCUUUAUCCGUAGAGCUUCAGAAGAAGAAGAUGGGUUUCAAGAAUGCGAUAAAGAAUAGAAAUGGCUUCAGAUGGCCUCUAAAGCAUGAGCAAUUGAAUCAGUAGUUUCUGGGAGAUAUGAUGAAGACAUUGUCAAUGCUUUGAACUACACAAGUCCUGCAGAAAGAUAUGUUAAAGAAACUGAAACAACGGCGGUUUUCUGUUCUACCGUCGUCUUUUCUCGUCGUCUAUAUUAAGUUACGAUGGCGGUAGAUUUAUAAUUACCGACGUAGAUUAUUUUGUUAAACGUCGUUAAGUGUACUACAACCGACGUGGAUUUUAAUUUUAAAUUAUAAAUGGAGUUUUUUUUCCCGUAUUCUUUCAGUUUUAGUUUUCAAUUCCAAAGCGUGAUAAAUAGAUUUUUCUUUCCCGAGGAAAUUUAAAAUGAGGGAAAUUAAUGUUCUAGAAUUUGUAAACUAACACGACGCAAUAUUUGCAAAUCUGUGUCAUCUGUUAAGAUUAUGAUGUGGAACAGAGUUCCAUCUGGUAAGAUUUCGUAACCCUUGGGAUCUCAGACAAAACUGAUUAUGUCGGCGGUGUUCUAUAUAAACCGUCGUGGUUAUUUCAAUUCUUGUCAUUAAGUAGAUCUACCGACGUAGGAUAAGAAAAUCAAAGAAAAAAAUUGUUAACAAAAAUUCUUAUUAAGACGACCGUUAAAAUUAAAGGUACGACGUAUAAAAUGAAUAAAUACGACGAUAAAUUUUAUUGUACGAUUUAAAGAUAACGUAGUAGAACUAUACGAGAAUGACGUCGAUAUAUUUAUAUUUUCCGUCGUUGUAAAUUAAUUUAAUACGGCGAUAUUUUGUAUUUUAAAGCCGUGGAUUUGUUUGUAAUUAUACGGCGUCUUAUACGAAAACCUCGUCGUGUUAUUUUAUGAGUAAAAACGGCAGUUUUUAUUGAAAUCGUCGUCUUUACUUUCUACGUCGGUCGAUUCAUAACUUCUGCCGUUCUUUGUUGGCAUUGAUUUUACACUGAGGAAAUCUGUUUCAAAUAGACGUCGGUUGUUUAAUUAUGUACGUCGUUGUUUUUGAACAGCCAUUUGAAACUCCAUUUUUUAGUUGUCUAAGGUUGUAUUACACGACGGUGUUUUUAGAACCGUCGUCUUUUUAUAAACCACGACGGUUUUCACUUAGACCGUCGUUGUUUUCUGGUCGUCUUUUUCACUUUUUGUAGUAGUGAUAGCUACCCUCAGGAUGACAAAACAAGCUUAUUUACAUGCCCUGGCGGGACGAACUAUAAGGUUGUGUUCUGCCCAUGAAGAAGCAGAUACAUCUUCUAGUUUAUAAUAUCUAUGAAUAAGUCUGAUGCAAUAAAAUUAGUUUGAGGGCUUUGUCAUCAGCACAUGUAAUGGUGUGCAUUAUGUAAAACAAAGUACCUGUACUCUCUCACUCGGUUCAGACAUCAUAACGAAAUGAAAGUCUCAGUUUUUCAUUUUCUAUUGAGUAGCACCAUCUUUAAUUUCGAUCUAUUCCAUGAAAAAUGACUGAAAAAUAAAGUGAAACUCUUACGAUCAUCAGUCAUGCUUUAUUUUUCUUAAUGCUGGGGGAUUUUGCUUCAUAUAUUACCUAAUGAAUGUGAAAAUUUGGUUACCUACAUUCGAAACUAAUGUUGAAGCUCAAUGGUUUAUUAAAAAAAGGCAUAUCUUCAGUGGCCAUUCCUAGUAAAAGUAUUCAUAUAUGAAAAAGAGACCUAUAAAUGGAAAACAAUUCAGGGUGUCAGAUGCUUGAGAUCUUUAGGGAAGUUUCCUUUAGGGCCGUUUGAUAUAAUUAUUUCAAUUUUACUUUUUAGUUUUAUUUUUUGUGCUAGAGUAGUGAGGGGAAAAGAGGGAGAAUGGAAGUGAGAAUGAGAAUGAAGAUGGGAUUGAGAGGGAAGAUGAGAGGGGAGGAUGGAGGGGAAGAGUAACAAAAGUGAAAACAAAAAUUAAAAACUGAAAAUCUAUUUGGAAUUGUUUUCACUUCCAAGUUUUUGUUUUCACUUUUGUUACUCUUCCCUCCCAUCCUCCGCUCUCAUUCUCUCUCCCAAUCUCAUUCUUACUCUCACUUUUCUCUAUACUCUACCACUAAAAAAAAAAACUAAAAACUAAAAUUGAAAUAGUCAUCAUACGAGCCCUUAUUUUCUUUGGUUUAUUUUUCAGAUUUUAGAGUGUUUUGGUUCUAUCUCUUUUGGAACGCAAUUGUCCCUUCACCGUUUGGGCAGCAAAGUAUUGCAAACUUUGACUAUAAUAUUCCAUUAAUUGUAAUAAUAAUAAUAAUAAUAAAUAAGGCACAAGUCUGAUUCCUAGAAAUUCUCUUAUGGUCUUCGAGAUUUCUAUAGCAAAUUGGAUAAACCCCAUCACUGCUGGCUGUGCUCUGUGCUCUCUUAGUCAAGUCCAUACUUUUUUUUUGUUUGCAGUAUUGACAAAUUUGUAUGUUUACUUUUGCGCAUCAAGCCAAAAACAAAUCUGAACAUAAAUUAUGUAUACAACUCUAUCGAUCUAUUGUAGAAUUGUUCUGCGGACCCAAACUGCAAAAAAAUAUUGGUUCUGUUAAUGAUGAAACUAUAGUCUUCAAUUUUUUAGAAUUAGAAGAAAAACUAAUAGAUCAAUUAUCAUCUCGAUAUAUUGUUAAUAUCGACAUCAUCAAUAGUAUUCCAUUAUAUUAAUAGUAAAUAAUUUUAGUCUUCAUAUCACAUAAGUAUUGAUAAUAAUAAUCCUAUUUGAGAACGAUGUAUGAAACUAAAUACAUCUUAGUAAAAAGUAAGGAUUUUUAAGGCCCUUAAUAUUCCUAGUCCAAAAGAUGCCUAAGGCUAAGGGAGGGGGAGGAAGCAAGUCAAAUUCGAUUUUCUUAGUCUUCUUGUUGACUGGUCAAAAGGAAAAACUUGGUCAUAGCAAUGUAGCUUGUUGUAUACAAUGACAAUUAAUUGAAGGUGGAAAAUAAUGUAUAUGCCAAAAUAUCCAGUCUCCUUGAGAAGCUGUGGACAGAAAGCGUAUUACUAUUUCUCCCGCGUGGACUGGCCACAGAUCCCACCCAUGAGUCUUUCAUGUAUUUUGGCCGCCUGCUACUAAAUUAAUUGGACCAGUCUUUGUGAAAAGGUAUGUCUACCGACAAAAUAUCAAUGCUUACUUAGUAGGAAGUUGAAAUCUUAAAUCUUUAACCAAACAGACCCUAAAUGUGUAUGAAGCUUUUUUAAGAAUUAACAUAAUUAACUGAUGUUUCAGACUCGGAUAAAUUCAAUAUAAUUUCCUUUUUUUUUAGACACAUAUUAUAUUUUGUAUUUUUUGUAUGAUAUAAUAGGGCCAAAAGAGACACAUUCAUGCUUGAUGUCUUAUUGGAUAGGGAUGAUUAGCAACUCCAUACAAAUGUAGCUAAACUUGUCUAAUUGAUUUAAUUUCGUAGAAUAAAAUUACACAUCAUUGAUUUAAUUUGCUUGCUUUUUUUUUUUUCUUCCUUGUGGAAAAAAGGGAAAGUGAAGAAGAAAUUUCUCUUUCCUUUCCAUGUGCAGUAGUGGACAUAGACUAGAAAAUAAAGAAAAUGACCUAAGAAAGGGAUGCCAUUUAAUUUCGUGAUACAGUUCUUCUUUGGUCUAUACAAUUAACCUCAUGAAUAUAGCAUCUUUACAAUUCAAUUCCAAAAUGAGCCUGCUGCUCAUCAGAAAAAACCUCUCAUCAGUUUUCCCCAUCCUAUUGAUCAUCAUCACCCUUUUCGUUGCAACCGUUCAUGCAACACGUUUCGAAGUCCGAAACCAAUGCCACUUCACCGUGUGGGCAGCCUCCAGACCCGGCGGUGGGAAGCAGCUUCUUCCAGGCCAAACUUGGUCCUUCGACGUGAACACGGGUACUUUCCCUGCCCAAAUUUGGGGACGGACUGGGUGCAGCUUCAACGAAGCUGGACGCGGCAAAUGUUUAACAGGUGAUUGUGGAGGUCACCUCAAAUGCCAAGAUUUUGGUCAACCGCCAUACACCAUGGCUGAAUAUCACCCCCAACAAUUUGACUUAGAUUUUUUGGAUAUUUCUCUGGUUGAUGGGUUUAAUCUUCCUAUGGAAUUUAGUCCCACGGGUGGUGGUGAUUGCAAGGGGAUUCGAUGCGCGGCUGAUAUAAACGGGGAGUGCCCUCUUGAUUUGAGGGCACCCGGUGGGUGCAACAACCCCUGCAAUGUCUUCAAUACUGAUCAAUAUUGUUGCAAUUCCACCAGAUGUGGCCCUACGAGCUACUCCAGGUUUUUUAAGGCUCGGUGCCCUGAGGCUUACACUUACCCUCUCGACAGUGACGCCACGUUUACAUGCCCUGCUGGCACUAACUAUAUGGUUCUCUUCUGCCCAUGAUUUAUUGAAUUAACGACAGGUCUUGAAUUUUUGAAGGCCGGAGCAGCGAAGUGUACUAAUUUUGUUUUUGUCUUUUCAGGAUAAUCCAUUGUCUUGUUAGUAUAUUUUUUGUUUUCAAGAACCCCUUGAUGUGGAUAUGUGCCUUACUAUCCGUGAGGCACACAUCCAUUAAUAAAAGUUCCACCCUAUUAUAGUUUUCAUAAUCCUAACUUUCACUUUAUAUCUUAUUAUUUGUGUUUUUUUAUGCAGUAAAUUUUAUAUUUAUUUCUGUUAAUGUAGAAUCUUUAUUUUCAAUGAAUAUAGCAUUUAAACCCUAAUUUUUCAACAAUGUCGGCCUCAAAUCCCUUCGCAAUUAAAGGUGAAACUGGAGAAAAAACGACCCACACCACAAAUAGAGGGCAGAAAUAUUGCAUGCAAUUAAGGGUGGAAGAAUAUUCCAAAAUAUCAUAUGUCUCCUUGCGAAUAUAGGGGAGGACUUUUUUUCAGUGUGGACUGACCAUCGAUAUCGACCCAUGAUAUAUAAUAUAUCACAACAAUUUAUAGGGUUGACCCAUAUAUUGUGCCAGCCUGCUGCUAAAUUUAACUGGACCGGCGUUUCUCAAAGCUCAAUAUAAAUCUGUGUGCAUUAUCUUGUCAACCUAUGAAUCAAAACGACAUAUUUACACAACAAUUAGCAUAUAAUUGGAAAUUAGAAAUAUUUAACAACCCAAGUAUUUGGUAAAAAGAGGCAGCUUAAUUUAGAAAUAUUUAACAGUUUGUGAGUCAUGAACCUCAAAGUACGUAUCUUCCACGAUUUCGGUUUUGGCGAAAAGUCUUGGUCUUCUGGAAAGAAUGGACAAUAAGAAACUGUCCAGCAAUUUCAAUGUGUGAAACGAAGACUUCUUCUUUGCCUACAUAUUCCGUGCCCAUUUGAUUAAAUUUGCGCAAGUCCGAUACGAGCUAGAAUUUUUCUUAUCUUUGUUGAGACUUUUGUUAAUGUUGAUCAGUGGAUAUUUACAAUUGGACAGUGGAUGGGAGCCGAAAUUAUAAACGCUUUAUCACCAAACUAAAGUUUCCAACACAAAAAACCAACACCAUUGGCCUUUUCCCUUUUUCCAAUGGCAUUACUAAACUUGGUUAUAGACCUAUAGCAAACUAAUGAUGAUAGAGUAGAAUUGUAUGUGAUCGUAAGGGCAAGCGAUAAAACAAUAUACUUGAAUAUCUUCCUUGCACAAAAAAGAAAAAUUUACAAACAUCCGUUUCAUGAAACGACUCUCUUACAUAUAACUUUAUGUGCCGCUCACAUAAUACACAUGCGAGAAAGUCGUUUUAUAAACGGCCAUAAGUGCAAGUCUAAUGGCAAGAAGUUUCUUGGCUCUUUAUUGAAACUUGCUAUUGUUAGUUGGAUAAUUCUCAUCGAUACUGCCUGCUUAGUGCUCCUUAAUUUAGUCUGGUCAAUUAAUUAACAACUGGCCUAUCCCUUAAUUACGUUCAUAUCCAGCCAAACUCUAAAACUCAGCUCACCAAACUAAUUAAUGGGGUGGGUGAUCCUAAAUGCUGGCCGACUAACUUCAUCAACUUUUACAAGUCGAAGUAAACCACACCAUGUCGAAACUUGGUCAAUUUUCACCUUUUUUCUUUUUCUAAAUCAAUUGUGACAUUUAAAGAAGAUUUAAACUUAUAAAAUCUAACUUGUCUUUGGUGAGGUUUUUAUUUUUAUUUUUUAUAAUUAAUUAUUAUUAUUAUUAUUUUUUGGAGACAUGCGAUAUUGUAUUCAAGGAGAGGAAAUCGAACCUAGGAUCUCGAUGCAAAGGUAAUGCAUUUAACUACUUAAGUUACAAACCCUUUACACCUCCUUUUUGGUGGUUAAUGAAUAGCUAUGUUAACAAUCUUGAACUAUAUUUUCCGUUUAUAAAUAAAGAGGAAUUCAAAUUUAGAAUAUGUUCUAAUAUUGUAUUUAAUGGUGUUUUUCGUUACACAAUUUUUGCUUAAUCAUAUCUUGUCUCAUAACUGACUUAAUUUGUAAAAUAAAAUUACAUGUGCGACAUUACCUACUCCCCGUGGAAAAAGUCUCUCCUCAUUUUUUCUGAUCUUGUGAAAAAAAGAAGAAGAAGAAAUAUUGGUCCUAUUUCCAUGCGUGGAACAAUGAGCUAAGAAAAGUGACGUCCUUUUCAUAUUUAUAAUAUGUCACAUAUGUCGCCAUGCCCUGCUCUAUAUAAGCUUUAGAAACCUUAACAACAAAUGCAUAAAAAAACAAAUUGCAUUAUGAGCAUCCUCAAGACUCUCCCAGCCUUCUGCAUCCUAUGUGCCACUCUCUUCUUUGCAUCAACCAACGCAGCUCGAUUCAAUAUCCGAAACAACUGCCCCUUCACAGUCUGGGCAGCAGCCACGCCAGGCGGCGGACUCCAACUUAAUAGAGGCCAAAGUUGGGCCCUAGAUGUGCAUGCCGGAACCCAAAGGGCUCGCAUUUAAAUUUGGGCCCGAACCGGAUGAAGCUUUGAUGGAGCCGGAUGUGGGAGAUGUCAAACAGGUGAUUGUGGGGGUGUCCUCCAAUGCCAACGCUACUACAUUUUACACUUUGCGCGACGAAUUUUAACGCGACAGAAACUUCGUCGCGCAAAGAUUGUGAAGAAAGACUUUGCGCAACGAAAAAAUAUUGGUCGUGCAAAGUAACUUUGCGCGACGAAAAAAUAUUGGUCGCACAAAACUUAGCGCGACGAAACACAUUGGUCGGGCAAAGGUUUGCGCGACGAAACACAUUGGUUGCGCAAAGGUUUGCGCGACGAAACACAUUGGUCACGCAAAGGUUUGAGCGACGAAAAAUAUUUGUCGCGCAAAGUCUCAAAAAAAUUUAUAAAAAAAUAAAAAAUUCCCGCUUCCCAUUUUUGGUACCCGCCUACAUUUUUAGAGUUUUGCGCGAUGAAUACUAACGUCGCGCAAAUAUUUGCGCGACUAAAUAUUUUUUGUGUUUUAAAUUUUUUUAAUUAAAAUAAACUAAUUUAAUAGUUUGCUCUACAAAAUAUUUUGUCGCGCAAGGUUUUUGACUUUUUGUUUUAUUAUUUUUUUAAUAUUAAUUUAUUUAUAUUAGUUUAUUCAAAUUUUUACUUUUUAAAUUUAAUUUAAUUGUAUGAUUUUUUUUAAAUCACUUUAAUUUAAGUUGAUAUUAAUUUUUUCGAAUUUUUACUUUUUAAAUUUAAUUUAAUUGUAAGAUUUUUCUUAAUUACUUUAAUUUAAAUUGACAUAUUCAAAAUAAAAUUACAUAUUAAAAAUAGUGAUCAAAUUAUCCAAUAAAUAUAUAUAUAAUAUUCAAAAUGUACACAUAAAUUAACAAAGUACAAUAAUAAAAUCCUAAUACAAGAGUAUUGUGGUGGUAGUGGCGGAUGAUAUGUUUUGAUAGCUUCCUAAUCCUCAACUUUAGCCAUCAAAGUCUUGAUGAUUACCUACAAAAAAAACAAAUAUGGUCAAAUAACAACAAAAAACAAGAAAAAAGAAUGCAUAAUCUCCCCUAAAAUUGUUAUACCAAAAAUCCAACCCAAACUCCAAUCUCUCCCCUUUACUCAACCCCAAACCCCACACAAACUCAAAACUAACUCCAAAAACACAUAUUAAUGAAAAAAAUUUAAAAUUUGGAGAGAAUAUACCUUUUGGCAAGAUUGAGAGUGAGUGAGAAUGAGAGGGAGAAGUGAGUGUGAGAGAAGUAGAUAAGAUAGUGAUAGAGAGAUGAGAGAGUGAGAGAUAGUGAAAAGAUAGAUGAGAGAGUGAGUGAGAGUGAGAGAUAGUGAAGAGAGAUAUGAGGGAAAGAGAGAGGAGAGGUAAGAGUAGAGAAAGACAUUGAGAAAAUGGUGGAGGAGUUAUUUUGGUUUUAAAAAUCGUAUCACUUUGCGGGACGAAAAAUAUUGCUGGUCACGCAAAGUUUUGCUCGACGAAUAUAGGAAUAUUGGUCGCGCAAAGUCUAAAAAAAUUAUUUUUUUUUUAAAAAUUUCCCGCAUCCCACUUUUGGUUCCCGCCAAAAUUUAACUUUGCGCGACGAAAAAUACAUAUUGGUCGCGCAAAGUCUAAAAAAAUUAUUUUAAAAAAAAAAAAUUUCCCGCAUCCCAUUUUUGGUACCGCCAAAAUUUAACUUUGCGCGACGAAUAUAGGAAUAUUGGUUGCGCAAAGUCUAAAAAAAAUUAUUUUUUUUAAAAAAAAAUUCCCGCAUCCCAUUUUUGGUACCCGCCAAAAUUUUUAAAUUUUUGCGCGACGAAAAGUACAUAUUGGUCGCGCAAAGUCUAAAACAAUUAUAUAAAAAAAGUCCCGCGUCCCAUUUUUGGUACCGGCCAAAUUUUUGCGCGACGAAAAAUAUAUAUUGGUCGCGCAAAGUUUUGAGGGACAAAAAAUAUUGGUCGUGCAAAGUCUAAAGUUUUUUUUUAUUUUAAAAACCCGCGUCCCAUUUUUGUUACUCGCACAAAUUUUUUGAGUUUUGCACGACGAACUGUUGGUCGCGCAAACUUUUGAGAGACAAAAAAUUGGUUCGUAGCACAAUAUUUAUAAAAAUAAUUGUUUUGAAUAAGAAAAAAUAAAAAAAAUUAUUUUAUGAUUUAAAAUAUAAUUAAGGUGAAAGCUACUUAAUAAAUGUAUAUACUAUUCAAUUUCUUAAGUGUUAUACGUACAAAAUAAAUAAAUUUAAAACUACUUAAUAAAUAUAUAUAUAUAUACACACACACACCAUUCAACGAUCCAACCGUAAGACUUGUUUGUAUAUACUUCAAGAUCGUAUACCCCAAAAAUUGCAAAAAAUAAAUAUUCAGAGAUCUAGUAACGGGACAAAACUUUUCGAUAGUUAUAAAUGAAAAAUCACGAUUUAACGGUUAUUUUGACUCCGAUUUUGAUGAUUUUUUUACAGGUACACUCCUUGACCCUAUAUGAAUACAAUGACUGAAUUUGAUCUUCAAUUUAAAACAUUUGCACUAGUGGAUACCACAAAAUCUUAUGUUAUAUUUAACGAAAGUAUAAAUAAUUAAUUGUUAGUGAAUAUAUUGUUUUGAUGGUAUAUGCAUUCUAGAAACUAGUUUCAACGAUCCAACCGUCAAACUUGUUUUUUUAUACUUCGAGAUCAUAUACGCCAAAAAUCGGAAAAAAUAAACAUUCAUAGAUCAAGUAAUGGACAAAACUUUUCGACGGUUAUAAAUAAAAAAUCAUGAUUUAACGGUUAUUUUAACUCCGACUUUGAUGAUUUUUUAUAGCUACACUCCUUGACCCUAUAUGAAUACAAUGACUGAAUUUGAUCUUCAAUUUAAAAUAUUUACACUAGUGGAUACCACAAAAUCUUAUGUUAUAUUUAACGAAACUAUAAAUAAACUCUUAAUUGUUAGUGAAUAUAUUAUUUUGAUGGCAUACACAUUCUACGAAAUUAGUUUUAACGAUCCAACCGUCAAACUUGUUUGUUUAUACUUCGAGAUCAUGUAUGCCAAAAAUCGGAAAAAAUAAGCAUUCAUAGAUCAAGUAACGGGACAAAAAUUUUCGACGGUUAUAAAUGAAAAAUCAUGAUUUAAUGGCUAUUUUAACUCCGAUUUUGAUGAUUUUUUACAGCUACACUCCUUGACCCUAUAUGAAUACAAUGACUGAAUUUGAUCUUCAAUUUAAAAUAUUUACACUAGUGGAUACCACAAAAUCUUAUGUUAUAUUUAACGAAAGUAUAAAUAAACUCUUAAUUGUUAGUGAAUAUAUUGUUUUGAUGGCAUAUGCAUACAAAAAAACUAGUUUCAACGAUCCAACCGUCAAACUAGUUUGUUUAUACUUCGAGAUCAUAUACGCUAAAAAUCGGAAAAAAUAAACAUUCAGAGAUCAAGUAAUGGGACAAAACUCUUCGACGGUUAUAAUGAAAAAUCACGAUUUAACUGUUAUUUUAACUCCGAUUUUGAUGAUUUUUUAAAGCUACACUCCUUGACCCUAUAUGAAUACAAUGAACUAAUUCGAUCGUCAAUUUAAAAUAUAUAUUUUCUAACAAAAACCCAAUCCGAACAAUAAUAAUAUAUUUUUCUAACAAAAAUCCGAUCCGAUCUAAAAUAAUAAAUUUAAAGCUACUUAAUAAAUAUAUAUACCGUUUAAUUUCUUAAGUGUUAUGCAUACAAAAUAAAAAACAAAAAUAAAUUGGUUUAGGUGACAAAAUGUUUGGAUUACGUCAUGCAAAGAUUUUAAAAAAUAAUUUUUUAAUUUUAUUUAUUUUUAUAAGGACUUUGCGCGACGAAGUUUACUUUUCGUCGCGCAAAGUCACUUUGAGCGACGAAGUUUACUUUUCGUCGCGCAAAGUCACUUUGAGCGACGAAUUAUUUUUCGUCGCGCAAAAUUGGUCGCGCAAGACUUUGAGCGACGAUGUAUUGUCGUCGCGCAAAAGUUUGUCGGGCGAAGUGACUUUGCGCGACGAAUUAUUUUUCGUCGCACAAAAUUUGAUCGCCCAAGACUUUGAGUGACGAAGUUUCAAGUUUCGUCGCGCAAAGUGACUUUGAGCGACGAAUAGUUUUUCGUCGCGCAAAAUUUGGUCGCGCAAGGGGUUUUUUUUACUAGUGACAAGCCUAUGGCCAACCCCAAAACACCCUAGCUGAGUAUGCCCUUAACCAGUACAACAACUUGGAUUUCUUUGACAUUUCCCUUGUUGAUGGCUUCAACGUCCCUAUGGACUUUAGCCCCACGUCUAAUGGGUGCACCAAGGGCAUCAGACGUACCGCGCUGAUAUUAAUGGGCAGUGUCCUAACCAACUGAGGGCUCAAGGAGGCUGCAACAACCCUUGCACUGUGUUCAGGACUGAUAAAUAUUGCUGCAAUUCUGGGAGCUGUGGCCCAACAGACUUGUCUAGGUUUUUUAAGGAUCGGUGCCCGAGUGCUUAUAGCUACCCGAU